This 98531-nucleotide long non-coding RNA is filed under the name Vitis vinifera (wine grape). RNAcentral describes it as "long non-coding RNA (VVIN_LNC003440)". The record is from RNAcentral. Lineage: Eukaryota; Viridiplantae; Streptophyta; Magnoliopsida; Vitales; Vitaceae.
GAACCUCGAGUGAAGGUAGGGCACUUAAAAUUGGAAUUGUUCUCAAAUCAUUCCAUCCAACAUCCGUAAUUUCUUCAAUCCUAGUAAGUCUUGAAAGCCUACAUUAUUAAUAAAUAAAUAAUAUUCAUAUGUUUUGCUUAUGGAUUUGAAAGUUAUACUCGUAAUUAAUUUUAGGUUAUUGGGCAUAUAGAAAUAUGGAUAAGAAUAUCCAAGACAAUAAAAUAUUUCAAAAUAGUUUUAAAUAUAACUUAAUUAUCUGAAGCAAAUAUUUGUAAAUGUUAUUGCAGAAUCAAAGCAGGGGUAAUUAAGAUUACCUUAAUUAUAUAUUGUGAAAAAAAAAACUAGUUUAUGUCAAUUUGAUUGUGAAAAAUUACAAUAAAGAAUAAUAAUAGGAAGGAGAAAAUAAGAAAACAAAAAUAUAAAAUGUAGAAUUUACAUAACAAUUUACGUUUUCAACCAAAAGCCUAUAUAAAUUGGUUCUAUUCAAUUUGAUUAGAAAACAAAAUAGUUUAUGUCAAUUGCAAAUAAACUUAAAAUGCCUAAAAUUUGGUAUGCAAGUUAGAAGGCAUUAUAAGCUAUUGUAGCUUACUUAAGCCCAUCAUUCUACUACAACACCUUCCUCUGAUUCUCCGUUCUUAAAUACAUUAUCUGGAAUUUUAUAGAAAACAGGUUGUAGCUGGUGUUAUUGCUUCCCUGGGCAGCCUAUCUUGCUUAUGAUUUUUAUAGUUGGGAGCUGGUGAUAUUAAAUAAGACUUGUCCUGAAAUUUAUUUAUUUUUGAAAUUCUAAUUUAGGUUCCUUGCGUUCCCAUCCAAGCGAAAAAUAUUUGAUGCAGCCCACGCCCAAUCCAUUGUUCCUGGCCCAAGGCCCAGGCUUAGUUAUCAGAGCCGAGGCCUUAUGAUUGCAUGUGGGCCUUUUGCCAACUCUUGGGCCGGCUAUAUAUAAAUGAAAGAUUCAUUUACAUAGCCUAGAGGCCAGGGUAUCAAACCCCUACAUGGUGUGGGUACAGAAACUGCACGGACAGUCUUUGCGAUGGCUUCUUAUUUUUGUUUUAAACCGUCACAAUUUUUAGACAUAAAAACUCUUAUUGAGCAUGAAAAAGAGUUUUUUAACUUUUUAAAAAUCAGACAAACAAGCCCCCUAAGGCACAUAAAAGCACUUUUGUUUCUUACCAGUUACCACAACUCCUACUCAAAUUGCUUACCAAUUGUUCAAAAAAGUAACAAGCUAGUUGAAAAAGUAUAAUAAUACACUAAUUUCCUGGGCAACACACAAUCUAAUCUUACAUUAAAAGUAUUUAAAGAGAGAUGAAAAAAGGAUGGAGAGAAGACCAAGAGAAGAAAUAACAAAUAGUUGUAAGAAUACUAUAAUUGCCACUUAUUAUUACUGUUCCAAGUUAAAAUUGAAAUCGAUUGAAAUUUCGUAUUCUUGGAUUUCACUUAAAUUGAGCUAGCAUAUUCAAAAAAUUAAGGAACCCAUAAAGAAGACAAUAAAAGAUGGACUACUACCCAAUAAACUUAAUAUUCAUUUUUUUAAAAAAGUUAAUAAUUAGAGAAAUUUUAAUGAAAGAUGGAAAAAAAUUAGAAAGGUGGUAAAUGGAGUGUAAAACAUAGAAGAAAGGUGCCUUAGGUAUAAGGAAAGUGAUGUUAUUUAAUGCCACAAAAAUACUAAAGCUUAGUUUACCUUCCCUAAAAUACUAAUUUUAAAUUUAUACAAAAAAAAAAUCAAAUAUAAAAAAUAAACCUUUUUAUACCAUAAAUAAAUAAAACAAAUUUUUGUUAUUUUAUCUUCAAAUUCUAUUAAACUAUUGAUUGGAAACCUAAAAAUUAUAUUGAUAAUAUUUUAAUGAUCUGUUUUUUAUUUUUUUUAAUUCUUUGUAUACUAAUUAAAUACAAAACAAAUAUUUAAAUAAAAUUUUAAAUAUUUUUAAACACUAUCGUAUUAAAAAAAAAAUCAUACAUGUAUAAUUAUUUCAUUUAUAUUCUUAAAUAAAUUGAAAUUAUGUAGAUCAUCAUUUUAUUAUGAAAAAAAAAAAUCAAGAGACUAUUAUAUAUAUAUAUAUAUAUAUUUUAGUCUUUUUUUAAAUCAAAAUUUUGAUUGGAUAUUUCAAUCAUGAAAUACUUGCACCUACAUUUAUUAUACAAGUACUAACUGAACUUGUUCCUCCUUAUCUUUACCAUUUUCCCCAUCUUGUUAAUUAUUUUUUACAAUUUUCAUUGAAAUUUUACUUUCUACAUAUCUAAAUUAUUUUCUCCAUUCCACACGCAAAUAAUUUAUGGUAAAUUGGUAAUCACUUUCUUUUGAAUUUUUUUUUGUAGACUUUUGAGGAGCUGGUGAGCUCUACCCCUCUACCCCUACAGAUAGUUGUGUUCUUUAUAAUGGGUUGGGCAUUGGGUUCCCUUAAAAUCCAUAUGUGUAUCAUUCUAUUUAUAAGGUAGAUGUGUAUCAUUUCUUAUUCUGUGAAAUUUCUUUUUUCACACAUAAUCAAUGGAAUACUACCCAUUAAACUAUUAAACAUUAGAUUCAACACCUCCAACAUGCUCAAAUAUUUUAGUUUUAUCAAACAAUGAUACAAAGGUUAGUGUUAGGAGUGCACGGAAGAUAUACCACAUGCUUUUAUUAGAGUUAAGAUGCACACACCUUGCAAUUGGGAAGAAUUUAUAUGAUUGAAGCUAAGAUCCAAAACCUUGAGUGAAGGUAGGGCACUUAAAUUUGGAAUUGUUGUCAAAUCAUUCACUCCAACAUUCAGAACUCGUAAUUUUUUCAAUCUUAGUAAGCCUUGAAUGCCUGCAAUAUUAAUAAAUAAAUAAUAUUUAUACUUAUUGCUUGUGGAUUUGAAAGUUCCAACUAAUUUUUAGUUAGUGGGUAUAAUAGAAACAUUGAUGAUAAUAUGCAAGACAAUAAAAUAUUUCAAAAUAGUUACUACAAAAUUAAACAAAGAGUAAUUGAGAUUACCUUAAAAUUUUAGCUGAGAAUAUUAAGGACUAAAAUGAAUAAAAACUAGAGUAUGAGGAUGUGGAAAAAAAGAAGAAAAAAAAAAUGAUAAUAUAUAUUGUGAAAAACCAUGACAAAGGAUAAUAACAGUAAUUAUUUAAUUCUUUUAUUAAUAAUGAUGAGAAAGUAAAAUUUUCCUCAUUACUUCUAAUGAAUUAAAGUAAAAGAUUUAAUCCCUAGCUCUCGUAUACAAUAUUAUAAAUAAUUAAUAACAUUAAUAUAUAUAUUUAGAGUAUAGAAAUGAGGUAGUACUGUACAGUGGAAUAAAAAAAAAGGAUUUUAAAUUAAUAAAAAAUUAUUUUUUAUUUUUAACUUCUUUCAUCUUUCGAAUAAAUAAUUUUUUUCUUCAACAUUAGAUUAAACCAGCCUAAAAUAUUUUGUCAAAAAUUAUGAUGAUUUUUCAAUCCAUGUAGUCAAAAGUCAAUCAUAUUAAUUUAUGGAAGAUGGAAUGAUAAUAUAUUAAAAAAACAUAGGCAUGAGAGAGAGCCACCAACCUGUCAAUUCGUUCAAAGACAGAUCUAAAAUUUGAAGCUGUUGGAAGGGAAGAAGUAGGGAGGCAUUCAAGGACCACUUUCCGAACUCAAAGUGUCUGAUAUCAAUGAGAGAAAGUCGGGUCACUCGGUUUGUUUUGUUAUGACAUGUGACAUAUUCCCAUCUGCAACAAUCACCAACCUCUGCUCCCCAAGAAGAAAGGGCUGUGCCAUUUGGGUGAUUGAAGGAAGCUUUAAGUUGCAAAAGACCAACUUUUUCUUCCUCCAUGCACCCUAAACUUCCAUAACCAAGUAGUAGACUUAAGAAAGUCCCAUAAAGUACUGCAAGAUACAAACAGGAAGGGACUUCCAUCUUUCAGCUCCCAGUUUGCUAUUGACUGUCGAAUGUAUAUAUUCUCAUACUUAGGGAUGGGGUUUAAGUACAUGGCAGAUGACGGUCAAUUCAAAGUUAGAAAUUUUGCAGCUGCCGAGUUUGAAAUUUUGAGUGGCUAAGAUACUUCCAUUUAAGAUAUUUGUAUAAGACUUUAACUUAUUAUAAAAUUUUGAUUCUAUCUCUUUUCAAUUUUAAAUUCAAGUUAAAAUUGAGAUCAAUCAAAAUUUCAUAUUUCUAGAUUGCACAUAAAUUGAGCGAGUUAACAAAUUCAAAAAUUUAAGGAACCAAGAAAUUGGAUUUGGAUAAUAAAAGUUGGACUACCUAAUCAACUUAUUUUACAUAAAGAGUAAUAUUCAUUUUAAAAAAAAAUUAAGACGUAGAUAAAUUUUAAUGAAAUAUGAAUUGGUAAAUGGAAGUGUAAAAUAAACAAAAAAAAAGUAAUAGAAAUAAGGGAAAUCAUGUUAUUUAAGUGCAACAAAAAUACAAAAAUCAGGUUAGUUUACCUUUCCUAAAAUACUAAUUUUAUAUUUAUACAAAAAUGAUCAAAGAUCAAAAAAGAACUCUUUAUACUAUAAAGAAAUAAAUAAAACAAAUUAUUGCUAUUUUAUAGUCAAAUUCUAUUAAACUAUUGAUUAGAAAUCUAAAAAUCAUUCUGAUUAUCUAUUAUUCAACUGGUUUUUUUAUUUAUUUAUUUCUUCUUGUAGUGAUUAAAUACAAAACAAAUAUGUAAUUAAGAUUAUAAAUAUUUUUUAACACUACUGUAUUAAAAACGGUUUAUAAUUUUUAUUACUUAUUUUAUAAUUUUAUAAUUUUUUUUUAAUGUUUUUGUGAGCUUUAAUUUUUAUUUCAAAAUUUAGAUUCUAUAUUUCAAUAAAAUUCAAUCAUGAAAUCCUUGCACCUAACUUCAUAGGAGCGAACAUGUUUCUCCUCUUUACUAUUUUCCCUAUCUUAUCAUUGAAGUUCUACUUUCUACACGUCUUACUAGGUUCAUUCCACAUGUAAAUAAUCCAUGGUAAAUUGAUAAUCACUUUCUUUUGCAUUUCUUUUCCAGACUUUUGGGGAGUUGGCGAACUCUAUCCCCAGACAUAGUUAUCAUCUUUAUGUCACUCAUGGCCCAUAUUAUUCAUUCUCUUAUUAUUUAAUUUUUUUUCCACAUCUUUGACUUAAUCAAAUUGAUGUUUAGUUCUAUCUCCAACAAUGGUUACACAAAUUCCACAUCUUUUGAUCUGUCUUCCACACAAAUUUCAUCCUCUUAAAAAUUUCCACAAACCUUUAUAUCCAAUUCUAUCCUCUUAAAAAUUUCCACAAACUUUUAUGUCAAUUUCAUAGUUAACCCAAUUCCACACGGUAGUCUUCUCUUUCCAUCAUCAGUAGGGCACUGGAAAUCCGUUGAGAGAAUUUAGAGUGAUAAUGAAUUUAUGACUCCUUCAAUCUUUUGUCAUUUUCCUCCUUUUAAUUUAUGCGUUUUAAUUUAUAAUAUUAUUUCUAUAAAUAUUAUUAAUUUUUUUAUUAUUAUAGUUGACAAUUAACAAUAAUAAUAACAUUUUAUAAUAUUAUUAUUUUUAAUUUUAUUAUUACUAGUAUUAUUAUUCUUAAAAAUGCUAUUAAUUUUAUUAUUAUUUCAAUUUAUUCUUUUCUUUUAAUGCUUAUAAUUAUUAAUGCUACUACUUAGUAUUAUUUAAAAAAAUUAUAUAAUAUGACUAUUAUUACUAUGGUUCUUAAAAAGAAAUAUUAUUAAUUUUGUUUUAUUCAUUGUGAUUACUUUCCUUUGAUUUAGACUCUCUUUGAAGAUUCAAAGUGACUACAAAAUUAACUUGAGAUAACAUAGGUAAAUAAGGUUGAGAUAAUUGGGAAUAAUGAUGUAGAAGGUAUAAAAUAAAGUUAUAUGGAAAUUUGAGAAAAAAUUAAUUUGAAAAAGAAGUUUAAAUUGAGAAUUUAAAAAGGAAUUUAAAAAAAAAAAAACUCUUUGAAUUUUAAAAAACAUCUUUUCAAAUAUUUCCAAAAUUUGCUAAGUUUCCUAAAUUAUUUUCUUAAUAAAAUAUAUUUACUAAAUCAAGUCUAAAUCCACUAAUAUUUAUUUAAUAUAAAUAUGCCUCUUGGAAGAGUCCUCAUAAGAACUUGCAUGUUUAAGUUUUAAGUAAUUAUUCUUUGCAAGAUUUGAAAUUCUUAAAAAGGUGUUCAUUUUCAUCUUUGGGUUCAUGAAAUAAAUUCAUAUUCCCUCAGGGUGUUGAUGAGUUUAUUAAAGAGCACAGUGGUAUUGCCUCAUGAAAGUGGGAUUAAGUAUAGGUUUUGGGAUGUAAGUCUCAUGAAGUAAUAGUCUUUGACAACAUGGUUUUUAAAUCUACAAAGUCUCUAGAAGAAGGCUUUAUGGAUGGUUUUUCACCUAUAUCCUACGUCAUUGUAUGUGAUUGAAAUUCUUGUAUUGAUUAUUAAUUUUCAAUCUAAUUAAAGAAUUCAUCAUAAAAAAUAAAAAUUGGUAAACUUUAGGCUAAUUGAAUAAAAGACUAUCCAUCCCUUCACACCUGAUCAAGUAAUUUCAUAAAACAAAAUCAUAAACCUUCAAUUAGUAUUAAAGUAGGGGAAAGUUUUAAAAUCAAUUAAUGCAAGCAAAUAUACGUUUUUGUUUUUAGGAAUAAAAAACUAUUUUUCAUAAUUUAGUUUUAAAAUACUAAUUUGUUCUUAAUUAAAACACUAAAAAAACCAUUCUUAAAAGUUAUUUUUUAGAACUACUUUCAAAAACACCUCCUUAAUCAUUUUAGUUGUUUUUUGCUACUUUCUAAUGAUUAUUUUAAAAGAUAAUUAUACAAAUGUAGAAAAUGAUAAAAAUAAAGCACUAUAGAUAAAAAUUAUUUAAAAAUAUAAAAAAGAAGUUCCCAACAGAUUUUUAUUUUAUAAAAUAAUUUUUAAAGGCUUCCAAACUAUUUUUGAAAAUACUUUCCAAAAAAAAUUGAGGAGUAUUUUCUAUAAAUUUUUUUGAAGGAAAUUUCUACCAUUUUGCCCGUUUUAUUAAAUUCUCUCUUACAUUUUUUAGUUACUACUUUCCACGCCUCUAAAUUAGUCAAAGUCAACAGGUAAAUGAUCUUUCUUCUUUUCCCAUUUUGUUUGUGUUCUUUCGUAUUCAUUUUCUUUUGAUUUUUUUUUCCAUUGGCUUUCCAGGAAUUCGUUAUCGUCUUUAUGUCGUUCGUGGCCCACAUUAUACUUGCCCAAAUCCCACGCAUGCUGAUCUGUCUUCAUGGUCAUAUUUAAUUCUAUGGCCCAUAAUAUUCAUUAUUUUAAAAUUGUCCACAAAUUCCACACGUUGUUGUCAGUCUUUGCUGGCUUUGCGUUCUCUUUUGACUCCAAUGCACUUCAUCUUCAUCAUUAAUAGGGUACCCACAGUGAAUGAUAGCUCUAAAGAGAAAAGGUUAAUGGAAUAGGCAGAAAACUUCAAUUUUGUACCGUUGAAUUUUUACACUAUAUACACAUAGAGAAGAGACAAAAGGGAAACAAAGACUAUUCAUUUUAGAUUAAGAGUAAUAUUCAUUUAAAAAAAAUUAAGAAUUAAAGAAAUCUUAAUGAAAGAUGAAAAAAAAAAUUAGAAAGUUGGUAAAUGGAAGUAUAAAAUAGACCAAAAAAAAAAAAAUAGUGCUUUAGAAAUAAGGGAAAUCAUGUUAUUUAAGUGUAACAAAAAUACAUAAGGUUAGUUUACCUUCCCUAAAAUAUUAAUUUAUAUUUAUACAAAAAUAUCAAAUAUUAAAAUAAAACUUUUUAUACUAUAAAUAAAUAAAUAAAUAACCUUUUUUUGUUGUUUUAGGUUUGAAUUCUAUUAAACUAUUGAUAGGAGAUCUAAAGAUAAUUUUGAUAAUAUUUUAUUCAACUGAUUUUUUUUUUCUUUUUAUAGUGAUUAAAUACAAAACAAAUAUAUAAAUAAAAUUAUAAAUAUUUUUAAACACUGCCGUACUAAAAACGGUUUAUAAUUUUUAUUACUUGUUUUAUAAUUUUUAACUUUUUUAAUGUUCUUGUGAACUUUAAUUUUUAUUUCAAAAUUUAGAUUUAAUAUUUCAAUCAAAUUCAAUGAUAAAAUCCUUGCACCUACCUUUAUACAAGUCAGCGUGUUUCUCCUCUUUACCAUUUUCCUCAUCUUAUCAUUGAAGUUCUACUUUUUACGUGUCUAAAUUAAUUGGUACAUUUCACACGUAAAUAAUCCAUGCUAAAUUGAAAAUAAUUUUCUUUUACAUUUCUUUUCCACCACACAUAACUCUAUUGUUUAUCAUGUUUAUGUGGCUGAUCAUGACACAUUAUUUAUUGUCUUAUUAUUGAAUUUUUUUCCACACCUUUGACCUAAUCAAAUUGAUGUUAAUGGUUACACAAAUUCAGCGUCUUCUAUCUUGUCUUCUAUACAAAUUCUAUCAUCUUAAAAAUUUCUACAAACCUUUAUGUCCAUUUCAUGAUUUAACCAAUUCCACACGCUAGUCUUCUCUCUCCAUCAUCAAUCGGGUGCCAAAUAGAGUGACAAUGAAUUAUGACUCAUUCGAUCCUUGCCAUUUUCCUCCUUUUAAUUUAUGCUUUAAAUUAUUAUUAUUAUUAUUAUUUAUAUAAAUAUAAUUAAUUUGUUAUUAUUAUAGUUGACAAUUGACAUUUUAUAAUACUAUUAUUUUUAAUUUUAUUAUUACUAGUACUAUUAUUCUUAAAAAUGCUAUUAAUUUUAUUAUUAUUUCAAUUUGUUCUUUUCUUCUAAUGCUUAUCAUUAUUAAGGCUACUACUUAGUAUUAUUUAAAAAAAUUAUAUAAUAUAACUAUUAUUACUAUGGUUAUUAAAAAGAAAUAUUAUUAAUUUUGUUUUAUUCAUUGUGAUUACUUUCCUUUGAUUUAGACUCUCUUUGAAGAUUCAAAGUGACUACAAAAUUAACUUGAGAUAACAUAGGUAAAUAAGGUUGAGAUAAUGGGGAAUAAUGAUGUAGAAGGUAUAAAAUAAACUUAUAUGAAAAUUUGAAAAAAAAUUAAUUUGAAAAAGAAGUUUAAAUUGAGAAUUUUAAAAAAAAAACUCUUUGAAUUUUAAAAAACAUCUUUUCAAAUAUUUCCAAAAUUUGCAGUUUCCUAAAUUAUUUUCUUAAUAAAAUAUAUUUACUAAAUCAAGUCUAAAUCCACUAAGAUUUAUUUAAUAUAAAUAUGCCUCCUGGAAGAGUCCUCAUAAGAACUUGCAUGUUUAAGUUUUAAGUAAUUAUUCUUUGCAAGAUUUGAAAUUCUUAAAAAGGUGUUCAUUUUCAUCUUUGGGUUCAUGCAAUAUAUUCAUAUUCCCUCAAUGUGUUGAUGAGUUUGUUAAAGAGCACAGUGGUAUUGCCUCAUGAAAGUGGGAUUAAGUAUAGGUUUUGGGAUGUAAGUCUGAUGAAGUAAUAGUUUUUGACCACAUGGUUUUUACAUCCACAAAGUCUCUAGAAGGCUUUAUGGAUAGUUUUUCACAUAUAUCCUAUGUCAUUGUAUGUGAUUGAAAUUCUUGUAUUGAUUAUUCAUUUUCAAUCUAAUUAAAGAAUUCAUCAUAAAAAAUAAAAAUUGGUAAACUUUAGGCUAAUUGAAUAAAAGACUAUCCAUCCCUUCACACCCGAUCAAGUAAUUUCAUAAAACAAAAUCAUAAACCUUCAAUUAGUAUUAAAGUAGGGGGAAAGUUUUAAAAUCAAUUAACGCAAUUAGAUAUACGUUUUUGUUUUUAGGAAUAAAAAACUAUUUUUCAUAAUUUAGUUUUUAAAUACAAAUUUGUUCUUAAUUAAAACACUAAAAAAUCAUUCUUAAAAGUUAUUUUUCAGAACUACUUUCAAAGACACCUCCUUAAUCAUUUUAGUUGUUUUUGGCUACUUUCUAAUGAUUAUUUUAAAAGAUAAUUAUAUAAAUAUAAAAAAUGAUAAAAAUAAAGCAUUAUAAAUAAAAAUUAUUUUAAAAUAUAAAAAAGAAGUUCCCAACAUAUUUUUAUUUUAUAAAAUAUUAAAAUUAUUUUUAAAAAUAGUUUUCAAAAGCUUCCAAACUAUUUUUGAAAAUACUUUCCAAAAAAAAUUGAGGAGUAUUUUCUAUAAUUUUUUUUUCAAGGAAAUUUUGUUAUUCACUAUUUUAGAAAAUUUGAUCAAUAAGUACUUUUCCUAGGGACAUCAGUCAAGCCAUGUUGCCUAUCAUCCACAGCAAUAAAUACUUUUCCAUUUUUGUUGACUUCAAUUGAUGUCAACCUCUACCUCCAACAAUGGUUAUACUUGCCCAAAUCCCACGCAUGCUGACUGUCUUCAUGGUCAUAUUUAAUUUUGUGGUCCAUAAUAUUCAUUAUUUUAAAGUUGUCCACAAAUUCCACACCUUAUUGUCAGUCUUUACUUCUAUCUCUUUUCAAUUUUAAAUUUCAAGUUAAAAUUGAGAUCAAUCAAAAUUUCAUAUUUCUAGAUUGCACAUAAAUUGAGCGAGUUAACAAAUUCAAAAAUUUGAGGAACCAAGAAAUUGGAUUUGGAUAAUAAAAGUUGGACUACCCAAUCAACUUAUUUUAGAUUAAAAGUAAUAUUCAUUUUUAAAAAAAAAUUUAAGACGUAGAUAAAUUUUAAUGAAAUAUGAAUUGGUAAAUGGAAGUGUAAAAUAGACAAAAAAAAAAAAGUACUUUAGAAAUAAGGGAAAUCAUGUUAUUUAAGUGCAACAAAAAUACAUAAGGUUACUUUACCUUUCCUAAAAUACUAAUUUUAUAUUUAUACAAAAAUUAUCAAAUAUAAAAAAAAAACUUUUAUACUAUAAAUAAAUAAAUAAAACAAAUUAUUGCUAUUUUAUAAUCAAAUUCUAUUAAACUAUUGAUUGGAAAUCUAAAAAUCAUUCUGAUUAUCUAUUAUUCAACUGGUUUUUUUAUUUUAUUUUAUUUUUUUAUUUCUUCUUGUAGUGAUUAAAUACAAAACAAAUAUAUAAUUAAGAUCAUAAAUAUUUUUUAACACUACUGUAUUAAAAACGGUUUAUAAUUUUUAUUACUUGUUUUAUAAUUUUUUUAAUGUUUUUGUGAGCUUUAAUUUUUAUUUCAAAAUUUAGAUUCUAUAUUUAAAAAAAUUUCAAUCAUGAAAUCCUUGCACCUACCUUUAUAGGAGUGAACAUGUUUCCCCUCUUUACUAUUUUCCCUAUCUUAUCAUUGAAGUUCUACUUUCUACACGUUUAAAUUACUAGUUCCAUUCAACACAUAAAUAAUACAUGGUAAAUUGGUAAUAACUUUCUUUUGCAUUUAUUUUCCAAGACUUUUGGGGAGUUGGCAAACUCUGCCCAGGCACAGUUAUCAUCUUUAUGUCACUCAUGGCCCAUAUUAUUCAUUCUCUUAUUAUUGUAUUUUUUUUUCCACACCUUUGACUUAAUCAAAUUGAUGUUUAGUUCUAUCUCCAGCAAUGGUUACACAAAUUCCACAUCUUUUGAUCUGUCUUCCACACAAAUUUCAUCCUCUUAAAAAUUUCCACAAACCUUUAUAUCUAAUUCCAUCCUCUUAAAAAUUUCCACAAACUUUUAUGUCCAUUUCAUAGUUUACUCGAUUCCACACGGUAGUCUUCUCUUUCCAUCAUCAGUAGGGUAUUGGAAAUCCAUUGAGAGAAUUUAGAGUGACAAUGAAUUUAUGACUCCUUCAAUCGUUUGUCAUUUUCCUCCUUUUAAUUUAUGCGUUUUAAUUUAUAACAUUAUUUCUAUAAAUAUUAUUAAUUUUUAUUAUUAUUAUAGUUGACAAUUUCCAAUAAUAAUAACAUUUUAUAAUAUUAUUAUUUUUAAUUUUAUUAUUACUAGCAUUAUUAUUCUUAAAAAUGCUAUUAAUUUUAUUAUUAUUUCAAUUUAUUCUUUUCUUUUAAUGCUUAUCAUUAUUAAUGCUACUACUUAGUAUUAUUUUAAAAAAUUAUAUAAUAUGACUAUUAUUACUAUGGUUCUUAAAAAGAAAUAUUAUUAAUUUUGUUUUAUUCAUUGUGAUUACUUAAGAUUCAAAGUGACUACAAAAUUAACUUGAGAUUACAUAGGUAAAUAAGGUUGAGAUAAUUGGGAAUGAUGAUGUAGAAGGUAUAAAAUAAACUUAUAUGGAAAUUUGAAAAAAAAAAAAUUUGAAAAAGAAGUUUAAAUUGAGUAUUUAAAAAGGAAUUUAAAAAAAAAAAAAAACUCUUUGAAUUUUAAAAAACAUCUUUUCAAAAUAUUUCCAAAAUUUGCUAAGUUUCCUAAAUUAUUUUCUUAAUAAAAUAUAUUUACUAAAUCAAGUCUAAAUCCACUAAGAUAAUAUAAAUAUGCCUCUUGGAAGAGUCCUCAUAAGAACUUGCAUGUUUAAGUUUUAGGUAAUUAUUCUUUGCAAGAUUUGAAAUUCUUAAAAAGGUGUUCAUUUUCAUCUUUUGGGUUCAUGAAAUAGAUUCAUAUUCCCUCUAGGUGUUGAUGAGUUUAUUAAAGAGCACAGUGGUAUUGCCUCAUGAAAGUGGGAUUAAGUAUAGGUUUUGGGAAGUAAGUCUCAUGAAGUAAUAGUAUGUGACAACAUGGUUUUUACAUCUACAAAGUCUCUAAAAGGCUUUAUGGAUAGUUUUUCACCUAUAUCCUAUGUCAUUGUAUGUGAUUGAAAUUCUUGUAUUGAUUAUUCAUUUUCAAUCUAAUUAAAGAAUUCAUCAUAAAAAAUAAAAAUUGGUAAACUUUAGGCUAAUUGAAUAAAAGACUAUCCAUCCCUUCACACCCGAUCAAGUAAUUUCAUAAACAAAAUCAUAAACCUUCAACUAGUAUUAAAGUAGGAGAAAGUUUUAAAAUCAAUUAAUGCAAUCAAAUAUACGUUUUUGUUUUUAGGAAUAAAAAACUAUUUUUCACAAUUUAGUUUUUAAAUACAAAUUUGUUCUUAAUUAAAACACUAAAAAAUCAUUCUUAAAAGUUAUUUUUCAGAACUAUUUUCAAAAACACCUCCUUAUUUUUGGCCACUUUCUAAUGGUUAUUUUAAAAGAUAAUUAUAUAAAUAUAGAAAAUGAUAAAAAUAAAACACUAUAAAUAAAAAUUAUUUUAAAAUAUAAAAAAGAAGUUCCCAAUAGAUUUUUAUUUUAUAAAAUAUUAAAAUUAUUUUUAAAAAUAGUUUUCAAAAGCUUCCAAACAAUUUUUGAAAAUACUUUCCAAAAAAAGUUGAGGAGUAUUUUCUAUAAUUUGUUUUUCAAGGAAAUUUUGUUAUUCACUAUUUUAGAAAAUUUGAUCAAUAAGUACUUUUCCUAGAGACAUCAAUCAAGCCAUGUUGCCUAUCAUCUACGGCAAUAAAUACUUUUCCAUUUUUGUUGACUUCAAUUGAUGUCAACUUCUACCUCCGGCAAUGGUUAUACUUGCCCAAAUCCCACGCAUGCUGAUAUGUCUUCAUGGUCAUAUUUAAUUUUGUGGCCCAUAAUAUUCAUUAUUUUAAAAUUGUCCACAAAUUCCACACGUUAUUCUUAGUCUUUGUUGGCUUUACGUUCUCUUUCGACUCCAAUGCACUUCAUCUUCAAAUUCCACACAGUGAAUGAUAACUCUAAAGAGGAAAAGUCGAUGAAAUAGGCAAAAAACUUCAAUUCUCUAUCAUUGAAUUUUUACAAUAUAUACACAGAGAGGACAGAAAAUGGAAACAAAGACUAUUCAUUUUAGAUUAAGAGUAAUGUUGAUUUUAAAAAAUUAAGAAUUAAAGAAAUUUUAAUGAAAAAUGAAAAAAAAAAUAGAAAGUUGGUAAAUGGAUGUGUAAAAUAGAGAAAAAAAAUAGUGCUUUAGAAAUAAGGGAAAUCAUGUUAUUUAAGUGCAACAAAAAUACAUAAAGGUAGUUUAUCUUCCCUAAAAUACUAAUUUUAUAUUUAUACACAAACAUCAAAUAUUAAAAUAAAACUUUUUAUACUAUAAAUAAAUAAAUAAAAACAAAUUUUUGCUAUUUUAUAGGGUAAUUCUAUUAAACUAUUGAUUGGAAAUCUAAAAAUCAUUCUGAUAAUCUUUUAUUUUAUUGGAUUUAUUUUCUUCUUAUAGUGAUUAAAUACAAAACAAACAUAUAAAUAAGAUUAUAAAUAUAUUUAAACACUCCUGUAUUAAAAAAAGUUUAUAAUUUUCAACUUUUUUAAUGUUUUUGUGAGCUUUAAUUUUUAUUUCAAAAUUUAGAUUUAGUAUUUCAAUAAAAUUCAAUCAUGAAAUCCUUUUACCUACUUUUAUACAAGUGAACGUGUUUCUCCUCUUUACCAUUUUCCUCAUCUUAUCAUUUAGGUUCUACUUUCUACAUGUCUAAAUUAAUUGGUACAUUCCACACGUAAAUAAUCCAUGUUAAAUUGGUAAUCAUUUUCUUUUAUAUUUCUUUUCCACCACAGAUAGUUGUGUUGUUUAUCAUUUUUAUGUCGCUCAUGGCACACAUUAUUCAUUUUCUUAUUAUUGAAUUUUUUUCCACACCUUUGACCUAAUCAAAUUGAUGUUAAGUUCCAUCUCCAACAAUGGUUAUACAAAUUUCAUGUCUUCUAUCCGUCUUCUACGCAAAUUCCAUCCUCUUAAAAAUUUCCACAAACCUUUAUGUCCAUUUUAUUGUUUACCCAAUUCCACACGCUAAUCUUCUCUCUCCAUCAUCAAUAGGGUACCGGAUAAAAUGAAAAUGAAUUAUGACUCUUUCGAUCCUUUGUCAUUUUUCUCCUUUUAAUUUAUGCUUUUAUAUUUCUUUUCCACCAUAGAUAGCUAUGUUGUUUAUCAUCUUUAUGUCGAUCAUGGCACACAUUAUUCAUUCUCUUAUUAUUGAUUUUUUUUCUACACCUUUAACCUAAUCAAAUUGAUGUUAAGUUUCAUCUCCAGCAAUGGUUACACAAAUUCCAUGUCUUCUAUCCAUCUUCUAUACCAAUUCCAUCCCUUUAAAAAUUUCCACAAACCUUUAUGUCCAUUUCAAGGUUUACUCAUUUCAAGACAACAUCCCUUCAGGAAUUCGUUAUCGUCUUUAUGUCAUUCGUGGCCCACAUUAUUCAUUUUUCUGAAUACUUUUCCAUUUUUGUUGACUUCAAUUGAUGUCAACUUCUACCUCCGACAAUGGUUAUACUUGCCCAAAUCCCACGCAUGUUGAUCCGUCUUUAUGGUCAUAUUUAAUUUUGUGGCCCAUAAUAUUCAUUAUUUUAAAAAUGUCCACAAAUUCCACACGUUAUUGUCAGUCUUUGCUGGCUUUACGUUCUCUUUCGACUCCAAUACACUUCAUCUUCAUCAUUAAUAGGGAACCACAGUGAAUGAUAACUCUAAAGAGGAAAGGUUAAUGGAAUAGCCAGAAAACUUCAAUUAUGUACCAUUGAAUUUUUACACUAUAUACACAUAGAGAAGACACAAAAGGGAAACAAAGACUAUUCAUUUUAGAUUAAGAGUAAUAUUCAUUUAAAAAAAUUAAGAAUUAAAGAAAUCUUAAUGAAAGAUGAAAAAAAAAAAAUUAGAAAGUUGGUAAAUGGAAGUGUAAAAUAGACAAAAAUAAAUUAAAAAAAUAGUGUUUUAGAAAUAAGGGAAAGAAUGUUAUUUAAGUGUAACAAAAAUACAUAAGGUUAGUUUACCUUCCCUAAAAUACUAAUUAUAUAUUUAUACAAAAAUAUCAAAUAUUAAAAUAAAACUUUUUAUACUAUAAAUAAAUAAAUAAAACAAUUUUUUGCUAUUUUAUAGUUGAAUUCUAUUAAACUAUUGAUUAGAGAUCUAAAGAUCAUUCUAUUAAUAUUUUAUUCAAUUGUUUUUUUUCUUUUAGUGAUUAAAUACAAAACAAAUAUAUGAAUAAGGUUAUAAAUAUUUUUAAAUACUACCGUACUAAAAACGGUUAAUAAUUUUGUGGAACCGUGUUUUUCACAUGCGUUCCCACUCGACGGCGUGACUCGCUUUUCAUUUAUUUAUGAAAAAAAUGAUUUUUAGAAAAAUAUUUGGAGUCACCACUUAUUUUUGUUUUAUUUUUAAAGAAGAAAACAAAAUAAGAAAGAAAAACUCUAAGUGUGACUCUUAAAGGAAAAACAUGUAUGUAAAAAAUCGAAUCUAAGUCUGGGGGUCAGGUUACUUAUUGGGAAAGUAUGUUGAAAGACUAUAACAUCAUUCUAAGCCCCUUAAAAAAUAGGUCUCUACUAAAUAAGGUGAGACAAUCAUAAUAAUUAACUAGAAGAUCAAUAGAUAGCAAAAUGAUCAUAGGUCAAAAGCAAGUUAGGAUAAUGAAUGAAUAAAUAAAGUGAGAGUGAGAGCGUACCUUGGUAGUAGAUAAUAAAGUGCUAUUAUGGAAACGAGGUUAAUUCAAGUAUAAAAUUAUCACAUGCAUAUCAAAGAUCAAGACAAAAAUCAAGCAAUAUUCGUUAAGCAUAGCAGUUGAUAAGCAAAAGAGAAAACUCAUGUGUAGGGCCCUCACCAAAGCCUAAUUUAUCUUGCAUGAAUUACUCUCACAAAUUCUAUUAUUUUGGAAUUAUGAAAAAAUUCAUUAUUGCUUAUUUAAAAUAAAGAGAAAUAGAAAAUUAUUUGAAAAUCGAAGAAAAUUUGUACAAGUGCAUACCAAAAUGAGAAUGACAACAAACUUAUUAAAAUCAGGAUUUUUGGCGACCUAAAACCCUAAUAAAUGAUGAAAAGUUGUAUAAUUAAAAAAAUAUUUGAAAACUGGAGUGGAAUUAAAACUAUUCAAAAGAAAACUAAAGUUUUGAAAUUUAUUUGAAAAUUGGAGUCUCGAAAAUUAAAUUUAAGAAUUAGAAUUUUGGAAAUUAAAUUUGAAAGAAAUUGGAAUUUUGAAAAUUAUUUGAGAUUUGAAAAUUAAAUUUAAGAAAUUGAGUUUUGGAAAUUAAAUUUGAAAGAAAUUGGAGUUUUGAAAAUUAGUUUUAAGAAUUGGAGUUUUGGAAAUUCGAUUUAAGAAUUGGAAUUUUGGAAAUUAAAUUUGAAAGAAAUUGGAAUUUUGAAAAUUAUUUGAUAUUUUAAAAUUAAAUUUAAGAAAUGGAGUUUUGGAAAUUAAAUUUGAAAGAAAUUGGAGUUUUGAAAAUUAGUUUUAAGAAUUGGAGUUUUGGAAAUUAGAUUUAAGAAUUGAAAUUUUGGAAAUUAUUUGAGAAUUGGAGCUUUUAAAAAUUAAAUUUAGAAAAAUGGAAUUUUGAAGAAUUAUUCGAAAAUUAAAGUUUUAAAAUUAAAUUUGAAAAUAAUUAAAGUUUAGAAAGUUAAAGUUUUGAAAAUUAAACUUAAAAAUUAUAGUUUUAAAAAAUUAAAUUAAAAAAUGAAGUUUUGGAAAUUUAUUUGAAAAUGGAAUCUUUAAAAAAUUAAAUUUGAAAAUUGGAAUUUUGGAAAAUUAUUUGAAAAUGGAAGGUUUGAAAAUUAAAUUUUUGAAAAAAUGAAAAAUUGAAGAAUUAUUCGAAAUUGAAGUUUUGAAAAUUAAAUUUGAAAAUAAUUAAAGUUUGAAAAGUUAAAGUUUUGAAAAUUAAACUUAAAAAUUGGAGUUUUGAAAAAUUAAACUAAAAUUUGGAGUUUUGGAAAUUAUUUGAAAAUUAGAGUUUUAAAAAUUAAAUUUGAAAAUUAGAAUUUUGGGAAAUUGAACUUUGAUAUCAAAAUAUGAAGAAAAAAAUAAAAAAAUAAGUUGUGGUGAUCCUGCAAGCUUCAUUUCUCCAUGUGUUCACCCAUUCUCAACUUUAUUGUGUUGUCUCCAGUUUCCAUCAACCCAUUCCAUGUGAAAUACACAACAAACCCAUUUUCCAUCAAUCCACUACAUGAUGAAGUGUCCAUCGUAACCUCCAUAACGAUAUGAUGAAUAGCCAUUAGGGACAUAGCACAUAGAUGGGUCCAUAAAUUCCCAUAGUAAUAGGGUCACAGACCUCUCACAUGACUGGUUCUAACCACUUGCAACAUCACCCCAUCAACAGAUUACCAAAAGGCUUUUUAGUUGGCUCAAGGAUUUCCAAAGUUUUGGUUUGAGAAUCCAAUGACAAAUUUUGAAGCAACUCUACAACUUGAUCCAUAGGGGGAGCAACAACAGCCAUGACAAAGCCGUAAGAGUCCUUCAGCUUAGUCGCGUGCUCGCCGCAGCACGCGUUCUCGCCGUCGGCAGUGGCACACUCAUUGGUUGCUCCAACGACGACGACGACCUUGCCUAUGACAACUUCCACAUCAUCAGUCUCCAAGCAGAUCAUGCAACCGGUUCUAACAGUCUUGGCUAGAGCAUAUGAGUCAUCGGCGAGGUCAGAGACGGGAAGCGAGUAGAAAAUGAUCUUAACUUCAACAGAGAGAAUGAGAGGGAGCUCUUGAUCAUUCUUCCCCUUAGGACGCAUUGCAUGGUUCACUUCCUCAGCACCAAAUGCAUUUUAAAUAGUGAUAAAAACAUGAUUGGGCAUCUCAGAGGGGAACCAAAACAGAGCCGAAGAAAGAGGGCCAAAACCAAACAUUAAAUACAUUUAAAAAAUAAUCGCAGAUUCCACAAACAUGCACAACAUAUAAUGUCUACAAUCAAGCAUCAAAAUGAAUUUAAAAUCAGUAGAAGGUAGGACAGAACAAAGUGAAGUAGAGAAAUAUGAAGCAUGCUGUAAUCAUACCUGGAUAAAACUAGCAAGCUCCUCCUCAGCUUCUUCUUCAGUUCCAACUUUCCUUGCUCUAGCCUUUUCUUCUUGCAGUUCUGUCUCCCUCUCCUAAAAAAAAAAAAUCUUUUUUUGCUCUCUUUCCAUUCCUCUGUUUUUUCUUCAGAUAUCACCUUAAUCUUCUCUUGUCAGCUUCCACCUGCUCCAUUGUUCUUUGCUCAACAAGUCUUCAUCCCAACCACCACCAUGGCGAGGUGGUGGCGUUCUCUGCCACACGUCUCAACAUGCCACUUCAUGGAAGUUAUCCUCCACUUCAAAUGAAAAUCUCCAACUCCCCACUUUUCCUGGUCCAAAUAGGGGUGGUAAAAAAGGAAAAUAAACCUUUGGUCAAUUAAGGGGUCUACAAAUAUGUCUCUCUUCGAUAGAGUCCACGAGAGUAAGGAAUAUGAACACUAAAAUGAAAAGAAAGUGUGAAUAGUGAAUGGAACGAAGUGAACUCUACUAAAGAAAAAAAAAAAAAGACCCCUUAAAGGUACACAAAGUAAAAUACAAACUCACUCAAACCAACAAAUGAGCAAAAAGAGCUCUAAAACCCUACAAAAAGGCAAAAACGUUAAAUCCUAAGGUGUAUCUAAAGUUACACUAUAGAUCCAGACUCCCUAAAAAAAGUCUCUAAAAGUGACUCGAAAAUCGAUAUCGAAGUUGAGUAACAGUCAAACCACCAAAGAGCAUAGGAAUGAGUACAAAGGAAAAAAAAUCAUACGUGUACCAUGCAAGGACACAAGGCAUAAGGAGUACCAAUGAUACAAUCAAUACACAUGUUACAAGCUCAUAGAGCUAUAUUUUACAUAAAAGAUGAGAAUAAACUCUAAUAUCAUAAUGAAGUGAGAAACACAUAUGCAACGAAGAGAGAAGUAAGAUGGAAUGUGAAACUACGAGAACAAAGCAUGUAAUGCUAGUGAUCAUGAAUAUCAAGAACUGUGGAUCUGAAUGACAAUACUGACUCUAAACGCUAAACCGAGAAAAGAAUGGCUCUGGAAGCCAAACCAAAAAGCUAACUCUAAACGCUAAAUCAGAAAGUCUACAAGUGAAGUCCUAUGGUGGUGAUAUAAUUGAAAUGCUCAUAGAUGCCAAUUUAUGGUAGUGAAACUCUCAAAGGUCCACAGAUAAAAAUCUAUGGUGGUGAUAAUCUCAAAGGCCCAAUGAUGAAAAUCCAUGGUGGUGAAUCAACUGAAAUGCCUAUAACUGUCCAAUCUAUGGUGGUGAGAUAACUGAAACAAAUGCUCAUAGAUGAAAAUCCAUGAUGGUGAGAACUGAUCAAGGCUUAUAAAUGAAAAUCUAUGGUGGUGAAACUGAAAUACCCAUAGAUAUACAAUCUAUGGUGGUGAAAAUUGAUCAAGACCCAUAGAUGAAAAUCCAUGGUGGUGAAUCUGAAAUACUCAUAGAUGUCUGAUUUAUGGUGGUGAAAACUGAUUGAGGCCCAUAGAUGAUAAUCUAUCGUGGUGAAUCUGAAAUGCCCAUAGAUGUCUGAUCUAUGGUGGUGAAUUCGAAAUGCCCAUAGAUGAAAAUCUAUGGUGGUGAAAACUAAUCGAGACCCAUAGAUGAAAAUCAAUGGUGAUGAAACUGGAAUGUCUAUAGAUGUCUGAUAUAUGGUGGUGAAUCUGAAAUGCCCAUAAAUGUUUGAUCUAUAGUGGUGAAAAAUGAUCAAAGCCCAUAGAUGAAAAUUUAUGGUGGUGAAUCUGAAAUGCCCAUAGACGUCUGAUCUAUGGUGGUGAAAAUUGAUCAAGACCCAUAGAUGAAAAUCUAUGGUGGUGAAUCAACUGAAAUUCCCAUAGAUGUCCAAUCUAUGGUGGUAAGAUAACUUAAACAAAUGCUCAUAGAUCAAAAUCUAUGAUGGUGAGAACUGAAAUGCCCAUAAAUGUCUGAUCUAUGGUGGUGAAAACUAAUCAAGGCCCAUAGAUGAAAAUCUAUGGUGGUGAAUUUGAAAUGCCCAUAGAUGUCUGAUCUAUGGUGGUGAAAACUGAUCAAGGCCCAUAGAUGAAAAUCGAUGGUGGUGAAACUGGAAUGCCCAUAGAUGUCUGAUCUGUGGUGAUGAAUCUAAAAUGCCCAUGGAUGUCCAAUCCAUGGUGGUGAAUCUGAAAGACCCAUAGAUGUCUGAUCUAUGGUGGUGAGAACUGAAAGAAAGGGGAUGCCCUAAACAAACUGAUAGUAGGGGGAUGCCUCAGACAAAUUGAUGAAAGAAGAAUGCCUUAAAAAACUGAUAGUGAGAGGAUGCCCUAAACAAAUUGACGGUUGGGGGAUGCCCUAAACAAGCUUAAGGAAAAUGGAUGCCCUAAACAAACUAAAGGUAGGGAGAUGCCCUAAACAAGCUGAUAAAAGAGGAAUGUCCUGAACAAGAUGAUAGUAGGGGGAUGCCCUAAACAGACUAAAAAAUGGGGAUGCCCUAAACAAGCUGAAAGAAAUGGAAUGCCCAAAACAAGUUGACAGCAGAGGGAUGCCCUAAGUGAUAACUUGUAAAGAUCGACAAAUGGAUCUAAUAACCAUGAAAUCAACAUGAGAUGUGGUAAACCCAAAAAAAAUAGGUAUCCCCCAAUAGAAGAGCGCUAAAGGGGGUAUGCCCCAGUAUGACGACUUGCAAAAAUCAAGAAAUAGAUCGAGUAGUGAGAAAAUCUAAAAAAGAUUUGAUGAACUCAAUGAUGGGGGUAUGCCCCAAUAGAAGAGCGCUAAAGGGGGUAGACUCCAGUAUGACAACUCGCAAAGAUCAAGAAAUAGAUCGAGUAGUGAGAAAAUCUACAAAAAAAAAAAAAAAAUCUGAUGAACUCAAGGAUGGGGGUAUGCCCUAGUGUAAGAUAGUAACCAACAUAAGACACAGAAUGUCACCAUACAAGACACUCUAGGAUGUGCUCAACGAUGAUGCAAUGAAAACAUAUAGGCUCAAUCAACAAAUGUUCAAACAAGACCAUACGUCACAGAAACUAAAAUAAUAGGCCAAACAAAUGCUAACUAAGACUCUAAGUCUGAAAUGCACGUAAGUCAAGACAUGACAUGUCAACUAUCAAAAUGAAAACAUCAUCACAAAUACAUCAACAAACUAAUAAGCUCUACCAUCAUGGAAGAUGUCGAACCUAAUGUCCAAAGCCAUAUGAAAACUUAACCGAAAAACUCAAGACUAGUCUGCAUCCUCCCAUAAUAAUAAUGCUUCAAUUUGAUAUGGGAUUGCAUUGUUCGUGUUUAAUGGCUAAGUCCACAAUGGUUUGUAGUUCUACAGUUUAUUAAAAUUAUGAUGUUUGAGAAAAGGUUUAGGGCAGCUUCUCAAUUGUGGUGAUAAAAAGUAGAGUUCAGUUCUUGGUCAAGAAAUUCUUCUUCAUUUGAGAUGGGAGAAUACUUCCAAAAAUGGAGAAGAGUGUAGAAAGUAGGCAUUGCUUUCAUGUUUUGGGUGGAAACAGUCAUAUAGGGUUUGUUUGGCAAAUGCUUUUAAGAAUAUUGUUUAUUUUUCAGAACAAAAAAAAAAAAAAAAAACAUUUGACAAUCAAAAAUUUGCUUUUUGUUUUUUAUUCUUAAAAAUAAAAAACAUAAUGUUUUUUAGAAAAUAUUUUUUUAUUGUUUUUUGAUGAUUGUUUAAAACAAUAAUUAUAUGAACAUGUAGAAUGAUAAAAAAAUAAAAUAUUAGAUGUAAAAAUUAUUUUUAAAACAUAUUAAAAAAGAUUAAAAAUAAAUUUAAAAUUAGGUUUACAAUUCUAUAAAACAUUAGUGAAUAGUUUUAAAAAAUUAUUGUUAAAAAACCAAAAUUUAAAAUUAUUUUUUUAAAAUAAUUACCAAAUAGAGUUAUAAUUUCCCAAGAAAUGGAAAAUUUACGGAAACAAAGAAAUGCAUUCCUUAUCAAUAUAUUUGUAUUUUUGCUACAACAGAUAGUAGUGAUCUCAAAUAAACACUGAGGUGGUGUUUGUUUUUAUAGGUAAAUGGAAAAAGCUAAACCGAAAAACAAACACCACUUGAGCAAGUAUAGAUGAUGGCAAAUCCAGCUAUAUUGCAAAAAACAAUGUUAGAGAAUGAGCUGCACCAAAGAAGAUCAAGCUUCUAACGAAGACCGGAAACUUAGUUUAAAAGAACAAGCUUCAUUUGAUUAGAUUGGAUAGUUUUGAGUACUUGGGUAGUGACCAACAUAGAGCUAGCUAGGCAGAAUGUGUGAAAUCUAUAAUUUUAUUGGAGAGAUUUCUACCCUAAGCUACAGUCUUGAGAAGUUGCAUUUUACACAAUCAUCCCUUCCUGUAGGGAGAGACUAAAGUUGCAAUCUUAUGCAACAAAUUAGCAGCAUUGCCAUCAUCAUCACCAUCAUCUUAAGAGAGAGGAGAUGUCCAUUCAUGAAAGUAAUGGAGGCUGAUAGUGAAAUCUGUGAAGAGUCCAUCAACUCCUAUCUUGUUUAUCCAGUAAUCAUAUUCUGCAUAUGGGUCUUGAUGGAAGUUGAAGUGUAAGAAUUGGUUCCGAUAAGUGUAUGGGUGUACCUGCCAUCACAAUUCACAAGUUGGGUUUUUGAUGACUUUUGCUUAAUGCUUAUGAAAUACUUGCACAUGAAAAAGAGAAAUUUGAGAUUUCCUAACAAGAAAAUUUUGAAAGAAAACUAAAAUCAGUAAACCAAAAUUUGCACAUGGUCAUGAUCAGGACAAAUCGAAUCCUAGAAUUCUUCUAGAGUACACAUAUCUAGAUCUUCAAAUUUCUUAAGAAAAUAAUUACCGAAAAGUACACAAGAAAACAGAAAUCCUCGAAUGCAAUCUUAGACAAAUAGAACCAUGGAUUUGUUCUUUUUCCUUUCAAGGAAAUUGAGCACCAUGAAUCAACGUGUUCAUAGAGACCUAAAACCAUAUUUAACAGUUAUGAAAAUUAAAAAAUUAGGGAAAAUUAGUGCAUCAUGGCUAUUUCUUAGCUCAACACCUUCAAACCCGUUCCCCCUCAUAUGGAGUUUAAGUUCAUUCACAAAGAUAACAAGUUCAAUCUUUAAUGGAGCGAAAAUAUUGGGAUUGAGAUCAUGGAUGCCCUAUAUUUCUUGGCUCAUUUCCAUAGUGAAUACUGAUAUGGUAAACUGUUUUUGGUCACUACAUAAUAUCACACACAACUCAGUUGAUGGAAUGACGCCAAAUAUCAUGUCUAUUUAGGCAUCCCAUCCAAAUGUCGUUGAAAGUUUGACCAUGCAUAGCACAGAGUGACACAGAGAAACCUAGAUGUAUAAAUGCAACAUACAGUGACAAAGAGAGACAGAAGAUAUGGCAUACAUGAUAUGUUUCAUAAAUAGCCUUAUUGAUAACGUCCCACAAAUAAGCUUUACACAGAGAAGAUACAAACCUAUAAGUCGUGGGCAUGUGCUUUGACAACAAGAUCAAUAGGUGUUUACGAAUAAUUAUCUACCACUGAAACUACUGUAUCCUUCCAAGGUCCAAUCCCCACCACAUACUGCUUAAUGAAGCUACAGUACCAAGAAACCAUUGGUGGACGACUUACGGAAUGAAGAGAACCACAUAAUUGGAUGGUCUAAGGGUCACCAAGGAAGACCCGAGGCUUUGGAGAGGUUGAGUUCAAGUUUACCUUAAGGUAGUACCUAGGGUCCCUUAAGGUAGUACCUCAAGGCCACUAAAGUAGUACCUAAGGGCCCUUAAGGUAGUACCUAAGCUACAGUCCCAAAAAACCAUUGGUGAAUCACUUGAGGAAUGAAGAGAACCACAUAAUUGGAUGGUCUAAGGGUCACCAAGGAAGACCCUAGGCUUGGGAGAGGUUGAGUUGAAGUUUACCUUAAGGUAGUACCUAGGAUCCCUUAAGGUAGUACCUCAAGGCCACUAAGGUAGUACCUCAAGGCCACUAAGGUAGUACCUAAGCUACAGUCCCAAGAAACCAUAGUGGACCACUUGAGGAAUGAAGAGAACCACAUAAUUGGAUGGUCUAAGGGUCACCAAGGAAGACCCGAGGCUUGGGAGAGGUUGAGUUGAAGUUUACCUUAAGGUAGUACCUAAGGUCCCUUAAGGUAGUACCUCAAGGCCACUAAGGUAGUACCUAAGGGCCCUUAAGGUAGUACCUAAGCUACAGUCCCAAAAAACCAUUGGUGGAUCACUUGAGGAAUGAAGAGAACCACAUAAUUGGAUGGUCUAAGGGUCACCAAGGAAGACCCGAGGCUUGGGAGAGGUUGAGUUGAAGUUUACCUUAAGGUAGUACCUAGGGUCCCUUAAGGUNNNNNNNNNNNNNNNNNNNNNNNNNNNNNNNNNNNNNNNNNNNNNNNNNNNNNNNNNNNNNNNNNNNNNNNNNNNNNNNNNNNNNNNNNNNNNNNNNNNNNNNNNNNNNNNNNNNNNNNNNNNNNNNNNNNNNNNNNNNNNNNNNNNNNNNNNNNNNNNNNNNNNNNNNNNNNNNNNNNNNNNNNNNNNNNNNNNNNNNNNNNNNNNNNNNNNNNNNNNNNNNNNNNNNNNNNNNNNNNNNNNNNNNNNNNNNNNNNNNNNNNNNNNNNNNNNNNNNNNNNNNNNNNNNNNNNNNNNNNNNNNNNNNNNNNNNNNNNNNNNNNNNNNNNNNNNNNNNNNNNNNNNNNNNNNNNNNNNNNNNNNNNNNNNNNNNNNNNNNNNNNNNNNNNNNNNNNNNNNNNNNNNNNNNNNNNNNNNNNNNNNNNNNNNNNNNNNNNNNNNNNNNNNNNNNNNNNNNNNNNNNNNNNNNNNNNNNNNNNNNNNNNNNNNNNNNNNNNNNNNNNNNNNNNNNNNNNNNNNNNNNNNNNNNNNNNNNNNNNNNNNAAACCAUUAGUAGCUCACUUGAGGAAUGAAGAUAACCACAUAAUUGGAUGGUCUAAGGGUCACCAAGGAAGACCCUAGGCUUGGGAGAGGUUGAGUUGAAGUUUACCUUAAGGUAGUACCUAGGGUCCCUUAAGGUAGUACCUCAAGGCCACUAAGGUAGUACCUAAGGGCCCUUAAGGUAGUACCUAAGCUACAGUCCUAAGAAACCAUAGGUGGACUACUUGAGGAAUGAAGAGAACCACAUAAUUGGAUGGUCUAAGGGUCACCAAGGAAGACCCGAGGCUUGGGAGAGGUUGAGUUGAAGUUUACCUUAAGGUAGUACCUAGGGUCCCUUAAGGUAGUACCUCAAGGCCACUAAGGUAGUACCUAAGCUAUAGUCCCAAGAAACCAUAGGUGGACUACUUGAGGAAUGAAGAGAACCACAUAAUUGGAUGGUCUAUGGGUCACCAAGGAAGACCCGAGGCUUUGGAGAGGUUGAGUUGAAGUUUACCUUAAGGUAGUACCUAGGGUCCCUUAAGGUAGUACCUCAAGGCCACUAAGGUAGUACCUAAGGGCCCUUAAGGUAGUACCUAAGCUACAGUCCCAAGAAACCAUAGGUGGACUACUUGAGGAAUGAAGAGAACCACAUAAUUGGAUGGUCUAAGGGUCACCAAGGAAGACCCGAGGCUUGGGAGAGGUUGAGUUGAAGUUUACCUUAAGGUAGUACCUAGGGUCCCUUAAGGUAGUACCUCAAGGCCACUAAGGUAGUACCUAAGGGCCCUUAAGGUAGUACCUAAGCUACAGUCCCAAGAAACCAUAGGUGGACUACUUGAGGAAUGAAGAGAACCACAUAAUUGGAUGGUCUAAGGGUCACCAAGGAAGACCCGAGGCUUGGGAGAGGUUGAGUUGAAGUUUACCUUAAGGUAGUACCUAGGGUCCCUUAAGGUAGUACCUCUAGGCCACUAAAGUAGUACCUAAGGCCCUUAAGUAGUACCUAAGCUAUAGUCCCAAGAAACCAUAGUAGACCACUUGNNNNNNNNNNNNNNNNNNNNNNNNNNNNNNNNNNNNNNNNNNNNNNNNNNNNNNNNNNNNNNNNNNNNNNNNNNNNNNNNNNNNNNNNNNNNNNNNNNNNAGUACCUAAGGGCCCUUAAGGUAGUACCUAAGCUACAGUCCUAAGAAACCAUAGGUGGACUACUUGAGGAAUGAAGAGAACCAUAUGAUUGGAUGGUCUAAGGGUCAUAAAGGAAGACCCGAGGCUUGUGAGAGGUUGAGUUCAAGUUAAACUUAAGGUAGUACCUAGGGUCCCUUAAGGUAGUACCUCAAGGCCACUAAGGUAGUACCUAAGGGCCCUUAAGGUAGCACCUAAGCUACAAUCCCUAAAAACCAUUGGUGUAUCACUUGAGGAAUGAAGAGAACCACAUGAUGGGAUGGUCUAAAGGUCACCAAGGAAGACCCGAGGCUUGGGAGAGGUUGAGUUCAAGUUAAAUUUAAGGUAUUACAUAGGGUCCCUUAAGGUAGUACCUAAAGGCCACUAAGGUAGUACCUAAGGGCCCUUAAGGUAGUACCUACGCUACAGUACCAAGAAACCAUUGGUGGACUACUUGAGGAAUGAAGAGAACCACAUGAUAGGAUUGUCUAAGGGUCACAAAGGAAGACCCGAGGUUUGGGAGAGGUUGAGUUCAAGUUUACCUUAAGGUAGUACCUAGGGUCCCUUAAGGUAAUCAAGUCUAAUCAUUGUUUUGUCUAGACAAUGUUUUGCUCUUUGGUAUUUAUGAUAUCCAUCUCGAAAGUUUAGAUUUUGCUUAUGGAAUACCUAGAGGGAAGGUGAACAGAUAGUGCUUACUUUUUAGCCCAAAUUUUUAUUUUUAAAAUUUCCCUUAAAAAAAAUUAGAGUUGAAGUAGAGAAAUUUAAUGGCACAAGGAGAUAAAAGUUUGCAUGGAAAAUUACCCAUAAAGCCUCUCAGAGACUUUGUAGAUGUAAAAACCAUGGGGUUAAAAACCGUAGAACACAAAUCCACUAUCAAAAGAAAAGUACAUAGAUUUACCUGGCGGAUGUUAUCCAUAAGAUUUACUCCCCAGCACCUACACUUGUCUUCACAUCCAAGACACAACACCACACAUGGUCCUAGUCGACUACCUCAACACCUGAGAGGGCGCAAAUCCUCUCAUGAACCUAAGAAUGAAAAUCACACAAAUUUGAGAAUAUUAGGAUGUUGGAAAGGUUAAUAAUAUUCUUUUGAAUUUUGCAUCAACAUUCAAAAAGAAUUUUAGGCAUAGCAUUGAUAGAGAUGAAGCCCUAGUGGACAAGAUCCUAAAGUUUUCAAAGACCAAUUUUUAGAAGAUGAAAAGAAUUAAAACAUAUCACAAUUCUGAAUUAGGAAAAAUUUACUUUGAAUGCUUGAGCGCUAGGUUUGAGUACUUGAGCACUUGACCGGUUUUUUAAGUAAUUAAUUAAAAAACCAUUUUAGCUUAAUUAAAAAUCUAAAGUCCACUUUAUGCCUAUUUUAGUCAAAUUAGCCUUUCGCGAAUAUUUCUAUACUUGCUACAUUAGGGUUGAUCAUGCAACAACCUUGAGUCUUCAAUGGAGAGUAAGACAUAGUAUCCUAGAAAAGUCUUAAGGCAGGGUAAAUAGAACAAAAUUGUCAACUUAAACUAAGCAACCUGAUUCACUAACACAUUUGACAACUAAAAGGGUAUCUAGACGACCUAUUAAGAAAAAGUAAAGCAUCUAGAUGGAUACUAGCAUUUUAAUGUUGUGUUGCCUCCAAAUUAAUGGCAGAUAAUGACCUCAGAAAAAAAUUGUUUUCAUCUCAUGAAAUUUUAUUACAAAUAAAAAUAAAAAUCUUUCCAAACAAUAAUAUGUGGAAAAUUAGAUAAAUAUGUUGUUAAACUAGUAUUAAAAAUUUUCAAUAUGGUGUGCUUUAAAGCUUCUGAUUAAAAAGCUUUACUUUCUGAGUUAUUUGCCUUUUUUUUUUUACUUACAUAAUCCCCUUUCUCAUUUGAUUUACUUUUUUUUUUCCCUAUAACCAUGGGCUGCAUGUGUACACCCACAUCCACUUGCUAUACACUAAAUAGACACUUUGAUGGCCAUAAAGAAUAGCAUGGAUUAUGUGCUAAAUUUAUUUGUCCUUACGUUAUGCAUGCACAUAAUUGGAUCAUAAGGGUUGCCUAUUUUGCCCUUGACUAAAUUCAGAUGCCCUGCAUAAGCAGGUCACAUGUGCAGAUUAAAGAGAUACUGAAUCUCUAUUUUUUUUCUUCUCAUCUUAUGGACACUACACAAAUAUCUUAUCAACUAAACUUUUCCAGAUACGAGCAUGUUUAUCAUAACAUCCAGCCACAUGUGACAAGGACUCUGCUCCAUGCUUUCUUGGACCCAACAAAAGCAUUGCCUCAACAUUAUGGGGCAAUUCAGGGGUUGGCAGCAUUUGAACCCAGUGUGGUAUCAUUUGUUCUCUUACUUUUAGCAUCAAAGGAGGAAUGUUACAACUGGAUAAAGUGGCUAUUUUUUAUUUUUUAAAAACAUCAGUUUUUAUAUUAAAGAUAUUAAGGAUAACUUCUAAAAGCCCAUUUACUCACAAGAAAGACAUUUCUAGCACUAAAUUUCUGCUAGAUCCAAGGAGAAAUUAAAAAAAUAAAUAAAGGAAAUUGAAGUCCUUAUGUCCCAAGAACCUUUAUCACUGCAGAUGCUCUAGUUUUGAGCUUUCACGACAACCUCUACAUUUUCCUCAAAUUUAACCCCUCUUCGACAUUUUUUCACAGCCACACUAUACUCAUAUCACCCAAGUACCAUUUAGCUUCCAUUCAUUGAGUUUGUAUGCAACUUUUUGUCAUUCUUUUUCAUUUUUUUUUAAUUCAUUCUUAGAAUCUAUCUUUGUUAGUUUUUCCAAAUUUAUAAUUGAAGUACAACUCUAGAAGGGGGGAGAAAAGUUAGAUUUCACCAACAAAACCAACACACCUUCAAAUGAAUUGUGUAGGCAUGUUAAGGGGUGAACCCGCCAUUGAAGAUCGCUGUCCCUAGAUCUGACCCAUUUCAAUCAGGAAUCAACCAGGGUUCUUUCCCUCUCACCAAGACACCCAAAUCCAAGCAUACGAGGCCACCUGCAGCAUGUAGUUUUCUCCACCAAGAAAUCUUCAGGUUGUUCAAGAUGAUAUAGGCUCGUAUGGGUAUGAUAACCAUGGGUGCUUAAAAGCACAACUUCCCGUGGUGACAUGGAGAGGGAGAUGGCUGCUGACAUGGAUGUGGAGGGGUAAUUUUGGAAAUGAAAUUAUAAAACAGUGGAUAGUGCAUGAAAGGGAUAUUUUUUUGGGCAACAAUAGACAUAUUUUGGGUUAUCCCAAAUUAAUACUUGGUCCAUAUAUCAUCCAUAUUUAAGUCCAAAAUCUAGUAUGAAAAUUAAGAUGAAAAAUAUUAUUUUUCAUUAAUUUCUAAAAUACUUUUAACCCUUAUAUACCUACGAGUGAGUGUGAAUUUUAAUUUUUUUUGUGUUUUUUUCCCUUUCCUAUUUCCUAUUAAAUAUUAUUCAUUUCUAACUUUUCUUUUUCCUCUCAAUAUAUAUUUCUAUUUUAUGUCAAAUAAAAAGCAACAAUAGUUUUUUAUUUUUCAUUUUUAAAGAUAUUAAAUCUCUUUGCUCUUAUUUUUCAUCCAAAUAUUUUUUAUCUUUUUAUAUUUAUCUUUUAGUUUAAUUUUUAUUUUUUAUUUUAAAUUUAUAUUACCCUUUCAUUUAUAUUUUUCUCUUAUUUUUAAUUAUUUUUAUAUUUUAUAUAUUAACCAUAUUUUAAAAAAAUUUAAAAACUGACUAUCACUUCACUUUAUAUAUAUAUAUAUAUAUAUAUCCUUUAAGCUUUUUAAUUUUUAAUGUUUUUAUUUUAAAAUUUUAAAAAAGAUAAAUUUAUUGAAAAAAAUAACUAAGAUAUUAAAUUCUAAUAUUAUAUUAAUAAUUUUUCUUAUCUAGAUAGACUAAUGCAAAGUAUUUUGACUCACAACAAGAAAAUUAUCAAUACAAUUUUUUAGUUAAACUUUAAAAAUUAAAUUUCAAAUAAAAUAUAUUAUUGUGGACCCCAUAUUUCGGCUCAUGCGCUUCCCACUCGAUGGCGAGCUCGAUUUUUAUUUUGAAAAAUGAUUUUAUUUAUUAAAAGAAUGACUUGGAGUCGCCACUUAUUUUUGUUUUAUUUUUAAAGGGGUAAACAAAAUAAGAAAAAAAAACCCUAGGUGUGACUCCUUGUUUUGGAAAAGGUUGGUCUACGAAAAACCGGAUCGGGUUCGGGGGUCAGGUUACUUAUCGGGAAGGUAUGGUAAAGAUCGUAACACCUCUUUAAGUCCCUAAAGACGGGUCUCUACUAAUAAAAUGAAGCAAUCAUGACAAUUAAUUAAUCGAGCAUGGAUACUGAAUGAAUAUCACUCAAAACAAAAUAAUUGAAUGAACAGGAGAGACAAAUAAUGUACUUGAGUGAUGAACUGGUUUACUUCAAUGAAAACAAAUGCUAGCAAUUAAACACAAAAUAAUCGUGUGUGUAUCAUAGAAUAGUGUAAAUCAAUCACAUAUAGCAAUCAAAUCAAUCAAUCCACCAAUCGAUCAUAAAAUCACGACCGUGGGGCCCCCACCAAAGCCCAAUCUAUCUUGCAUUAAAGAUGAGUGACAGUUCAGGAGACUUGGUCGUCAGUAUUAUCGGAGUUUGCCUUUUGAUUGUGGGCGGAAAUGGAUCCGGCGAAUUGCGAGUGUCUGACGAGCCAAGCUGUCCGGGGAAUCUGAAUUGUCGGUUGCGGAUGCUCUCCGGGUAAGCGCUAUCAGAGGAUUUGGACAUGUCCGACCGGGGAAGUUGAAUCGCCCUCCUCUCCCAUCCGGUGUCAGGCGCCGAAUGUGAAAUAUCCGGAGAAGGUGGAACAUCGACCAAACAGAAUUCCAGAUGUGAGAUAUCCGGAGAAGGCAGAACGUCGGUCGGACAGAAUUCCGGAUGUGAGAUAUCCAGAGAAGGUGGAACGUCGGCCGGACAGAAUUCCGGAUGUGAGAUAUCCGGAGAAGGUGGAACGUCGGCGGACAGAAUUCCGGAUGUGAGAUAUUCGGAGAAGGUUGAACGUCGGCCGGACAGAAUUCCAGAUGUGAGAUAUCCGGAGAAGGUUGAACGUCGGCCGGACAGAAUUCCGGAUGUGAGAUAUCCGGAGAAGGUUGAACGUCGGCCGGACAGAAUUCUUCCCCGGGUGGAAUGAGCUAUGCCACGCGUCGCAAGAGGGACCGUCUGCGUGUGCAAGGAAGAGAGAGCCACGUGACAUUUUUUUAUUGAGAAUCCCACAGGUAGGUGAAGGUUUAGAGAGAGAAACGGGUUUGGUGGUAUGGUUAAAUGGGUGUACACAUGGGUAUGGUAGAACAUGGUUAUGAGUAGCAUGAAGGAUGGGUAUGGGUUGUAUGGAUAUGGAGGUUGGGUGAGUGGUUUUAAUGGUUAUGUGAAGGAGUGAAGGAUAGCAUGCACCCGUGAGACUCCAUGUAAGUGAGGGAGUGGGAUGGAGAAUGAAUGAGAGGAAAAUGGGUGUGGUGGAGGAUGCUUGAUUCCUGCAAGCUUGUGUAAGGAAAUGGGUAUGGCUGACGCGAACAGUGAAGAAGGCGUAGGCAUGUGGUAACCGUGUUAUUCAUCAUGAGAACAUGAAGCCUUUGCUUGGACAAGUUAAACUUUUCUCCAUGCACAUGGGCCAUUUACAAGGAAAAAAAAAAACGAGAGCAGCAAAGAGAACCAAAACAGAGCAUAUAUGGGCAGAUAAUCACAUUCAACCCAAAACCAUCUUGUGGUUCUUGAUGUCCACAACAAACCAACAAAUAAAACCCAAAAACUAUCAAGAAACAAGAUAGAUCUCUUGAGAAUGUACAAAAUAGUGCGGAAAUCAUACCUGGAUCGAGCUAACAAGCUCUUUCCCUGCUCUCCGCGACUCCGCCUGGGCCUACUCUCCCAUUUAGCUUCCCCCCUCCCCCCUUUUUUCUUUUCUUUUCUUUUUCUUUCCCAACUGCUCUCCUAUUCCAGCCAUCAGCCCCGUCUCCAUUCUCAACCACCACCAUGGCGAGGUGGUGGUGCCUUUCACCACGCAUCCCAUGCAUGUGCCGUUGGUAGUCGUCCCCCACCCCUAAAAAACGAAAAUUUUACUCCUCCCGGGUGGCCUAUUAAAAGGGGUCUACAAUUAUAUAAAAUUUUAUCUAAAAAUUAUUGAAAGUAGUAUUUAAUUUUUUUUAUUGACUUUCAAACUUAUCUAAUUUUUUAUUUGAAAGGUAAUAGAACAUGUUUACAAAAAAAAAAAAAUAGUUUUUCAUUUUUUAAAUAAAUGAGUAUAAAUAUAUUAAAAGAAUUAAAGAUAAUCUUAAUAAAAAUUAAAUAUGCAAUUACAAAAUUUUGAUGAUGAAAUUUAAAAAUAAAAUUCGAAACAAUUCUUGAGUGAGAGAAUUUGAGUGCGGAAAAAAAAUCUUUGAGUGGAAACAAAUGGGAAAGUUUUUCAAAAUCACUUGAAAUCUUUAAUAAAAAGUAAUCUUGUACACCCUUGUACAAUUAGUAAAUUUGUCUUGUACAGUUAGUAUAAUACCCUUGUACAAUAACUCAAAUUUCAUAGAUCAUCUCAUGAAUAUCUAACAAUAGGUCGGUUAACCAUGUUUGCAUUGCUUUGGUUUUAAAAAAGAAGAAAAAUUGUUGAAUAAUUUUGUUUUACAAUCAUCAUAAGUGAGGUACCUAUUCAAAUAACCAUACACAAGAGCAUGAGAUGAAUGUAUGCUUAACAAAUGUGUGUAAAGAAUAUCAUUUAUUAUUGGUUAGGGGAAAUAAAUAAACAAGUUUUUCACAAUCACUUAAAAUCCUUCACAAAUAAUAGUCUUGUACACCCUUGUAUAGUUAGUAUAUUUGUCAUGUAUACUUAGUAUAAAUACCUUGUACAGUGACUUAAAUUCCAUAUACCUAUUACUCAAUGUGUAACCAUAGGUAGGUUAACUAUAUUUUCAUUGGUUUGUUUAAAAAAAUAGUGGAAGAUGGAAAAACAAAAUUUUAUUUCAAACAUCAUUAGUGAGAUAAGUAUUCAAAUUAUCAUGUGCGAGUUAAAUAAAGUGCAUAAGAAAAAAAAAAAGUUGUUCAAAAUAUACAGUUUUGUACAUCCUUGUAUAAUUAGUAUAAUAACCUUGUAUAAUAAUAUAAAUGUUAUAUAUAUGUAUAAAUUAUAUCCACAUGAGUGUGUAAAUCAUGUUCCCAAUAGUUUGGCAUUUAAAAUAAUUAAAACAAACAAAAUGUUAUUUUAUUUUAUUUUCAAUGCAAAAUAUAAUUAAAAAUAAGACAAAGAAAUUACUUAAAAACUAUUAUUUAAGCUAAGUUUAUUUAUUUAUUACCUUUUAUUUUUGGAAAUAAAGAAAAAAGAAUAAAAAAUUUAUUUAACCAUAAGAAAUAUGAAUAUAAGAUCAGUUAAAAAAUACCAAAUUUAUUUAUUUAGUUAUUUCUUUUUAUUUUUGGAAUUAAAGAAAAAAUAAAAAAUUUAUUUAACUAUAAAAAAUAUUGAUAUAAGAUAUGUUAAAAAAUAGAAAUAACUCCAAAUAUAUUUACUUAUUUCAUUUUAUUUAUUUAAAUUAGAAAAUAAUUUAUUUUAAUAGAUUAAAAUGUGCACAAUUGAUUUAUUAUUUUGUUAAUUAUGGAUAUAUUAAAAUUUUCUAUUAGACAAAAAAUAAAUAAAGAAAAUAAAAUUAAAAAGAGUAAUAAAUAUAUAUAAUUUAGUUAUUUAAUUAUUUUUUUAUGUAAAAGAUAAUCCCACAAAAACACAUAAUUGAUCAAUUUCUUUAUUUAAUUGUAAACAUAUUAUAUUUUUAUUUUAUUAUUAAAAUAACUAAUGAAAAAAAUAAAAAUAGAUAAUUAAUAAAUAAAAUUUAAUUAUUUUUAUUAUUUUCAUAUAAAAAAUAGUACUAAACAAGGUUUUUAAUUUUUAUUUUUAAAAAUAGUUUUUAUUUUUUAAUUAAAUGUUUUUUAAAAAAAAUAUAAAAAAUAUAAAUCAUAAUACCAUUUGUGUAGAAAGUUUUUUUUAAAUAAUUUUUUUUUAUUUAUAAUUUAAAAUAGAAAAUAAUAUAAAUUAAAAAUAAUAAAAAAUUCAAAUUAUUAAAAUAGAAUGUUACGGUUGAUGAAUAGUAAUGCAAUAAAGAAAAAAAAAAUUAUUUGAAAAGUCAUUCGAUAUUUUAGUUCACUGUUUUAUAUAGAAAUUUGAAGGAUAUAUCGAUCCUUUUAAUCGACUUUUAAUCGAUUAUGAGGUUAUAUGGACGGCCCCAAACACGAUUCUCCUUACAAACUAUAACCUAGCCGUCCAAGCUACACUGCACGGAGCCACCCACUAGCUGUCCUUGCCGCCAUUUCACUGUCGAAAGCUCUCAUCUAAUCUGCCAUGACUGCAAGCAACCACCCAUCAGCCGUCCACUCUUUCUUCCGUUUCUCAUACCCAUGUCUCAAACUUCAACCUUCCUUUCUUCUGCCCCUAGCUUUCUUUCUCUUCUUUCCAGACCAUAUGAAUCCAUAUUAUCCAUCUUCAUGUUCCUAUAUUUUCUCUCUCAAGCUCUCUCUCCCUAACUUCACAUGACAGCAACAAAAGCUGUCAUUCCCAUCAACUCAUUUAUUUUCCCAUCGUUGCCACUCUCUCAACCGAGCUUUCCACCUCCAUCCACCGUUUUCUAGAAUUCAGCUGCAACUACUGGACGGCCUAGACCGUGCGAGAAGCGAAAUAUAGAAGAAAGAGAAGAGCAGCCUAAGCCGAGCAACAGUUCUCUUCCUCACGUACCUCGCCGGAGUUCUUCAGUUUCGAAGCUGUUGUUUCAAUCCCGAGCGCUUCUCUCUACACUGCAGACGAUAGCCAGCACACCUCCUCUCUUUCUUGCGAAGUGAUCGACGACGCCAUUGAUGAGAACUCCAACUUGAUCAGCAGCUUUCGUCGGAAUGGCUUGAGCUGCGUUUGCGAGAAGUUUGGUUAAAAACUUGCAUUUCAGGCCUUGAAAGCUCCAUUUCUGGUGCUGCAAUUCUCGGCGUAGCUGGAAAGGUGAAGUACUUGGGUGCUGGUUUUCUUCCCCGAGGUGUUGACGUAGUUGGAAAGGUUAAGUUUGGUUCACUGUAUCUAUUUUAUCUUAUUUUAUUUAUUUAUUUGUAUUAUUAUUAUUAUUAUUACUAUUAUUAUUAUUAUUAUUAUUAUUUAGGUUUUAUUCUCUUUUGUGUUUUUGAGCCUGUAUUUUAAAUUUUGAGACUGUAAGAAGGGCGGGAUUGUUAGUUUCUAGACUAAUAAGGCUUGUUUGGCCGAUAAUAUAGAAGGACGGUGGGAGAGUCAUGAUGAUUGCAUUGGGUUAAGGGGGUGUGGUCAUGUGAAAACAGAGUUCUUUGGAGGUUUCCAGAGGUCGUAUAAAAGCAGGGGAACCGCCUCUGUUAGGGAUCUCUUCGGCUGUAAUUUUUUUCGGCUAAGAAGAGGGCAGAGAAAAGGAUAGGGUUGAGAGAUCUCUGGGAAGAGUGUUUGGUAUGAGUCUAGACUUCCGACUGUUUAAUUUUGUAUGCUUCGUCUUCCUUUUAGGUUCCAUUUUCUCUAACUAUUUUGUGUAUUCGUGAAAAUCAAGCCUUAGAUCCUUUUUGAAAGAAGAAAAAUUAUAUUAUCACAUUCAAGUUUACUCUUUACUAAUCAUUUUAGAUACGAUGAUUAUAUUUUUAUUUCAUAAAAAGAAGAAAAAAUUAAGUUGCAAUAGUCAAUUUGUUUGUCCUUUUAUGUUAGUCAAUUCCUUUUUGAAACUUUCCAAUUUCUUUUAUUAUUUUAAUUAUUUUCCCUAAUUAAAUUUUUUUAAAAUCCCACUAGUUCCAAUUUAAAUUUUUUUUAAGCUCAAUCAUUCACCCCACUAACAAUUCUUUUUAAAUCAACUCAUCCACUAAUUCUCUACUCUGUUUUCCAAUCCAUUCUUCUAUUUGGAAUUUAAAAAGCCAUAUGGUCCUUUGCAGCUAAUUUGAAAUGCCCACCAGGGACUAAGCUCCAAGCCUGGUUCAAGCUGUGUCGCUGUAAUAUGGUUGUUGGACGGGUUAGAUAUCCAAUUUCAAGAGGAUUAGGACCUGUCAAAUUGUUCCCUGAAAGAUCCAUCCGGGACAUGGACUACAAAAUAUUUCCUAUAUAGGAUUCAAAUCUAUUCUAUUUAACUUUUUUAUACUAUAAAUAAAUAAAACAACUUUUUGUUAUUUUAUUUCUUUGUAUAGUAAUUAAAUAGAAAACAAAUAUAACAAGGUAGAUUAUAAUUAUAUUAAAGAACAAUUAGUCAAAGAAGAAAAAAUUGUUAGAACAACAAAAUUUAAAAGAAACACUAGAAAAGGUUAACUAAAAUUCAAGUACGAAUUUGAACAUAAAACCUCGUUUUAAUAACUUUCCUUAAGACUAAAUUGGGAUUCUUAGUACUUUUGAAGUAUUACCAUUUUAGUAUGCAUACUAGAUCCUUGUCUAAAUUAUAAAAUUAUUUGCAAUGUGAUGAUAAACAUAGAUACUUUUUUGUGUACUUACAUUAAAAUUUAGUGUUGGUAUUGAUUAAUUUGAAAAUAAUGUUAUUAAAGUGAGUAAAUAAUUAAUAAAAUUUUGGAAAUGAUUAAAAAGUAGACCGAAGACUAUGCUGAAAUUUCAUAGGAAUUUUAAAAUUUUAACUUGUUAGCUAUGACUACUUUUCUUGCUUAUAACUAAGUUUGGGAUUAUGGUUGCUUCUAGGGUGUUACAAUAUUAGCAUAUAAAUAUUAUAUCUUGUUUGAAAUUUAAUAUUAUUUAGUAUAACAAACUUAGAGACUUAGAAGUUUUCUUGCCCUAAAAUUUGAUUUGGUUGUUAACUACUAGAAAAUUUGACAACAAAUUAAUCAUGUGAUGGUUUGAAAAAUGUCUAUGAAAUAUGGGAGAUAGAAAUUUUAGUUUACUAAAUUAUUAUGUUUGAAUAUUUUUUUAUUUCUUGUAUUUUUUUUUCUUUUUAUUUUUGGCAUUUCCCUCAUGGGGCUGUGGAUUUGCUAGAUCCUAAGACUGGUAAAGUCUUUAAGAUUAAUGCCGAGAGGGUUAAGCCAUUUGUGAAGGGAAUCAAUGAAGUUGGGGAUCAAAUCCCCCUUCAAAUUAAUGUUGCUCACUAGACCAAACGUGUUUUUCUUCCUUUUGUACAUAGUUAGAGCUUUUACAGAGUGUUCAUUUCUUUUGAUGUUAUUUCAUUUUUUUUCUUUAUUUCUUUUUCUUUAUUUAGGUGGGUUGCUUCAUAAUUUUUAUCCCAAUAGCUCUCAUGGAUCUUAAAUUUGCAUGAUUUCUUGUAGACUUGUGGAUUCCAUAGUUGUUUGUGGUUGUUGCCCUUUUUUUCUCAAGUGUCAAAUUUGUACUCCCCAUUAAAAAGGAAAAAAAGAAAAAAAAAAAAGAGAAGUGCAUUAAGGGGCUUGAAUUUGAAAGAGAGGACACUCAAGGCCCAAUUUUAAUAAAUCUUACUUUAUAUAAUUUAUAUAGUAAUUAAAUACAAAAGAAAUAUACUUAUAAAUAAAAUUAUAAAUAUUUUUAAAAAUAAUUAUACAUGUCAUCAUUAUUAUUUUCUUUACAUCCUUAAACAUAUCCAGACUAAGAGUUUUCAAAUUCUGUAAAUUAUUAUCAAAUGUCACAUAUUUUAUCCAUUAAUACACAUUAUUUUCUUUAAUAAGAUUGCUUAUGUGCAUUAGUAGUUGUUUUAUCAUUUUUUGUAAGUUACAACAUUUCUAAGUUUGAUCAAUUUUCGUCUUACAAUUUUUUUUUUUUGAAUUUGGGUUCCUUGUUUCCAAUAUUUCCCCGUGUUUCCCUAAAUCCAAGUAUUCAUAUUGUCACAAAUUCUCAUAUUUAAAAUGGGAUAUUGUGGACCCCGCAUUUCGGCUCAUGCAUUUUUCACUCAAUGGCGAGCUCGAUUUUUGUUUGAAAAAUGAUUUCUAUUGAUUAAGAAAAAUGACUUGGAGUCGCCACUUAUUUUUGUUUUAUUUUUAAAACAAAAUAAGAAAGAAAAACCCUAAGUGUGACUCCUUAUUUUGGAAAAGGCGGUCUGUGAAAAACCAGAUCGAGUUCAGGGGUCAGGUUACUUAUCGAGAAGGUACGAUAAAGACCGUAGCACCCCUCUAAGUCCCUAAAAUCGGGUCUCUACUAAUAAAAUGAAGCUGACACGACAAUUGAUGAAUGAACCAACGAAUACUCUAAAUGAUCAUGCACGUAUGAGAAUCCGAACAAGCAUAAGGAGUGACCAUGAGGCGAGUAAAUACGUACCUGGGUGGCGAACCGAUAUGCGCUAUCAAGAGAGGGGGUCAGUGCACAAUUUAAAGAAUAACUUCAAGCAUGUCAUAGAGCAGAAUAAAAAUCAAUCAUGCAUGACAAUUAAAUCAAGCAAUUAGUCAUGAAUUCACAUAUGUGGGGCCCCCACCAAAGCCCAUUUAUUUUUGCAUGAAUUAAUUCUAUAAAUUCAAUUAUUCGGAAUUACGGAAUUUAAAUUUAUGUUUAUUUUAAAACAUUUUAAAUCAUGAAAAAUUCGAAAGGGGCUCACCAAAGAAAAUGACGACCAAAUUUUAUUGAAAAUAGGAUUUUUGAUGAACCUAAGCAAAAGAAAAUCUAAGGAUGAAGAUUUGAAAAAGUUAAAAUUAUUUAGAAAUCUAGAAAUUGGAAAAACCAUUUGAAAACCGGGAAUUGGGAAAUUAUUUUAAAAUCGAAGACGAUGAGAUACAAAGAAAGGACACGUGGUUCGAAGGUGGCCAUGCUAAGCAUGCAGCGAUUUGGUGCAUCUACAUAUCCAUCCUUGCCAAUGAGGCUUGAUUGGGUGCUUCCCCAAGCCAAGUCUGCUAGCUGUUGGGACCAUUAUUGGCAAGCCCAAGUUAAGUCAUAUAGGAUUUCACACAAUCAUUAGAGCAGCCGAUUGUCCAAAUAAUCACAGAUUCAUCGCUUUUGUGAUCAACCCUUUCAAGUACAGCUCAAACCUGCUUGAGGAGGUCAAGAAUUCUUCACUUAGCUGCACAGUCAUCGCAAGAGGGCACAGUGGUAGAGCUGGACGUGCCAUUGUCAAUCUGUAUCAUGCUUACCAUUUCAGGAAUAAGGCCAAGUAGGAAUAAGGGGCACCAAGACCGACAGUAGCAAAGACUGCCUUCGGAAGAAAUAUUUAUGCAGCCAAGAACGAUGGUAAGGCUGCAAGAGAAGGCAUUUGUUUACCAGACGCGAGGCAUUCGGGUUGAGAACACCACCCAGAACUAUACCAUCUGAACCUGCUAAGGACACACUCAAACCACCAGUUCUAUGGCAGCUACCAUUAUCUUCUGAAAGCAAGAAGAAACCUGACAGAGAGAUAAUAUCAAAUCGACCCUCAUAUGAAACAGUAUCACCAGACAUAGCUGGCUAGCGAAGGGUAACAUUGCAGAUGACACCAUUUACAGAGAGGAUGUAAACUGUUCGGGGCCUUCUUUUCAAUUCCUCAACCAGUUUGUAAAAUGUCCUCUCCUUGCAUCAAAAGUCCCACAGCUCUUAAAAGGCAUUGAGAGCAUAAAGCAGGCUGACCGAAACCCAGCUCGCGGCUACAAAGACGAGACCCCAUGCACGAGGAUUAGACAUGCUCUAGCAAGGUAUUUUACAUCGAGAUUUGCAUAUUACAGAUGUUACAACCAGCAACUUUGGAGUGAGAAACUUCUCCUCUGCCCAGGUUGCGGAUCCCUUAAGCAAAUGUUUCAAGUGGCACUGACGUGAUUUAUCUUUUGGGUCAAAUCUAUGCAGGUUUACUGACCUAUGAUUGCCAUCUGGAGGGGUUUCAUGAUGGAAAUAACCACGUAACUGCUGUGUGGAAUAAGAUAAGAGUCCUAGGACCUAAGGAUGCAUUUGGAUGGAAAGAAGAAACUCAGCCACAAAGCAGCCUGCAGACCACAUAUCAUUGGCAGUUGUAUAUUCUGUAGCCCUAAAGAUCAGUUCUGGAGCUCUAUGAUACCUUGAGCAAAUAUAUGACUUGUUUGGUUCACCUGGCACCACCUUCUUUGAGCUUCCAAAAUCACAUAUAUGCAGCUGAUGAGUGUGGGGAUUGACCCAUAAAUUUUGAAGCUUGAUAUCACAAUGACAGACCCCAAUAGCACUGUGCAUGCAGUUAAGUGCAUGACAGAUCUGGUAUGCAUACAAUUGCACAUAUAUAAUGGGCACAUGCUGGUCCUUCCUGCUGUGAUGUCUUGAAACUUGGUAUGCAGUUUCAAAUACAGCUUCAAGAGCAAGAUUAAGGUACACUGCAUCUCUUUCAUUUCGAUUCUCAGUCACAUCCUCAACAAUUGCUCGUCUCAACAUCAACAUCACACGGAAGAACAAUAGCAAACUCAGGCUGUGGCAUAUUGCUUCCAUAAUGUUUGUUUCCAUUGGCAAUGUUUACUAGAAUUCUAGUGGAUUCUUGGACUUCAACUAGCUGUUGGAGUUCUUGGGCCUUUGGAAUUACAUGAUCCUUCAUGUGUGCCUAGUCAGGCAUCUUCCACAGACUAUCAAACAGAGCUUCAUAGUUCUCUAUACUCUUACCAAAGUCUACCAAUGCAUCCCACUGACUAAGCUGAGUAGCACAAUAAAUCCAUUGCUCCUCACAAAGACAUCCCAAUACAGGCAACCAACUCCAAACAUGAUACCCACACUAGAUAUAUCAGAGACAAAAGACACAGUGAAGGAAAACAGAGCAUGUGAAAGAAGUAACACGAUUAAAUCUGUCUUUCCUCCAUGAAAAUCAAAGAGAGUUAAGAACUGGUGGGAAGUUUUUGAGUCACUUUAACACAAAUAAAUAGUAUAAUCACAAUGCAACCCAUAUAGAGAGAAGAAAGAAAAACAAACAGAGACUAAGCAAAUGGAAGCUGGGAAACAGGUUUAACAUAUUAGACAGCCAAAAUACACAUCCAAAUAUCAGGAAGAAAAAUGGAAAGACUGAAAUAAUGGAGAACUCAAGGUGUAAAAACAGCUAAACCUGAGCGAUCCUUUCGAUCAAAAGUCGUUUGAUUCUCAGCAAGCCGCAACCUUUUUCCUCUGUUCCUUGCUUCUUCUGUGAAAGCUCUCUCUUCUCUCUCAAGUCACUCUCUGUUUCCUUCCCUGGACGUCUUGCCCUCCGAAUCACCUAAAGAUAUCUCUCUAAAACCCAGCAAAAACCAUCCCUCCUCUCUCACAGUUUUCUCUCUAAAAAGAAACCCCCCUUCAAAAAUCUCCAGCUAAAAAAACUCUACUCCCUCAAACUCACCCUCUCUGUCGUCGCCUUCUCCAGAAACAUGCUCUGUUUUCUCUCGCUUCACUCCCUCACCCCCUUCAGCCUUCUCUCCAAAAAGAAAAUCUCGAACGGCCUCCUCACCAAAAGACCUCACUGCCCUCACCUGCAGCCUCCACUACGCCACUAAUAACAGAAGACGCUCCUCAAGACAACGGCCUGCAGAUCCCCAUGCCACCUGUCAACCUUCCAUUGGCAUUUCAAAAGCACCAUAUGAUUCUGCACUGUCCUCUCAAAAGAAGACACGUGGUUGAGCAAGGCUCUUCCACGUGGCAAAAUGAGCAGCUGCAUGAAAGGCCCCAAAUGAGGGUCUACAGAUAUGUUAUAAUAUGCCACUUGUUAUCUGAUGGUUAGGGAGAGAAGAGCUUUGAUUUUUCAAAGAGUGCAUUUCUUGUGUGUAAUCCUGAGAAGAGAAAAUGUGUCUGGAAAAUCAUAUUGAAAAUACAGUGCGAAAUGUAAUAAAUUUUUUGGCUUGAUAAAGAGAAGCUUUCUUGAACAAGAUCUACAAAAGAAAAACUGAUCUGGAAGACCAGAAAUUGCAAUAAGCGGUAAUAGAGAGUUCAAAAAGUUCAAUAUUGAAAAGUUCUCUGGAAAAAGCUGACUUGGGUCCUUGGAGAGUCAAGAUGAAAGUACUCCUGGUUCAGCAAGUUCGGUUCAACAAGGUCUUUAAGAUGCCUUGAAAGGUGAAAAAAGAUCUACCAAAAACCUUAUCAGAAAAGAAGAAAAAUGACAUUCUUGAAAAGGCACAACGUGCCAUUAUCCUGAGUCUUGGAGAUAAGGCCCUUAAAGAAGUGUCAAGAGAAACAUCUGCAGCUGCUAUAUGGUUGAAGUUGGAGAAGCUAUACAUGACGAAAUCACUGGCUAAUAGACUCUAUUUGAAACAGAGGCUUUACUCUUUUAAGAUGGCAGAGGGAAAAUCCAUUGAAGACUAAAUGGAGAGUUUAACAAGAUUAUUAAUGAUCUUGAAAAUGUAAAUGUCAAUAUGGAAGACAAAGAUCAGGCAAUAAUACUUUUGAUUGCUUUACCAAAGUCAUACAAACGUUUUGUUGAUGCAAUGUUGCAUGAUUUUAAAAAUCGGACCGGACGAUCUGGUCAGACCGCAGACUGGUCACCAUUCCAGUCUGGUUCGACGAAUUGGACCAGGGAAGUGAUCGAAUUGACGAUCCCACUGGCGACUUGACGGUCCAAUCGGUGAACCGGACGAACCGUUCGGUUCAAUCUAUUUUUUUUCUUUCCUCCCAGCAUCCGUGUAGCUAUUCCCAUUGUCGUCGGCCACUGGAGCGUCGUCCCAGUGGCAGCACGCGCUGGAAACCACCUCCCGUCCCCUCCAACAUCCCCCACCCCCCACCAUCACGCGCGCUGAAAAGCCCUCCCCCCCCAAAACGCUGCAAAGCCCCGUCGCCGGCCACUCCGUCGUCCCGCCAGUAGCAGCACCCACCCACCCCCCGCCCCGCCCCUUCUCUCCUCUCUCAAAAGUCAAAAAUUUAAAACAGAGAGAAAUCAAACCCCUUUGGUGGAGGUGUGGCGGUGCUUUCCGGGUUUCUUGAUUCCAUUCUUGUGGGCUUUGUAGGACUGGUAUGCAAAGGUUGUACCGAAGUGGAAGAAGAACGAAGUUGUCACAGCUAUUAGGGUUAAGGUUAGGGUUUUGACUCAAAACACAGUGCCCUCUCACCUUCCUUCCAUUUUUGUUUUUUAAAUUUAAUUUUUAUGUUUUAUAUUUAAUAUCUUAAUAUUUAAUUUCUUCCAUUUUUGUUUUUUUGAAUUUAUUUUUUAUGUUUUAUAUUUAAUAUCUUAAUUUUUUUUGUUGAUUAUAAUUAUAAUGAUAGGUUUAAUAUUUAAAAUUUUUAUUUUUUUUAUAUUUAUUGUAUAUUGAAAUUUUAAUUUAUUGAAAUUAUUGAAAAUAUUGGGUUAAUUGACAUUUAUUGAUAAAAAGACCUUUAUGAAAAAACUCAAUAGAUAUUAUUAAAAUUUAGAUAGAAUUUAUUAUUUUUAUUUAAUAAUUUUUAAAAUUUUAAUAAUAUAAAAAAUAUAUAUUUAUGAUAUCACUAAUAGUCUUUCUUACCAGUGAACCGUGAAUCGAUAAUUUUUUCAGUUCAAUGAUCGGUCCGAUUCUAAAAACAUUACAAUGUUAUAUGGGAGAGAGCAAUCUCUAACAUUGGAGGAGGUUCAGGCGGCACUAAAAUUGAAAGAGUCCAAGAAGUUCCAAGUAAUAGAAUAAUCAAAUGAAGAAGGCUUUGUUGCUCGAGGAAGACCAGAAAAAUGAGACAAUAAGGGAAAAGGUAGAAAUAAAUCAAAAUCCAAGUUUAAACUGCGUUGCUACCAUUGUCAAAAGGAAAGCCAUUUAAGAAGAGAUUGCCCUGAAAGAAAACAAAAGCAAACAGACAAAUCAGAAGAACCGGAGGAUGCAACAGCUGCUACAGAUGGCAAUGAAUCAGCAUAGGGGCUUUCCAUGACUGAAAAAGAAUCCAAUAAAGAAUGAAUCUUGGACUCAGGAUGUUCCUUCGACAUGUGUCCAAAUAAGUCCUGGUUUGAAGUAUAUAAAUAGUGAUGAACGUAUGGUUUUGUUGGGUAACAACAAGGCAUGCAGGGUUGCUGAUAUAGGGUCAAUCAGAAUUAAGAUGCAUGAUGGUUUGGAAAGGGUGUUGCAACAAGUGAGGUAUGUGCUUGAACUCAAAAGGAACCUCAUUUUGGGUAUGUUAGAUCAGAUUGGUUGCUCAUUCAAAGCUUAAAAUGGUUGCUUGAAAGUUUUAAAAGGGAUCUAUGGCUAUUAUGAAAGGGGUAAGAAUAAGCAGCAUAUAUGUUCUCAUUGGAAAAGCAGUCAUUGGUGAAGUUGCUAUGCUGAAAAUCAGACAGUUGAUAAGACUAAGUUAUGGCACAUGAGAUUAGGCCAUGUCAGUGAGAAGGGUUUAUAAGAAUUGGGAAAACAGAAUUUACUAGUUGGAGAUAAGAUUUAUUCACUAGGAUUCAGUGAGCAAUGUGUUGGGAAAGGCCAAGAGAGUUAAAUUUGGCACUGGAACACACCAAACAAAGGAAAUUCUGGAAUAUAUCCAUUCAGAUUUGUGGGGGCCAUCUAAAAUCCCUACUCAUGCAAAUGGCAGAUAUUUUAUAUCGAUUAUUGAUGACUUCUCACGAAGAGUGUGGGUUUACAUACUGAAGAGUAAGGAUGAAGCCUUCUUAAAGUUUAAAGAAUGGAAGACAUUGGUAGAGAAUCAAACUGGAAAAAGGAUAAAGAGACUCAACAGACAAUGGGCUAGAGUAUUUUUCUGAAGAGUUUAACAAGAUGUGCUCACAAAAUGGUAUUGCAAGGCACAAAACAGUAAAAAAUAGCCCACAGCUGAAUGGGUUGGCAGAACGCAUGAAUUGAACCCUUCUAGAAAGAGUCAGAUGUAUGUUGUUGAAUGGUGGACUACCAAAAACAUUAUGGGAGAAGCUGUUUCUACAGCAUGUUUUCUGAUUAAUAAAUGUCCUUCAACAGCCAUUAACAUGAAAACACCUAUGGAGAAGUGGUCAGAUAAGCCUGCAGAUUAUAAUGGCCUAAAGGUGUUUGGGUGUUUGGCAUAUGCACACAUUAAACAGGAUAAAUUGCAACCUAGAGCACUCAAGGUGUAUUUUUAUAGGGUAUCCAGAAAGGGUAAAAGGAUAUAAAAUGUGAUGUUUGGAGACUGGCCAUAAGAAAUGUUUCAUAAGCAGAGUGUGAUCCCGCAUUUUCACAUGCGUUCUCACUCGAUAGCGAGACUCAUUUUUUAUUUGUGAAAAAUCAAUUUUAUAAAUAACGGAGUUGCCAAUUAUUUUUAUUUUAUUUUUUUAAAAGGGCAAACAAAAUAAGAAAUAAAAACCCUAAAAAAAUGACUCUUCUUUCUUUAGAAAGACCUGUCUUUGAAAACCAGAGUUUAAGUCCGAGGAUCAAGUUACUUAUUGGAAAGGUACAGUAAAAAACUCUAACACCCCUCUGAGCCUUAAAAGCUAGGUCUCUACUAAGUAAGUUAAGAUAUCUAUGAUAAUUAAUUGGUUAAUUAAUGGAUACUGAGAAAUAAGAAUCUUAAUAAUAAUAAUAAAAAUAAUAAAGGAGUUAGCGAGAUAGAUUCAAGGUGUACCUUAGAUGCAAGAUGAAUGCUAUCAUGAGAGACAAGGUCAAUGCACAAUGACAAGUGCAAAAUAUCCCACAUAAAAUUGGCCAAAAUCAAGCACUAUGAAUCAUGCACUUUACUUGAUUAUUUUUUAAAAAAAUAUUACAAAUGUUCCACCCCUCACCAAGGCCUAAUUUAAUUUUGCAUGAAUUAAUUCUAUGAAUUCCAUUAUUUGAAACCAUAAGUUUAUUCAUGUUUAUUGAAAUCGAGAAAAUCAAGAAAAUAAUUAAAAAAAGAAAAAAGAAAAUUAGGAAGAUGCAUGCCCGCAAGUGUUUAUUAAAAAUCAGGAUUUUGAUGCCUAAAAGCUCCUAAGAAUGGAAUUUUAAAGAAAAACUAGAGUUAUUUAAUGAAAAAGAUUUCCAAAUCCAAAUUUAAAAAGUGUAAGAUCACAAGGAAACGAAAAACAUCAGGAGGAGGAUGAUGCGCAUCAAGGUAACCAUGCGGGAAUGGAACUUGGAAAUUCUGGAUAAAAGAACCCAAUUCACUGGAAAAGUGUUCAGCUAUCAAAUAUGCUUCAAUUUAUAAGGAAACUUGAUUUGUAAGCUCAAUUGGAUUCUCCCCGUCGGUGGUCAAACACUAAACAAAAGGUACAAAAUCCCCAAUUUUCUACACUGACAGAUUUCUUGCAUUAUGUGUUAAUUUCUCACCACCAAGGUUUGAUUCAAUGGCUCCACUAGAAUAUGUACCCUUGUCAUUGCCAUCACUAAGCAGACUUCUCAUUUUUACUUUUAAUCCAUAAUGGAACUGAAUCUAUAAACGAAUGAUUUCCAUUAGUCAAGAUGGGCUAACAACGGUGCAGAGAAGGAACUGCUCGUUUCAUCUUGAGGGCAUGUAGUGCUCAAUUGAUCAACUGAAACAGUACUACAUAAGCUUUGCGACAUUUCUUCUUUGGAAGUCAAUGCAAUAUUUCCUAACAGAGAAGCUCUCCGAAAUAGAAGCAAUUGGUUUAACAUAACAUUUGUAGCUCUGUCCAACCCUAUUUCGCCACCAAGCCCAAAUGACCUUAAAUUUCUGCACAAUAUCUUCAGUAUUCUGCCCAUCUGCUUUUUCUUGGAAAGCCCGUCAGAGAUGCUUUUCUUCCAAUCUCUUAAUAUCUUCACUGAUUUCUUCUUCCUUCAUCUAUGCUUUGUCUAGCACCAAUUCUGGAAAGAUUCCAAUGCUCUGAAUUUCCAGCAGAAGUUUCUCGCUUAAAGACGUGCCUUUGUACCGAAUUCUGAAUAGGCGAUGCUAGGCAUUAAAUCCUGGUCUAGACGAAUAUCAUUAAAACUGUCAUGAUCAGAGAAGAGAUCUUUAAAUUUCUCAGCAAAAAUCAGCUUGGAAUUCCACUUGUUAGUCCACCAUAAGAACUAACAGAUUUCAAAAGAUUGCCACCUAGCUCUCCAGCUAAAGUUCUACCUUGACUCGCAGCCACUAAUCACCCUCCCAAGAAUUAGGUUCUGAGCAUAUUCACUUCUCUCCUAAAACAUGUAUGGAUUGUCAUGCUGGUAAAGAUAAAGUUCGCAAUAGUCCUUGCGGAGGUCUUGCUAUUGUGGAGGUUGGUUUGGACUCUUCUGUGGUUUCUGUUAUUUUAGAUUAAGGCCAUUAUAUCCUCUUUGCACAGGAAAAAUCAUCAUUGAAUGUUUCGCUUUAUCUUUAAUCACGAUCUGCCUCCUCAAAUUCUAGGAUCAAAGCACCUGCAUAAUUAUUCUGAGUUAUGCCUCUGCUGGAAGAUGGACAAGACUGCCUCUUAACUUCACCUCAAAUAACUGGAAUUUCUUAACCUUUACAAUUUGGAUGACAAGUUGGCUCUAAAGAGAGCUAAUUUCUAAUCAGACUGCACAGUAUUCGAAUCACGGUUUUUACUUUAAGAAGUGAAACAGAUUCACCAUGAGAUGCAAGUCUUUGAUCCAGCUUUAGUGCAGAAUUUGUAGAACCAGCCAUUGUCGAACUACUGAGUAUACAUUCUGAUACAAAUAAAAUCCUUUCUAUCAAAUGAGUUUCGUUCCAUCGCCUACUGUAAUCCUUUUUAAUUUUGAACAUGAGAGAAGAAGGAGAGCAUUUUAACUUUUGUUUCGAUUAUCCCAUUUCCAAUAGCAUUUGCCUCAACUUUUGGAGAAAAGCUUCGUCAUUUGGUCUGGCCAUUUGCAAUGCCUUCGGACAAUUCUUACAGCCUGCAUCAUCUUGAUCACUUGGUUUGCAGCAAAAACAGUUUGUUUCUAUGAGAGGAGCAAUUAUUGUUUCUGCGUUCAGUGUAUAGGUGGAUGCCUGAAACUCCAUUUUUUCAUCAAAAACUAAGUCUUCAUCAUAGGAUGAGUGCUAUUGAAGCAUUAGAAUUCAUCCAAUUAAAAUAUUUGAGCAUUCCAGAACCACUUGGCAGAGUACCUUCCAACUACAUGGGAAACAAAGGUGAAAUGCUUGGCUGGAUUCACGGCAAUGUAGUCCUCCUGUAAUGCAGCGAUUUCAAUGUACCUCUGACCGAUUUCAAAAGCAUUCUACUCUUCUUUGGGAUCUGCAGUCUGACUAACCCCAACAAAAAUUUCAGCACGUGUAUCAAGUGUCCAGACACCCUCAGCCAACAGAUCAUUUUGAUUAAAGUUGUAAGUUUCAUCAACCUCAAAUUUCCUUUUGCACCGAAUUCAGAGUUCAUCAUCUUCGUGAGUUUCCUCUAGGUGGGAAAACAACCACUCCAUUCCCAACUCCAUGCUGUUUACUCCAACUUACUACAGAGCCUCUUCUACUCUAAAUUUUGGAAAACCCAUCUCUAGAAUUAUUGAAAUAGCUGUCUCAUUUGGAGGGGGACCAGUUAAUCAAGCGCCUGCCUUGCUUUUGUCAUUUUUCACUUCAACUCCAGAAUAGAUGAGCCAAAUAACAGAAAUGAUUUUUGUAAUGAGAUCAUAACUACAAUCAGUAAAUUGUGGAUUCGUCCAAACUGGAAACACACCUUCAGCAUCACGAACUGGAGGGCCUUUACAAAUGUCCCAGCAUCCCUAGGAAAAGGAAUAUCACCAAUGAUCAGGGGUUGGGCAGGCAGUGCUUUGUAAAUGGAGAUAAAACAGAUGAUGAUGUCACUAGAUGGCCCAUUAGUUUUCCAUAGCUAGGUAAGAGACUGUAAACCUAUGAAUGAUCAAUUUCAUCCUUUCCAUCCGGCUUUGAAUUCCCAUCAUCAGUCUCCAUAGGUGGAGCAGGAGCCUUGUCAACCGUAAAAAGUAGUUGACUGGCAGCUACAAGUGUAGUCAAAACUAAUUGAACCAUCCCAUGUCCAUACAAGCAAUUCACCAGAACUCGAUUAUAGGAGUCUGGCCGGUCCAAUAGAAUGCCAUCAAUGAAAUCAGUAACUUUGCCAAAGUAGAGACAUUCUGUCGAUAUGGAUCCUAUGGUCCAGAUGGAUUUGCAGAACCCCCAAAAUUUAUGUGGUCCAGAGCAAAAAUGGAGACCUCAUAUUUUGAAGAAGGUGACACAUUCAGAGUAUCAUCACAUCAUCGAGGGAGCAGCAUGGCCUUUCCUGACUCUCGAAACAAAUGGGCAAUACGAAAAGAGAGCGAUCUGACCACAUCACAGCAUGAAAAAUAACACGAUCUCUGCUUUUUAUCUUCCUUUUUACUAAUGACUCCAGUAGAAACAGAAGAACCCGAAUGACGCAAUUGAUGACCAUCUGGAUCACCAUGAUAACAGGUGAAUAAUGAAAAAACAUGACCACCUCAAUGUCCAUGUGAAUUUAUUUGUUGAUAAGUUGUGCUUAUUCUUGUUUGCCAUUGUUUCUUUGAUUAGUAGCUUCUGAUUUUUAUGCUGAGCAGUUUCAAAUGCUUUCAAAUGAGCUUCACUAGCAGGAACAUGGUAGUUGACUAUUGACAUCACAUCCCUGCCACUAACUUUUUGAGUUAGUAAAUAUGAAUUCUAUUGCAACUGACUUUCCAACCAAUCUUGGAAAGUCUUUGGAUUCCAUUAGCUUCAGGAAUUAUAGCGAGUCAUGUUUUUGGUAAGCCCAAUACCACAUCUUCUCCAUAAAUCUGAAGAUCACAUAACAGAGCCAUUUCUAUCCUAUCACCCAAUGCUACUCCUUCAACUGUCACUGAAGGAAUCCCUACACUUUCAAUGGUCAAAAAGCCAUAUAAAACUACAACUGCACACCCAAGCUUCAUGGCCUUCAUGUUCUGAUAUAGUGCACUGAAAUAUAAUAAUUUCUUAUCUGAACUUAAAUGAUCUCCGAAGAAUGCUUCUCAAUUCUGAAAGAUUCACCAGUCAUAUACUAUCUGUUAUUACCGAACUCAAUUUGAGCUCCAUUUACACAUCUCUUGUUCUUCUUUCCCCUCAAGCUGCCUUACUUUUGAAGAUUCAAGUAAUCAUCAGAUGCAUUGGAACUCUUACCAAAACCAAAGCUCCUCUGGGAACCUUUACUAUUUACAGGUGUUCCAAUAUUUGGACUCCUUGUCAACAUCGAUUCUUUCUUUCUCAUACACUUCAUCGAUGUAUUUCCAAUUCAUCAACAACUUCAAACAGAUUAGAAAGAGAAAGAUUCUAGUGCACUACGACGGCAGGGCCUCCCAUAUGGCCAAUAAUAAUGUCGAAUGAUACCCUAGUGAGCCAACUGAUUUUUUUCAGCUUAGUUGUGGCUUAAAACUCAGUCUGGAGCAAUGUUUUGCUGACCUCACAAUCUGAGUCAUAAUGGUAACCUGCAGGUCUCUAAUCACACGGGAAUGCAGUGGUUUACCUGGCUCUAGAAAUGAAGGAUCCCAGCAAAACCACAAAAGGAUCGUAUAUACAGUAGAAACAAAAAGAAAAAUGUCCCAAAACAGAGCAUGACCAAAAUAACAAAUAAAUAAACGAACCAUUAAACAGAAACCCACUUCAUGCUGAAUUCAAUGGGUUCAAAGAUGAGUGGUACAACUGAAAGAUUCAAAGCAAAUACUAAGAUAAAAUCAUCAAAGAACUCUCAAUAUGAAAGUGGAACAUGUUCAAAUCAAUUCUCAAAUGAAAUCCCAAGAGCAUGAUAUAAAAGAAAACGAUUUCAAAUUCAACAUCAGUCCAUAAUCAACAGAACUCAUAAAUGGAAAUGAACAUAGGAGUUAUAGUAAUCAUACCUGAGAACAUCUCUCUUCUUCUCCAAAGACCGGUAAGUUCUCUUUCUCCAAAGCCAAAGAACUAGCUGAAAUCCUCCUCCUCUCCUCUAUUAUCUUCUCUCUUCCCUUGCCUUUUAUAGCCUGCUACGAAUCUCAAAAUGUCACGCCCCAAGACCCACUCCAAGGGCGUGAUGGUCAUUUUACACCUCAAACCCGAAGGCUUAAAGUGUAACCUGACCCAAAUAAAUAUAUUGUAACUGGAAGUAACCAAUUACCAAAUACCUAUUUAGAGUAGCGGAACAAAAUUAUAAAAUCUUCAAACUUAACUUUAAAACUAAGCAUCCAUCAACCAAAAUCCAUUAUCUAAAUAGAUUGCGAACUCAACAAAUCAAGUGCUAACAAAUCUUCAUAAUCUCUAAAUCUCAACUUCAAACUAUCAUAAAUAAAAAAAAUAUUUAAAAGUUCAAUAUCUAAAUAGCUUCCAAAAACCAAAUAAUCCAAAUGAACAUAAACUUAUAAGCUACCAAUGUUCAAAAAUAACAUCCUAAGAAAAAUCCUAAUGAUGACCAUUUCCCGACCUAGCCAUCACUUCUUGCCCAAACUAAGGGUACCUGAAAAAUUAUCAACAAGGAGAAUGAGCUCAAAGCCCAAUAAGGAAUAUUAAUGUCGUCCAUGGAUCAAAUAUUUUAAGUUCACUUACAAAAUAGGAGAUAUUAUAACUAAUUAUUUUCAUAAACCUUUGAGUCAAUUUUGUCAAUACAUUCAAAACUUUUAACUGUACACUUUCAUUUCUGAUUCAAACAUUUUCAUAUCAAAUCCAAUCAAAACGUUCAAAUUAUUUAUUUACUCUGGUCAUCAAACAUCAAAUGGUGCCCAGUUAGGUGGGACAUUUCAAAUAGGUGGCUAGCCUCAAAUUGUUCCUUUAAGGUGGACGGAACCAAACACUACUAGUACUAGUAACCUCUAAUCAAACCCCUAGAGGCUGAAGUCAAAAUCAAUUACAUUCCUCACUAAGAAAUGUAAAGGUCAACUAUUAUAUCCCGUUGACAAAGGCCAAAAAGUCAAAAGUCAACUAUUUUAUCCCGUUGACAAGGGCCAAAUAAACAAGAGUCAAACAUUUAUUUCAAUUAUUCAAAUUUGCAAAACAUAAUAUCUCCACAUGUCUCUAUUAUAAACAAAAUGUAAGGUUCUAACAUACUUUUCAUGCAAAACAUAUUUGAUCCAUGUAUAAAACGAAUAAUAACUCAAAAUAUUUCCAAAUGAUGUAUAUAAAAAUUUGUUUCUAAAAAAAAAAAAAAAAAAAAAACAACUGCAUUAAUUUCCCUUACCUCAAAAGAAAUUCUUGAAGGCUUGGGAGAAAAAUAAUUCUAGAAAAAAAAAAUUACUCUCCACCUAAUAUAACAUAAGAGAAACAAUUAUUACUAUUUAUCUAUAAUUUAACUAAUCUAUUCCUUGUUUAAAUAAAACUAAUAAAUUCCCAAUUUGUUUCUAAUAACACAUUACUAAUUUAAUUAAAUUACAAUUUUAUUUCAUUAUAAAAUUCUAUAUAUAUUUUGCUAAAUCUCCCAUUCUAUUUAUUACAAUAAACCAUUAUUACUAUUAUCUUAUUUAUUAAUCUAAAACUAAAUAUUAUUAUUUGAUUAAUUGACCAACUCAAAAGCCACCCAAACCAUUACCCACUUGUCUCAGGUAUACCAAACCAAUAAAACAAAGCAAUAUUUUUUUUUUCAUUGCCAUCAUCAUUAUUAUGAUGAUUCAUUAUAUAUAUAUAUAUAUAUAUAUAUAUAUAUAUAUAUAUAUAUAUAUAUAUAUAUAUAUAUAUAUAUAUAAAAGCCUUCAUUCCAUCUGGGCACACGCUCUUUUUUUUUUUUUCAUUCCGGUGUGCAUACACGUGUUUUUUUUGCUUUUUUUUUAUAACAUUUUCUAGUCCCUUCAACCACAAAUAACAAUAUAUUUAUUUACUUUUUUUUUUAUUUAUAAAAAUUAGCCCUAACCUAAAAUCGAAACCUUCCAAGGAACCUUUUUUUUUUCAUAAAAAAAACUUAAAAUCUCCCAAAUUCCACCAAUAAAUCAAAAUCUUAAAUUUUAUUAUUAUUAUUUUGAUAUUAAAAUGAAUUAAAAAAAAUAAGUAAACUAACCCUAAUCUAGAUUUGGGUUUUCCAAAAGAUAUAUAAUGUGUUUGAAAUUAACCAAUAAAUCUAAAAUAUUAAACUAGGGGUUAGAAUCUUACCUAGAGAGAUUUGUUCUUCAACCUUGAAAUGUGACUCCAACCUUACGUUCUUUGGAAUUCUGCGAACAGGAACUCUAUUCAGAAAAGAAUAGGAAGAAUAUAAUUUCUAAUUUAUACCUAGGGUAUUUAUUCGUAAAAUUACAUUUUUACCCCUCUUUCAUUUUAUUAAAUUAAUUAAUUAGCUAAUUUAAUUAUCAUUAAUAAUUUCCUAAAUUACCCUUAAAAAAAAACUUGGGCGUUACACAAAAACUCCCCAUUUUCUUCUUCAAAACCUUCUCUGUAGCUUCUCAAAAAUCUGCUCUCUCCGUCUAAUCCCCUCUCUAAACCCAGCUCUUUCCUCCUGCAACUCUCUCUCUUUCUCUCUUAUUUUUCUCCAGAAAUCCAGAAGAAAAAAAAUGUUCUUCUCUAGAUUUCCCCAAAAAACCCCUCUGUCUUUCUCCGUCUUUCUCUCUUUCUCUAUUUCUUUUUCCAUUUCUUUCUUUUCCUUCCAAAAAAGUUCCUUAAAAGAUGAAAACUGAAAAACCCUUUCUUGAAAAAUCUUGUCGUGAUUCCAAACUGAAGCCCCUCUUCUCUCCAAUGCUAUCCACGUGAUCUCUUCACCCUUAGCUGACUAAUCUCCAGAAUCCUCCAAAUAUAACUAUCACGUCACCUCUUUCAAAAUGCACACUUCUCUGACUCUCAUCUCUUCUCUGCCCAUCUCCACAUGAUUUCCAUGUCAUACUCCGGAUUGUAUUCUAUGAUUAUACAAGAAUUGAAUGCUGAAUCACAUGAGAAAAUAUGUCACAAAUCUCUAUAGAAAUGGUAAUAACCUGAAUCCAUUUGCGCGUUUGAUGAAGAUGGUAUGGAUCUUCUACGAGCAAUGGAGGACACCAUCUCUUACACUGUAUUCUCUCAAGCAAUGGGAGUAGGAGAGAGAGCGGUUGUUUUCUACUAUUCAAAGAUGUGAUGAUUGUGAAAAGACACAAGCCUCAGCCCUUUUAUACCCUCCUGCCUUAGGGACCAUACCCAUUGAUUAUUGGGCCUCACGGGCCUUAGGCCCAUCAUCUAAAGCCCGUGAUGACAUUAGGCUCUACACAUUAGGUGGCCCAUACUCAAGAUUAAAAUCAGAAAUUAUAUGUUAACAGAUAGCUUAAUCCUGAACAAUGUUUAAUAUAAUGUCGGUCCACAUUUAUUCUAUCAAUCUCUCACUUGGACCACAUAUAUAUUACAAACAAUGUUUAUGAUAAUACUUUAUUGAGCUCAUCUUUGCUAUCUUAUCAAAAUAUCCUUAAACAAUUCGGUCUACUAAUUAUGCUAACAUAGGAUUAAAGCGGUCUUCGUUAAUCAUAAUUAUAACUUGACCUAUAAUCAAUCACAACAUUAACAAAAUUAGCAACAUGUAUCAAGUAUGGAUGUGUAGCAUGGAAAUUAUAUAAAAUAUGAUCUUUAAUAUGUCUAUUUCCAAUUGGUCCUACUUUAUGACUAAAAGAUAGUCAAAUACCACUUUCAACACUUGAUGUUAAACUGCUUCUAAAAGUCAUCAUUUCAAUUCAGAGAAUUCAAAUACAAUAGUCUUUAAAAUCGAGAUUUGUACAGAUAACACAACAUAAUAUCACAUCAAGAAAAUAAACACAAAAUCUGAAUACAAACUCCCACUAUACUGGCACAUCAUCAAUGUGUACAACACCCAUAUGUGUGACGUGCUCAUGAUAUACUUUGGGUGGCAAACCCUUAGUGAGCGGAUCCGAAAUCAUGGAGUUUAUGCUUAUGUGUUCAAUCGAUACUUGAAGACUCUGAACUCUUUCUUUCACAACCAAGAACUUGAUGUCAAUGCGUUUGGACUUUGACGAACUUUGGUUGUUCUUAGAAUAUAAUUCUGCGGCCUUAUUAUCACAGUUGAUUCUCAAUGGUUUCUCAAUCCCAUCAACGAUUCGUAACUGAGUGACAAAAUUCCACAACCAUAUCCCAUGGUUUGAUGCUUCGUAGCAGGUUAUGAAUUCUGCCUCCAUGGUGGAAGAAGCAAUAAGUGUUUGUUUAACACUUUUCCAUGAAACUGCUCCUCCAGCUAACAUGAAGAUGUAGCUUGAAGUGGAUCUCCUACUGUCAAGACAUCCUGCGAAAUCGGAGUCCGAAUAUCCCACGAUCUCUAAGUGACUUGAUCUAUGGUAUGUGAGCAUGUAAUCUUUAGUUCUUUGUAAAUGCCGCAUAACCCGUUUUGUUUUUUUCCAAUGAUCCAUACCUAGGUUACUUAAAUAUCUGCCUAACAUUCCAACAAUGUACGCAAUAUCCGGACGCGUACAAACUUGUGCAUACAUGAGACUUCCUACUGCCGAGGCAUAGGGAAAUCUCUCCAUAUAUUUUUUUCUCAAGUUCAUUUUUUGGACAUUGGUGCAAACUAAACUUAUCGCCUUUUGCUACAAGCUUGUCUCCUAGUGCACAAUUGCUCAUGCCAAAUCUACUCAACACCUUAUCGAUGUACCUUUUGUGAUAACCUAAGUAUACCUCUUGAACGAUCCCUAUGGAUCUGUAUACCCAACACAAAAGAUGCAUUACCAAGAUCCUUCAUGUCAAAUUUACUAGACAAAAAUCGCUUGGUUUCAUGCAAAAGUCCCACAUCACUACUUGCAAGUAGAAUAUCAUCAACAUAUAACACCAAGAUAAUGAAUUUGCUCCCACUGAACUUAAGGUAUAUGCAUUGAUCAACAGUGUUCUCUUUAAAACCAAAUGAAGUAAUCACCUAAUCAAACUUUCGGUACCAUUAUCGAGAUGCUUGCUUUAAACCAUAUAUGAACCUUUUUAAUCUGCAUACAAGUUGCUUUGAAUCAUUAGACUCAAAGUUCUCCGGUUGCACCAUGUAUAUUGUCUCAUCAAUGUUGCCAUUAAGAAACGUAGUUUUAACAUCCAUUUGAUGUAGCUCUAAAUCAUAAUGAGCUACAAGUGUCAUGAUGAUUCUAAAGGAGUCUUUUAAUGAAAUUGGUGAAAAAGUCUCCUUAUAAUCAAUGCCUUCAUUUUGAGUGAAACCUUUUGCAACUAGGCGUGCCUUAUACCUAACAAUGUUGCCUUUUGAAUACCACUUGGUUUUGAAAAUCCAUUUACAACUAAUUGGUUUUACACUUUUAAGCAACUCUACUAGGUCCCAAACACUAUUGUCUUUCAUUGAUUUCAUCUCAUCCUUCAUGGCUUCUAUCCACUUUUCAGAAUCAGAACUUUGUUUGACUUGACUUACUAAAAUUGGAUCGUCUUCCAGACCCAUGUCAAACUCAUGUUCUUGGAGAUAUACAACAUAAUCAUCUGAAAUUGUACUUCUCCUUUCUCUAGUGGAUCUCUUUAGUGGCACUUGUACUUGAGGUUCUUGAGGUUGUUGAGUUACCUCUUGAUGAACUUGAAUCGGUUCCAUAACUUGAGCAGGAGGAAUCUCAGGUGUGUCUUGAAUCCCUGUUAUCGACUGUACAUUCUGAAUAGUGUCAUCAAACAUAAUAUGACCAUGUCUAGUCGUAAUAAUAGGAAUAUUAACAGAUUCCUCUUCAAAGACCACUUUUCUUAAUGGCUCUCUCCCACUUAACUCAACAUCCUCAAUGAACUUAGUAUUGCCCGUUUAAAAAAAAAAUCUAGUUGAGGGAUCAUAAAAUUUGAAACCUCUCGACCUUUCAGAAUACCCUACAAAGUAGCAACUCACUGUUCUGGAGUCCAAUUUCUUUUCAUUUGGCUUGUAAGGCCUAGCUUCAGCUAGACAACCCCAGACAUGCAAGUACCUAAUACUAGGUUUCUUGCUAGUCCAUAACUCAUAUGGGGUUUGGGCUACUGCUUUGCUUGAUACUCUAUUCAAAAUAUAAACUACAGUUUUUAUGGCUUCGCCCCAAAGUGAUUCUGGUAAGGUGGAAUGAUUGAUCAUACAUCUUACCAUAUCCUUAAGAGUACGGUUUCACCUCUCUGCUACACCAUUUUGGCUCGGAGUCCCUAGGAUGGUGUACUGAAGAACGAUACCACACUCCAUCAAAUAUUUGGUGAAUGACCCUGGACGUUGUUCUCCGGAUCUGUCAUAUCUACCAUAAUAUUCAUCUCCACGGUUAGAUCUGACGACUUUUAUUUUCUUGCUUAGUUGGUUCUCAAAUUCAGCUUUGAAAUUCUUGGAUACAUCCAAUGAUUGAGACUUUUCAUGAAUCAAAUAAAGAUAGCCAUAACACGAGUAAUCGUCAAUGAAAGUGAUAAAAUAUUGUUGUCCAUUCUAAGAAGGGGUAGGAAAUGGACCACAAAUGUCUGUAUGUAUCAAUUCCAAGACGUCACUGCACUUAUUAGCAUUCUUUUUCUUCAUAUUUGUUUGUUUUCCUUUAACGCACUCUAUAUAGACUUGAAAGUCUGAGAAAUCAAGUGGAUCGAGAAUUCCUUUUGACACAAGUCUUUGUCUUCGUUGAUUUGAAAUAUGACCCAAACGCUUGUGCCAUAACAUUGAUGAAUUCUCAUUCAUUAAUUUUCGCUUAAUGCCAUAAUUACUUGAAUGCAAGGUUUCAUUUCCAUUAGUGGCCUUUAUGUUCAAUUUAUAUAGUUUGUCUGUUAGACUACCUGUACCAAUAAUAUUUGAAUUUAGAUAGAGACUAACCAUUUCAUUUCCAAAUGAACAACAAUAUCCAAAUUUGUCCAAACAUGAAACAUAAAUUAAAUUCCAUCUAAACGACGAUACUACAAAAGUCUCUUCCAAAUCCAAUGUACAUCUAGAGUCUAACUGUAAUCUGAAAAGACCAAUAGCCUUGAUUGCAGCCUUGUUGCCAUUUCUCACAUAGAUGUAUCUUUCACCAUCAGUUGGCAUUCGGUUCCUUAGGCAACCCUACAUAGUGACACUUAUGUGAGUAGUUGUACCCGUAUCUAUCCACCAAGUGUCUGUAGGCACUACAGCUAAAUUAAUUUCUAAACAAACAAAGUUGAGAAGUGUACCUUUUUUUUCACGCUAAGCAACGUAUUUGGUACAUGUCUUCUUCAUAUGACUAGCCUUCUUGCAAAAGAAACAAGUGAUCUCCUUAUCUUGUUUCUUCUACUCCUUUUGCAUUGAUGUCCCAGAAAUCGCAGUUUGUUUUCCUUUAUUGUCCUUCUUUCUUUUCUUGCUGGUACCAAAUCCUUGAGAUGUGGAAGCCAAGUGAGCACUUUCUAUCUUUUCUUGCUUCAAUCUCUCCUCAUCUUUCACACAUUGAGCAAUAAGCUCAUUCAAAGUCCAUUUUUCCUUUUGUGUAUUGUAACUGAUUUUGAAUGGGCUGAAUUGUGUAGGCAGAGAGAUCAAGACCAAGUGUACGAAUAUGUCUUCCAACAACUCUAACUUUUGUGCCUUGAGUCUUGUCACAAGAUUAGACAUUUCCAUAAUGCACUCCCUAAUAUUCUCUUUCCCUUUAUACCGUAUAGAGACAAGCUUAUUAAGAAUAGUGCUUGUCUCAACCUUUUCGUUUGCAGCGAAUCGGUUUAUUAUCUGGUCCAAGAAUGCCUUGGCUUGGGUUUCCUCAGGUAUUGCACCCCUUAUUGCUUCUGGAAUUGAGUGUUUCAUAAUCAGUAGACUCAUGCGAUUGGAUCGCUCCCAUUUUUCCAUAGUAGACCUUUGCCCAGCAGUGCUGGCACUAGUAAGAUCUGAAGGAUGAUCCUCCCUUAAUGCAAAGUCUAAAUCCAUGCACCCGAGCACAAUUAUAACUGUAGACCCUCAAUUUUGUCCCUUGAGCACAUAUCUUUAAAUUCACUUCCAGUGCUCUACGGUAGUUCCUUGGUGACCCAUUACUACUCGUACGACUUACCUUUUUCUGAGUCACCUCGGAGACUUUGGUUGAGGGAUUAUUUGAUCCCUUAUUGUGACCCCUGGCAGCCCUAACUUAGACUUAGGCUUUUCUUGUCUUUUUUUAGGAUAGCUUUUAGAUACACUUGGCCUUUAGGCACCGCUCUAGGCCCACUUAGGCACACUUGGCCCAUUUGGACAUUCUUAGCGUGACUUAUAUGACUUGCGUGUUUACAUGGCUCGUAGGGCCCAUUUUUUUGUUAAUUUGUUUAUUUUUAUUUUAUUUUCCUCUUUAUAUUAUUUUCCUUAACUUAUUUAUUUAUUUAUUAUUUUUACCAUUUUCUAAUUUAUUUACUUAUUCAUCUAUUAAUGCAAUUAUUUAACUUCUAAAAUUUCAUGUUUUUGCAAGGAAACUUACCAUUGGAGUUUAAGGAAGGUGGGACUCUCUUUGGAAGGUUUUGGAGGGGAAUUUGAAAUUGGGAAGAUUGCUUUUGAUUGGAAGAUUUAAAAAAAGAAGAGAAGAAGAAAGGAAAUAGGAGAUUUUUCCUUUUUGGGAAACAAAUUUAGGUCUUGAGGGGUGAGAUAUAUAGGUGAGGAAAAGGAAAAGGAGGGGCUUUUUGAUCGUGGGAAGAGAUUUUUCUUGGAGAAAAAGCACGCAUUGGAGGACGGGGGGGAGAGAGAUUCUUUGAUUAAGGGAGGAAAAGCACAGAAAAGCGAGAAAGGAGCAAUUGCAACCGAGUUUGUCCAGGUAUGCUUCUUGUUACUCUUGGAAUUCUUACUCAUAUUCGAUUUCUCUGUGUGUUCGUUCCUAAAUAUUUAAUAUACUGUUGAUUGGUGUGGACGGAAAGGGCCACAAAUUGUUUUGUUGAUAUUGGUUGCUUACUUAUUUUGUCCCGAAUCUGUUUAUGAUCUUCCCACUAGCCUGAACCCAUUGAAAGACCAUGAGAUGUGGUUUUAUCUAAUUUCCUCCCGCAUGUUCCUUCUCUCUUUGUUUUCUUUGUUUUCCACCACACUUGUUUUUUUUUUUUGGUUUUCCUUCUACUCGUCAUGUAGCCGUCAACUCUUCAUAUGGGGGUGACUCCAAGUGUUUGGGCAUACAGUCGUGAGAUUCAGCGAAGAGAUCGAACGCUUCAAAAUUCUGUUUGGACAUGCCAUUCUGUCGGUUCAUAUAAAAGAAAGCCAAUGACAGCUGCCACAUUUUCUGCCAAUGGUUAUGUUCUAUUGCUGUGGAAACUGUUAUCGCAAUAUGGGAUCCAGAGAAGAUUGUCCUAGUGGCUUGUCGGCUGCUUAUGCACUUGUUAAGCUUGGUUACGAUAAUGUAAAUUUGCGGGUUGAUAUGGGGGUUAGAGACGAGGCUUCUCGGAAUUCGAUCGUUUCAAAGUAUGUACACUGAGGGGAGGUUGAGGAGCGUGGAAAUUGUUUGAAGAAAUGCCAAUGAGAAGGAAUGUUGGUCUUCCAGUCUGCAAUGAUAAACAUGUAUGGGAAAGAAAGGAUUUUUGUGGAGAUGUUAAGUUUGUUUUCCGGAUGCUUGUUUCGGCUUAUGAGGUCCAGCUCAAUGCGGCAACAAUGAUAUGUAUUAAGUGCGGGAAUGAAGAGAAUAGCAGAUCUGUUGUUUGUGGAUAACCUGGUUGGAACAAAAUACAGCUUCGUGGAAGAUACAAAGCUAUUGGUGAAGACUGAUUUGACUAUAUUGUUGAAGGAGAUUUUCAACAAGGAAUGAGAGCCUCCAGCAGAGUCCUCUGUACACAGAAGCAGAGUCUUACAGAGGAAAAUUUGUUGUCACUCUUGGAUUGGCAGCUCUGGAAGCCACAGAAGCAGGAAACUUGAAGCUUAAACUUGGAGGAGUUGCAUCGGGAGAUAGUUGGAUCUCCCCAAAAGAUUGUGUUCUCGCGAGAUCCCCUUCUCAAAAAUGUCCCUUGAAGUUGUCUAUUGUGUGAUCCUUAUUGAUGAUGGGGAGUACAUCUUGUCGUUUGCUAUUGGUGAGAGAUACAUUGCAGUUUGGAGAAUUGAUGGUAGUAGUCAGCCAGUUGUGUUCUUGGCUAUUUUUUGAAUGGAGCACCCUGCUGACUUCCUAGAUAAGAGGUGUUGAUGGGGGCAACAGCUCUGAAGGGAGGGGCAGAGGUGUCUAGUAUGGGAUCACCAUUUAAGGAGAAAUUCGACCCUCAAAAAGCUAUGGCUCUCGGAUUGAAAGCUGGCCAAAAUACCGUGAAUUACAGUUUAUGAAAUCACUGUUCGGUUGAUCAAUUACACAAAGAGAGGAAAGGAAUUAUGGAACUUAUUCCACUCGCAGCCCAUGCGUGACCAAAAGGGUGAACUUCAAAUACUUCAUUGGUGUCCAAUUAGAUGGAAAUGACCGUGAGGAACCCCUCCGAAACCGCCUAUCAGAGCAAACCGAGCAAUAAAGUGCUAAGCUGGUCAAAGCUACUGCAGAAAACGUCGAUGAAGCUGUUCGGGAACAUCUUGAUGCUAACUCGGUAAGAGACCAGAAAAUUUGUGGACAAUCCACUCUCAACCCGCCUUCCCAAAGUCUCACAAAGAAGGAAUCAGAUUCUUCUAAAUCAUAUUCGAAUGGUGGAUGAGGCCCAGAAAAAUUAUCCUAUUCCGAGCCUUUGAAGGAGACUUUGGAUCCCCUUCAUGCGGUAUAUGAAAGCUUGAAAUUAGAUUAUCUUCGCAAAAAGGACUUGGUACUUCUGGUGGUUCUAUUAUGUAAUGUUGCUAAUUUUCUAGGAGAGAGAAGUUAUUUGGACCAUUAUGUUCAUGAUUUUCCUGGUAUUUCUAAGAAACUUGAGAUGUGUAAAGACUGUCUUUCCCAGACAACUCCUCCUCGUCUAUUCAGAUGGCUUGAACGCUGCUUGCAGUGAGGAUGUAAUUCUGCUAAUAUAAAUGACCUUUCACCUCUGAUUCAUAAAGAUGGCCAUUCAGUUAUUUGGGCCCGAGAGAUAGUUUCCCUCCAAAGUCUGUUAUCUGGUGCGAAACCAUUGGGGAGAAAACCUUCAUCUGGUGUUUAUGGUAACCUUGCUACAGGAGCAUCUUCCAGUCCUGAGGAGUUAACAGCCGUGGCAAUGGUUGGGGAAGAAUCUGGACUUCAACAGCUGGAUUUACUGCCUGCUGAUGUAUCCCUUCCUCUUCGGCAUGCAUUGGAUAAGUGUCGGGAAUCUCCUCCCACUGAUUGACCAGCAGCCGCAUAUGUUCUCGGACAGAGGAUUUGGCUUUGUCAUGUUUGGUUCAUUCACAUAAAUACAAGGAACUCGAGAUCCAAACCAACGCGAAUUUAAUUUCUAUGUCUAUCCUUUAUAAGCUACAUUUGCAUCCAAUCAUUAUUCCUUCUACAUCUUCUGAUACAAUUAGAUUGGACAAUACCAAGUUUAAGGAUACAGAUUCUGUUGAUGGAUCCAUGGCACAUGAGAUGGAAGCAGGGAUCUUCGCCAAGGUUCAUGCUGAGAGAAUAAUUUCAUCACUAAGACUCGGAAUCCCAUCUAGACCUCUCGUCAAAAGUUCUCCUCCUGUUUGAUUUCGCUUACCAUUAUAGUCAUCUGCAGUAUCGGAUUUCAUUCGAAUUCUUCGGACAAGUCCUUGCAUUCAGCCCAUGGAGAUGACAACCAGAAUUCCAAAGCGGCAGCAAUUAUGACCAGGAGGAUGCUUUAGUCACACCGUCUGCACAAUUAAAGAAAGAUCCAAUCCAGUUUUCAUACAAUUCAAAGUCUGAUGCUCACAGGAAUACAUCUUCUUUAUCUUCUACAAAAUUUGGACUCAGCAGCUUUGAUGAAGCCACACUUUCUAUUGAUGAUUCUGUAGACCAGAUUGCUGAGGUUCUCAACUCUUCUAGGACUUGGUGCGAUGACAUACAUAGGAGUAUUGGAUACGAUAAAUUUUGGAGUCAAAAUCUUCGAGGCCAAAGCCACUACGUUAGACGACGCUCAUCCAACCGCUAUGAAGACUUGAAAGCUUAUUGAAGGAGUUGCUUGAUCAGAAAAGUAUUAUGAAGCAGGUAUUACAUUUCAGAAUGGAGGGUUUAGGAAUCAUCUUGCAUAAGAUUCAGAAUACUGUCACAAUUAUUAAUGAGAAGGAAGUUGCUGUCAUCCAGUCGUAAGAUGAAAUUCCUUGUCUCUCCUAUCACUCAUGCUACAGUGCAAUCUAAGGUUGCAUUUGACCUUUCUGAAUCUGUUAAAAUUUUGAAGCAUUUAGCCAAGUCAGAUUCUGUAGUAAUAUAUAUUAUUGAAGAACCUAGGGAGAAUGACAUUGCCAAACGGAUCAGUGAAUGAAUGCCUUAAGGAGAAUAUUGAUACAAAAGUCGUUGAGGGUGACAUGUUUAUUGGGAAAUUAUUCCUGGAAUGAGAUGGCUCUCUCAAUCCAGAUUAAAGAGUAGAUGGACGUAGUAGUCUCAGUACCUCCAAUGGUGAUUCGGGCUCUUCAUUAAGUGAUUCAGAUCCAGGCACUUCUUCAGAUGGUGAAUCAGGAGGUGUUUUCCUCAAUUUUGGCAAUGGCCCUGCUGAAGAUAGUUAAUAUGGUCUUAUAACGAGGACUCCCUGCUCCAUAUAAGAGGAAGGUCUCGAUUUGAAGUAGAAGGAUGCAUGGUUCAAUCAGUGACUAAGAGAUACUUAGUUUUCGAAACGGCUAGGUCCAGACUUUGCAGCUGUCGAUAGAGAUAUUCUGGCCAGAAUUGCAUAUUCUAAAUUAUUUGAUUGGGUUGUGGGCAAGACAAUUUGUUCUCCUUAUGACAGAUAGAUUGCAUUCGAAAAUGGAUGAUCUUUUAUAGACUGUGAAUUCUGCCAUUGACCUCCAUAACAAGAUGAUUAAAAAUGUGUACCUGAUAUUAUAAUAGAAAUGAACUGGUCAGUCCCAGAGAUUGAAGGUAACUUAGCUGAGCAAAUUGAAGAUGCUGGAAACUGCAUUCUAGGGGAAGCGAGUAACUGUAAGAAGCUCAGGAUUCUAAAUUUAUCCUUUAACUCACUUACUGAUCUAUAAUCAGAUGGUCUCAUCGAGCUGCAUCAAGGCCAUUAGGAAAUGCAUUUCAAAUGUUGCUUUAAUGGCUAAGGUUUCUUCCUGCACAACUUCAAUUGGCUUUAUUGAAGCCGAGUUGAACGGACAGUAUCGUCCAGUUGAUGAGCCAGUUGCAAAGUCUCGGGCUGCCAUCCAAACUUCUGGCGAGGCUGUUUAUGCGGAUGGCAUCCCCUCUCCGACAAAUUGCCUACAUGGGGCUUUCAUUUAUGAGACAAAGCCUUUGGCUUGAGUAGACGAUACCAAACUUAACCCCCAAAUCAGUGGCAGCUGGAGUCAGUACACUUAUCUCUUUUAGAGAUAUCCCAAAAUCCCCUGCAGCUUUAAACCAAUAAAUGCAGAAUUGUCAAACCAGAAUAUUAAUAACCAAGCCAAUUCUGGAAAGCAUUGGCGUCCUCUUCAACACUAAGGCAGGCUAUAAAAUUUUGAAAAGCUUCUCGAAGUUGAUAUAGUAGAGCAAUGAAAGACGGAGGAGUUAAUGGCUCUACUUGACCCAAAGCUCCAGAUGACACAGAGGAGCCUAAACCAACCCAAUUGGAAGUUUUCUUCUCAAGCUGGCAAUCAUCCUUCAUACAGCUCGUCUAAAGAGGAAGCUGCUUCCAGGUUUCAGACCGAAUCUAUAUCCAGUUUAGGGAGGAUGUCGACAUCAAUUAUUAAACGAGAUAUGCAAUGAAAGAGGUAACAGAGGGGAUGGUGAUCUUUGUCAUGAUAAGGGUUUUGAAGGUCACGAUUCAUGCUCCAAAUGCUCAAAAAGUUAAAUUCGCAGAAUCAGGGAGAACAAAAAAUGUCUGAGCAAAUCUAAAUAGCAAAUAAGAAACCACAAGAGAAGCAAGAGGAUGGUGGAGCUUGGUAUCUUCUUGACAGCCACUCUUGAAAGUCUAAAAAUGCAGGAUACAUCAGAAAGUCUCUAACUUACUGCUCAUUUACCUUCAUCCAUGCGAAUAAGUUAUUGAAACCUAUUGGCUGAAGGUUAAUUUCUGAUCAUAGGCAAAUUGAUAUGCUUGAAGAAUGAAAAGUUAUUCGGGAAAUCGAACAUCAGAAUAUCAAUCAGGAUGCGAGUAUUCAGUUGAAGAAAUUUAACUACGAGCAAGUUGACAAUAGAAACAGAAUCUAGAUGUUAAUAUAAGAGAUUCUUUCUUCUAUACAUUUCCACACCAGAUGCGAACCCGGAAUUCAUCAAAGUUAUUACAUGUCGGAGUUAGGCUACCUGUCAGAAAUAUCCGUACCCAAUGAAACUUUGCAUGGGAUCCCAGAAUUUAAAUUCAGAAAUAUGGGGAAAGAAGAUAUUAAAAAAUGAAACAGUGGCUGGUACAAGAAUGUCUCAUUAGGAAUUGUUUAAAGUUGUAUUCCUGAAAUGCAGGCAUCCUUCUUCUGACCACAGAAGACCAAAAAGCUUCAGCUUCUACUCUCUCCUAUAUUAAAAUCAGUUGGCAAAAUGGUGGUUAUUUUGGUAGCGUCAACCAUGCUAAAAAUGCUUCAAUACUCCUCCCCCUUUAUUCCAACCCUGAACUAAGGAAAAUGAUGCAAAACCCAGAAUUUCAUUGCUUGCUAACUUCACCAGUGAAGACAAGAGCAUUAACAACAAUGAGCAACGAGGAGCUUAUAUGUUCAAGAAAAUGGCCCUGAGAAGUCAGAUAUGGAGAUUCCAGAAAUAAGGAGAAUUCAUAAGGAUGCAGCAAGCUGAAAAUAUUGAAAAGGCAGAAAAAGGCAACAGCAAGGGUAUGUAUUCUGGAGGAGCUGAUGAAUCAAGCCUUGAUGAUGAGAAAAUAGCACAGAAUGCAGGAAAUAUAGCAAUACAGAAAAGUAAGAAUUUUGAGCUUUAUGUUCAGUGUUUGACCAGCGUUGGGGAGAAUCCAUCUGAGCUUAUGAACCAAGUUAUCUUAUAAAUGGAAAUGCUUCUGAUCACUGAAUACUUUGGCAACGAAUUGGGUCUUUCUAUCCCGAACUCCACUCCAUCAGGCAACCUAAGUAACUCAGUCUCAAAAGCAGCCUAGACACUAAUCCAGCUUGGCCGCCUUGCCUCACAUCGUACUCCUCCUAUUGUUUCUUUUUUUUUUUUUUUUUAUGAUCUUAUACGUCUUAAAACCGGAUUUCAAAACCUUUUUCUAUCAAAAAUGAAUUUGGUUUUCUCUAAGGUUCCUUAGAAGCAUUUAGGUACAAAAUCCAGAUUUUAACAUGCAAUUUGCUGCCACUUUAUUUCGGAUAUGCACUUUCACUGUUUUCUUUGAUUUUUAACUAUUUUCUUGAUUUUUCUCGAUUUUUCUCGAUUUUCUCAAGCAUGAAUACACUUCAUGAUUCCAAACAAUGGAAUUCAUUGAAUCAACUCAUGCAAAAUUAAUUAGGGCUUUGGUGGGGGCCCGACAUUCAUGAUACCUUUUUCAAUAUUGUUUGCUUGAUAUGUUGAUUUUUUAUUCUUCUUGAUGAUAUACAUGAAUUCGUUUCGUAUUUAUCGUUGAGAUGCUUUUGAUUCCCAUAGAGGAGUACUAGCUUGCUAUCCAGAUACGCUCUCUUCUCAUCUAUUUUUUUUAGAACUCUAUGGACUUGUAUGCCAUUGAUGACUAUAUCCAUACAUGAUGUGAUUUUUGGAUGUCUUGAUAUAUGUCUGAUUUGCUUGAAUAAAACAAAUGUUGUGUGCUACAUUUCUACACUAACUUUUAUGUUUUAUGAUAGCGCUUGAAGAGUGGUUCAGGUACGCACCUUAACUUUCUUUUAUGGCAAUUUGAUCUUGUUUAGCAUGCAAAUCUUUUGAAAUCACCUAGCCUACUUAGGUAUCCAUAAUUAACCGAUUAAUUGUCAUAUUCCCCUUAACUUAGUGAGUAGAGACCUUUAUAGGGCUUAGAGGGGUGCUACCUUUCAAAGGUACCUUCCCAAUAGGUAACCUGAUCCCCGGACUUAGACUCGGGUUUUUCAAAGACACGCUUUUCCAAAAAUUAUGGAGUCAUUUUUUAGGGUUUUAUUUCUUGUUUUAUUUUCCCUUCAAAAAUAAAAUAAAAUAAGUGGCGGCUCCAACUUUUUUUCAAAAAUUAAUUUUUCACAAAUAAAAAGCGAGUCUCGCCAAUCGAGUGGGGACGCACGUGAAAAAUGCGGGUCCACAAUAACGUGCUCUUUCCAUUUCUUGAAAUUUGUGCCGUUAAGCAUAGGAAUGUUAUUAACAUUUGCAGAUAUAGAAGAUGCUGAAUUCAUAAUAAUAAAGCUCACAAUCAGUCACAUAAGCAUCAUACAUACAUGAAUAAAUAAACAUCACAUAAGAUACCUAGCACAAACAUUAAUAUUCAGUCUUUGGACAAAAAUAUUAACUUGUAAUUGACAUCCUUAUACAAAAUUAAUUCAUAAAUAUUGACAAUAAAAAACCGAAAACAAUAUGUCUGUCUUUGGACUAACAUAUCGAAUGCAAAAUAAACAUUAUAUGUCACAUAUUUAUGACUACUUUAUUUAUCAUUAUAUUAAAAUAAUCUUCCUUUGGGCCGAUUAUUUUAAAUAAUAAUAAUAACAUGUUUAGAUAUUGUAAAAUAAAUAAAUUAUAUAAUAUAAGUUACUUUGGCAACUGACAUACAUAAUUCAUUUAUUUUAAAAUACAAAACACAAAUAUAGCAAGAAAUAAUUUAAUUAAAAUUAUUCAUCUAUUUAUUUAUGCAUAAACUUAUGUAUACAUCCAUACCAAUUGAAGCAUAAAAGCAUGUAUAUAUAUAUAUCAAUUAAAGCAUAAAUACAAGUAUAUAUAUAUAUAUACCAAUUAAUGCAUAAAAUAGAGACUUGGUGUAGUGGUUCAGCCGUGGGCUUGAAUUUAAAGGGAAACAACCCAGGUCAUGGGUUUAAGCUCCCUUGGUGGCCUUUCCUCCAUUUUUAUAUAUAUACAUGUAUAUAUACCAAUUAAUGCAUAAAAUAGAGACUUGGUGUAGUGGUUCAGCCGUGGGCUUGAAUUUAAAGGGGAACAACCCAGGUCAUGGGUUCAAGCUCCCUUGGUGGCCUUUCCUUCAUUUUCCACCUUUUUUUUUUUUUAAAAAAAAAAAACAGCACGACACCUAAAGUGCGCCCUAAACGACGCUGGAGACGGCACCAGAGACGACACUGAGAGUGGCGCCUCGGAGCGUGCCCUAAUGGUGUUGCAAAUGGGCGCUUGGAAGCCUGCCUCAACGGUGUUGUAGAUGGCGCCUCAACAGCGCCUGGACUGAAUCACAUGAGAAAAUAUGUCACAAAUCUCUAUAGAAAUGGUACUAACCUGAAUCCAUUUGUGUGUUUGAUGAAGACGGUAUGGAUCUUCUAAAAGCAAUUGAGGACACCACAUCUUACACUAUAUUCUCUCAGGCAAUGGGAGCGGGAGAGAGAACGGUUGUUUUCUACUGUUCAAAGAUGUGAUGAUUGUGAAAAGACACAAGCCUUGGUCCUUUUAUACCCUCCUGCCUUAGGGACCAUACCCAUUGAUUAUUGGGCCUCACGGGCCUUAGGUCCAUCAUCUAAAACCCGUGAUGGUAUUAGGCUCUACACAUUAGGUGACCCAUACUCAAGAUUAAAAUCAGAUAUUAUAUGUUAACAGAUAGCUUAAUCCUGGACAAUGUUUAAUAUAAUGUCGGUCCACAUUUAUUCUAUCAUUUCAUACUUCUUAUCUUCUAGAAUUUUCCAUUCCCUUAGCCACUCCUUUUUUCCUAGACAAAUUCAUGAGGAAAUCCUCCUCUCUAAUGUGAUGACCCACUUUGUUUAAAACAUUUUUAAUUCAUCCCCCAUGCUCAUCUAGGGUCUUCCUGUGAUAAUUUUCACAUACUCUUUUCAUGACCAUUAAAAAAGUGAUCAAAUGUAAAAAAAAAAAAAAAAAAAAAAAACUAAGACAAAGCAGUUAGUGCACCUAUAAUACGAAAUUAAAUAUAUAUAUCAACCAAAAAUUAAAGUUCAAAUUCAUGAAACUAAAAUCAAAUUAUUAAUCAUGUGCAAUCAAACAUAAAAAAAAUGUCAAUCUCAUGCAAUCGAGAAAUUAAAAAAGAAAAAACAUUCUAAUACUCAUCUAACCCUAAAACCAUGCAAUGUGAAAACAAAUCUAAACUCAAAUGUACAAAAAAAAAAAAAAACCAAUCAAAAUCAAGCCAAAUAAAGCCCUAAGUUGAAAAGACUAGAGGUCAGUAAUCAUCACACUAAGGAUCUUCAAAAAGUCCCUGUAUCUCUAAAGAAAAUCCAAAGGUAGUGAUCGAAAGAAUUGCAAUGGACCACCGAUGAUGACUCAAAAAAAUAGCUUAUAUAAGGACCCUAAGGCUACGUUUGGUUCCCGGAAAAUGCGAGAGAAAGAAAAUUAGAAGGAAAAAUGGAAGGAAAAAAAAAGCUGAGGAAAUGAAUAUAAAUUUAUUCACUUGUUUGGUUAUCCAUAAAAAAUUCAAGGGAAAAAGAAAAGGAAUUCAUUUUCUUUUGUUUGGUUAACCACAAAAAAAAGUAAAGGAAAAAUGGAAGGAAAAUAAAAUCAACAAUUUGUUUUAGAUGGUUAUCAAUUUGUUGAAUAAUAAAAAAAUUUAGGAAAACAAAAAUUGAACUCUUGGAGUAGAUUGGUAGAAAGAUAUCAAUCUCAUUCAACCCUCCCUCGAAUUGUAUUCAGUGAUACACACUACUAUUUGUAGUUAGACUAUUUGAAUUAAUAAAAUUGAGAAAAAAAAUAUUAACAAAUUUUCAUGCCUAGCGUGUUAAAAACCAAUAUUUUCAUCUUUAUCUAUGAAUGUUUUAAUGAUUUUUUUUGUGUAUACAUGCAAAUUGUAUAUUGGUAUGUAGAUAAUUUUUUUUUAAUUUUUAAAAAUAGAAAAUAUUUAUUACUUCGAUAUAAAAUAUUUAAUUAUUUUUACUAAUAAAAAUAAAAAUUAAUUCAAAUAAUGUAAUUAUUUUUGUUAUUUGAAUAAUUUAUUGUGAUUCAUUUCAAUUGUCUUACUAUCACCCGGUGUAUCACUUAAAAAAUGAAGAGAAAAAUUAUAAUAAAUAAUAUUUUGUUUCGGGGUGGUAGCUUUUGUCAACUUUUCACACGAUCCUGGGAUGCCCCAUAAAACUAGUGACAAUAUGAUCGAGAUUGCAUAUAGCUUCAAGCAAGCAACUAAGAUUAGGAAGCCAACUUCAUUUAAACCUUGAAGGUUUAGAACAACUCCUAUCAGAGUUGUACUACAUAUAUCAGUAUCAAGAACUCUUCUCUCUAGCUGGUAAUCCUGCACUAGAAAGGAUGUUAUAAUAAUCUGCUCAAUGUUUUGAAUGAACUAAGAUGAUAUGGAGGUUGCCAUUACAGUGCACGACCCUCUGAAUAAUCACUCAUUUAUCUGUAAUGAAACAUGCAGAAUUCAUACAUAUGUACUAUGAUCAAUGUAGAGAUACAUGAGCAAAAAAGACUAGAUAAAAAUGUAAAAACGGGUAUCAAAACUAAGGUAAAAGUAGUUGCAGAUUUGAUUAUCCUUAAGUUGGUUUACACAACUUCUAACAACAGCCAGCCACUAAAAUUAGCCAACUAUACAGAGUGCCACUCCACAACCCUAUGAUGCUAUCUAUACAAAACAUAUCACCUUAAGCACCUGAGGCAAUCAAACUAAACUCUAUGCUCUGUUUAGUAGCCACAAAAAUGUAGAUAAUAAGAGAAAUCAAUUAAAGAAGUUCAGAAUUUGAAAUUCAAUUUGUGAAUUAUCGAAAACUCAAGAAACAACAAGCUGGUCUAAACCAAAAAAAGCAUAAUUUCCUCAAUUUUUCAGCUAACCAAACAAAGGAAUAAUUGAAUAACAUGCUGAAAAGAUAGAUGAACUUGCUUUGCCUGCACAAAUAAUAGAAAAGUAAAUUAGGUAAAAAGAAAUGGAAAACCCAUACACUAUUUUAGUUCAAAUGAAUCUCUAUUUUAGUUCAAAUGCAACAAAUGGGAUCACCAUUGAGGUUCCUUUGAUACACUAUUUUAGUUCAAAUGCAUAUUGAAUUUGUGUAUCAAGUGGCACAAUCAUAACUUGUCAUCCUUCCUCCAACUAAUGAACAUAAAUCUAAAUGAAAAAGCAGUACUUGAAUACUGCUUGGUGUGGAAGACAUCACGUGGUGAACCAUUUCUUAAAGCUUGCAUGUCAAAGUUCAAAUGCAUUAAGAUGCUAGAUUUAUCGUAUUUGAACUUUGACACAUUGCCAAAUUCUAUCAGUAUCUAAAGCAUCUCAGACUUCUAGCUGGAAUGAGAGGAUAAAGAAACUUUCAAAUUCAAUAUGCAAGUUGUUUCAUCUGCAAAGGUUGUCGCUUUUCAAAUGUGAGGGAUUUGAGAAUCUGCCCAAGGAGUUUGGGAACCUCAUCAGUUUUGAGGAAUUUAUGCUUCACCACGAAACAGAGGGCUUUGAUAGGGAUAGGACACCUAGAAUCUCUUCAUAUUUUAAGGAUUUACGAAUGUGAAAAUCUAGAAUUUCUACUUCAAGGGACGCAAAGCCUCACUGCCCUUCGGUCAUUGGCUAUUGGCGGUUGUAGGAGUUUGGAGACUUUGGCACCUAGCAUGAAACAACUGCCCUCGUUAGAGCAUCUCAUGAAUUUCGAUUGCGAAAAGCUCAAUUCACUGGAUGGAAAUAGGGAAGACCAUGUUCUAGGGCUCGGGAAUCUACGAGUUUUGAUGCUUAGAAAAUUACCAAAGUUGGAGGCAUUGCCAAUGUGCAACCUCACAUCCCUUGACAGACUUGUGAUUAGAGAAUGCCCUCAAUUGACUGAAAGAUGCAAGAAAACAACAGGGGAGGAUUGGCAUAAAAUCUCUCAUGUCUCAGAGAUAUGUAUCGAUGGCGUCAAAACACCAGAAAAUUAAGCAAGGUAUAAAAAUCUCUCAUAAAAACCUUUCUAGAUCCUGGUAAGCUGAACCUGUUUUCUUUCUUAAUUAGUGUGUCACAUUGUGAGGAGAUGUUUCAAGCUACCCUUGCUAAUGUUGAUCACCAUCUGUUUAGGAGGGAGUGAUGGUAGUAUGCCAGUAGCCACAACACAAAUAAACCCGAAAACAACAACCAUCCCCUUUUCUCCUACUCAAACAAAUCACAAUCCCCACUUCCCAUUUGAAAACACAACCCCAAUUAUAGCAUAUCCCACCUUUAAGCCCCUCACAAACCAAAAGACAGGACAGGUUUAUCCCUAGAUACCAGAAAGGCUUGACAAUAGAAGACAAUUGAAAUUGACAGAAUAUAGCAUAUCUAAGCAUUUAUCAAAAGCUUUAGACAAUAAAAUAGCAGUGCAAAAACAGUUUUCACAAUCAAGAGAAUUACUUGUAUUUAUUUUAGUAAGAUAACAAUAAUACAGAUGAAUGACAACUUCUAGUCAAGUUUCUCAUUUAGUGUCAUGUGAUUAAUUUCACAUUUGAAGAUAUAUGGAAGGGUCCCAUCGCAGCCCACUACCAAAUUUAUUGACUAUUUUCAGUUCGUUUUAUUAUUUAAUCUAUUGGGUCUGUAACGCAACAUGCAUCAUAAUUUUGUUUUUAUGGUAACAUUUCUAAUCAAGAGAGUAGAAACUGAUAUUUCUAACAAUCCAAUGUUAAACCGUCCAAAAAUUGAUGCCACAAACAAUGAUACAAAACAAUAACCAAGCACUCAGAGGCAGCAACAACAUACAUAUAUGCAAUACACAACUGCAGACCCAUUUCCCCAACCAAAUUAUGAAAAAACCAUCGGCUACUAAACAAUAGUAGAACAUCAAGGGUAAAAAUUAGACCAAAUCCAGAAAAGCAACAAGCCAAGAAAGUUUAGAAAAAUUAUGGCGAAAUUUAAGAAACGGGAAAUGCAAAAGCAACCUAGAAACCCAAAUAGAGAACCCAAGAGAGAGAGAUUACCUUGGGUUCUGGGUUUUCACAAGAUGAGGUGGAUUGGAGUUCAAUUCAUACCUGAUCUGAAGACAUGGAUCUGAAUACAUUCACUGGAUUUGAAGAAUUCAUUUCAUCUAUGGGAACUUGAUUUGAAGAACGCACUUCAUCCAUGGGAACUCGGGUGCCUGAAAAUGGUAGGAUUUCGACACUGGAAGGUGGUCAGAGUGAUAGUGGUGGCCGUUGAAAGGGUCGACGACGGUGAGAAGCCAUAGCCACCGAUGAAGAGGAAAUUAGAGGUGAAACCUCGGUGAACAAGAGCCCGAUAAAAUUUUCUCCCUCUUUUCCCUUCUAUUUUUCUCUUAUUUUCCUCAUUAUUUUUUUAAGGAAAAUAUCACAAUAUUUUCUUUAAUAUUUUCCUUUAUAUCUUUUUUUCCAUCAUAUUUUCCAUGUCAUCCAAACUAAAAAAAAAACCAUUUUUCUCUGCAUUUUUUUUCCUUUCCUUAGCAUUUUUCGAGAACCAAACAUAGUCUAAGAUCACAAACAAGUAACAGAGGAUGAAUGAUGACUAACUUGAAUAUCAUGUGCCAAGAGGACAAAAUAGAGGAUUUACACAAAGAUAUAGUGUUUGAUGGAACUAAAAUGACCCAAUUGAUAAAUACAAGUGAUGGAGAAAGUUUGAAAUUGACAAUACUAGAUAGAUUGCAAUUUGAGGUGGAGCUUGUAGAUUUUAAAAAUGUUCAAAAUCAAGGUUUGGAUUGAGAACCCGAUGGAAUGGAUAGAGAUGAAGUUGUUGAUCAUAGUCAUGAGGAAAAUACAAAAUUUGAUAGCCCAUACAGUCUGGAUAAAGACAGGCCUAGAAGAACAAUUCGCCCACCUCAAAAUUAUGCACAAGAAAAUUUAAUUGCUUUUGCAUUGACUGUAGCUGAAGAAUUAGAUGAAGUUGAACCUGCAACAUAUCAAGAAGCACUGAAAGGAAAUGAGAGGCAACUAUGGCAUCACACCAUGGUAGAAGAUAUGGAAGUACUGAUUAAGAAUAAGACCUGAACUCUAGUUGAAAAACCAAGGAAUCAAAAAAUAGUAAGCUGUAAAUGGAUUUUCAAGAAGAAAUAAGGGAUUAUGGGGGUUGAAAAGGCAAGAUAUAAAGCUGGAUUGGUUGCUAGAGGCUUUACACAAAGAAAAUGGGUGGAUUAUAAUGAGAUCUUCUCGCCAGUGGUGAAACAUUCUUCAAUCAGGAUGAUCUUACCUUUGGUUGCUGAUAGAAUCAUGGAAUUGGAGCAGCUAUAUGUCAAAACGACAUUCCUUCAUGGUGAACUGGAAGAAACAGUUUACAUGCAACAACCUGAGGGGUUUGUGAAGGACAAAAACAAGGUAUGCUUAUUAAGAAAGUCUCUAUAUAGACUAUGCUGUGAGUUUGGUAAGUAGGUUCAUGGGAAAUCUGGGGAAGACCCAUUAGGAGGCUUUGAAAUGGAUACUAAGGUAUCUAAAGGGAACACAAAGAACUUGUCUGAUAUAUAAAACUGGAAGUAAAGGUGAUGAUCCUCUGAUUGGGUAUGUGGACUCAGACUUUGCAGGGAGCAUAGGCACAAGAAAAUCCUUGACUGGUUAUAUUUUUACGUUGCUUGGUACUGCUAUAAGUUGGAAAGCAAAUUUACAAGUUGUGGUUGCUCUUUCGACAAUUGAAGCUGGAUAUUUUUUGUUGUAACAGAGGCAAUAAAUGAAACAAUUUGGUUAAAAUGUAUAAUUGAGGAGUUGGGACUAAAACUUAAAGUGUUUUGUGAUAAUCAAAGCACAAUACACCUGACUAAAAAUCAAAUGUUUCACAAGAGGACAAAACAUGUUAAUGUUAAAAUGCAUUUUGUAAGGGAAAUAGUGGCUGGAAGAAUUGCGGUAGUGGUGAAGAUAUCAACAGAAGAUAAUCCAAUUGAUAUGAUUACAAAAACAAUAACAACUGGUAAGUUUAGACAUUGUUUGAACUUGAUUAAUGUUCAAGAAUGCUCAAGCCCUCUGAAGGUCGGUCACCUCUUUGAUAAGAAGAAAUUAGGGGCCAAGGUGGAGAUUUGUUAUAAGUGUGAUGCAUAAAUUUCUGCCACUUGUUAUCUGAAAUGGUUAGUUAGUUAGUUUCAUUUUUUUGUUAUUUUCUCUUGUAACCUGAACCAUUUAUAUGGAAAGAGAAAGAAAGCAUAGCAGAGAAAAGAGCUUUUGAUUAAAGAGCUUUUGAUUUUCCAGAGAGUGCAUUUUUUGUGUGUAAUUCCAAGACACAACAUUUUUUCAUUUUUUUGUAAAAAGAGAAAGUAUUUGGAAAAUCAAAUUGAAAAUGCAGAGUGAAAUGCAAUAAACUUUUUGGCUUGAUAAAGAGAAGCUUUCUUAAACAAGAUUUACAAAAGAAAAACUGAUCUGGAAGACUAGAAAUUGCAAUAGGAUAAAUUAAUCGGAUGAAUUAGAUAAUUACAACAUCGGUCAAGUCAUAUCUGGAAGUGUUAUUAGAAGAGAACUUCGAAACAUGAAAUCGUUAAGUAAGAACCACACCUUGAUACUAUAAUGAAACAUAAAUUAUUCAGUAGCACCUACAUUUUAAUUGCGAAAUCAAUUUACAGAUCCUCUAUUUUGUCCUCUUGGCAUAUUCCAUUCAAGAAUGUCUUCCUAUAUCAUUUGUUGUCUUAUUGUGUACUUAUGGUUAACUACGUCAAUAGUUAGUUUUUUGGAUUUUUUGGAAGAGACAUUUUGGAGAGAUUAGGUGGAUCUGAAUCUUGAUUUUAAUGACCUUUGAUUCUUAGUUUAGAAUUUUUUUUUUUGAUUGAUUUAUAGUAUAUUUGCAUUUGUUUAGAAUUUUAAAACCUAAUUAAUAAUUAGUUUCAUUUAUUUUUAAGAAAUAAAGUGUAAUAAGUGUUUGAUAAUGAAUUAAGACAAAAUCUUCUAUAAUUAAGGAUUAAUAUGAUUCAAUUACUUUGUUAAAAUCAUUUUAUAAAUUAUAGAAUUUGAUAUAUUAACUAUGUUUAUUAAUUAGAUAAAUUGAGAAUUAAUAUAUUAUGAUCAUUAAAUAUAUGUUUUAAAAUUUUAAAUCAUGCUAGAACAAUAUUUAUUUCAGUAUUUUAUGAACAUUAAAUUAAAAUAUAUAUUUAAAUGACUUGCAAAUAUUAAAUUAAAUUUUAAAAAAUAAAAAAUAAUAAGAUGAGUUAUUUUUUAUCUAAUAACAUUGCACUAAAUAUCCAUUUUCAUAACAUCUUAGAUUUCUAUCUUCUUUAUCAUUCUCAUAAUCUAAAAAAAUAAUUAUAAAAAAUAAUAAGCGCUCCUUCAGGCAUCAUCCUCUGGUGCAUCAGCUCGCCCAUUAGUCCAUUAAUUUUAAAGAUUCCCUAACCGUUCGUAGCUGCUGCACCUAGACCCUACUAGCUUACACCUAAUCCCAUCGCCCAUAAUCCUAACCCAUUAGCCUUUCAUAGCUGCAACUGCAAAGUACCUACCCAGACCCUACUAGCUUACACCUAAUCCCGUCACCCACAAUCCUAACCCAUUAGCCUUUCAUGACAACAGCUGCAAGGUAGCUGGACCAGUGAUCCCUUACCACUUUUGUAGCUGUUGGAGAGUUUUGGGUCAAAACGUCCCAUUUAUGAAAAAUAUAUAUAUAUAAUAAAAUAAAUAAAUAAAUAAAAUUAGAUAUAACUACUUUAACAAACUUAUAUUUUGGCAUAAUGUAAAAUUCAUAUCAUUAAAAUAUAUAUAUAUAUUUAAAAAUUUUAGUUAAAGUCUCAAUUGAUAACUAAGAUUUUAUUUUUUAAUUAAAAUCAUAGUUGCCAAUUAAAGUUUCAAUUUUUAAACUAAAGCCGUAAUUUUUUUAAAUAAAACCUUAUUUGACAACUGAGAUUUCAUUUUUGAAUUAAAACCUUAAUUACCAAUUGAGAUUUCAAUUAAUUUUUUUACAUUAAAAUUUAAUUAAAAAAUAUUAAAUUAUAAUUUAUCAUUGAAAUUAAAAAAUAUACUUUAAUAAUAAAUUAUUUAUAUUUAAGGUUAAGAAUAUAGUAUUACUUCAAUAAACAUAAAUUGAUAAAUAGAAUAUAUUAUAAAUGAAUAUUUUAUUUAUUAAUAAAUUAAUAAUCUUAAAAUAAUAAAUUUAUAUAACAUAUAAAUAAGAUAUAACAUUGUAUGAUUUAUUAAUUUAAGUAUUUAUUUGUUGUUUUUUAAGAUAUUAAUUUAUUUGUAUUAUGAUAUAUAUAUAUAUAUAUAUAUAUAUUACUUUCAAAUUUAAUUAAAAAAUAUUAAAUUACAACUUAUUAUUGAAAUUAAAAACAUAUAUUUUAAUAAUAAAUUAUUUAUAUUUAAACUUAAAAAUCUAGUAUUACUUCAAUAAACAUAAAUUGAUAAAUAUAAUACAAUAAAUGGAUAUUUUAUUUAUCAAUAAAUCAAUAAUCUUAAAAUAAUAAAAUUAUAUGACAUACAUAUAAGAUAUAAAAUUUCAUAAUUUAUUAAUUUAAGAUAUUUAAUUUGUUAUUUUUUAAGAUAUUAAUUUAUUUGUAUUAUGACAAAUUUAUCUUUAUAGAAAUAAUAAUAUACUCUUAAGUUUCCAUAUAUAGAUUUUUUCACAAAAAUAGUUAAUGAAAUUAAUUAGAAAAAGUCUACUAUAAAAUAUAAUUUUUAAUAGUUUUAUCAAAGUUACAAAAAAUACUCACUAAACAUUUAUAUACUGGGAAAAAAAAACAUAUAUAAUCUUAUAUGCUUCCAUAAGGAGUGAACAUAUGGAUAAAUUUAACAUAAUACAAAUAAAUUAAUAUCUAAAAAACAACAACAAACUAAAUACUUAAAUUAAUAAAUUAUACAAUUUUAUAUCUUAUUUAUAUGUUAUAUAAAAUUAUUAUUUUAAGAUUAUUAAUUUAAAAAUAAAUAAAAUAUUUAUUUAUAAUAUCUUUUAUUUAUUAAUUUAUGUUUGUUGAAGGAAUACUAGAUUCUUAAACUUAAAUAUAAAUAAUUUAUUAUUAAAAUAUAUAUUUUUAAUUUCAAUAAUAAAUUAUAACUUAAUAGUUUUUAAUUAAAUUUUGAAGUAAAAAAAAAAAAAAAUUAACUGAAGCCUUAGUUGGUAAUUGAGGCUUUAGUUCAAAUAUGAAGUUUCAAUUAUCAAUUAAGGUUUCAGUUAAAAAAUAAAGUUUCAAUUGAUAAUUGCGACUUCAAUUCAAAAAUUGAAAUGAAGACUCAGUUACUAAUUGAGGUUUCAAUUAAAAUUUUAAAUAUAUAUAUAUAUAUAUAUAUAUAUAUAUAUAUAUAUAUAAAUUUGAACAUAAAUUUCAGUCAUUACAUAUAAAUUUUUUAUUUUUAUAUAUUUAAAUAUGGGUCAUUUUGACCCAAAACGCUCUGUUAGAGCACCACAAUGAAGCCAAUAUCAACUGCUAAAGUCACACCUCAUAGCCACACAACAAAGAGUCUCAUCAACUGUCUCAUCUCUCUGCCACAAUCCAGCUUUAUGUCACAGGAUACUUCAAAUGAACCUCCUCAUGGGCUUAUAUAGAGCCUAGGAAGCUUAUGGAGACUCCUACACUUAGCCAUUAGUGAGAAGAGUGUGGAAGGUUCUAGAGAUGCCUAGAGAAGUCCACACAUCUCUACACUAAGGUGGAAGGCAUGAGAGGAGUCCAAAGCUUUCUAUAGAAUUAUAGAGGUCUCUUGUAAAUAGACUUGUACAUAGAAUGGUGUAGGGUGUUCUAGAAUAUUCUUGAAUUGUAAGGAACCUCCAAGGUGCCAGAGAGUUCAAUUGGUACCUAUAAAUAGGUGAGUGUCUCAUUUGGCCAAGGCACCAAGCAAGUGAGUUCCCAAAAGCACUUGUAAAGCUUCUUUUGAGUAAUAAAAGCUUUCAUUCUUUAAGCGUCACCUACUACGCCUUCUAAAACUUUAUAGUCGUGAGCAUCUUAGCCUAGCAAAUUAAGCAUUGAGAGUAAGGUUGACUUAGCAAGAUCGAGUGUCUUGACUUGUCUAAGUGCCACACGAGCUUAGGAAAAUCCUAAGUUUAUGACAAGUGGUAUCAGAGCGCGGCUAUGAAGCAAGCAUAGUAAAAGAAGCAUGUCGGGCUAACAUAUAGGAGACUAGAGAGCAAACCCGUGGGAGGGAGAUCAAGCCUAUUGCACAAGGUAGGAACAAUAAGGAUAAAUCUCAUGAUGUCAUAGCCAACAUGGAGGCAAGGCUAGCCAAGGUGGAACUAGCCAUGGCAAACACUUGGGAGGGGUGGACUUGAUUAAGCAGGGCAUGGAGAAGGGCUUAGAAGAUCUAAGGGAACAAAUACAAGACCUUCGUGAGGGGGUUCUAGGCUCACAAGUUCAACCGGUGUCAUACGAGGAGUUCAUGUCAUUCCAAGACAAGGUCAUGAGCAUGUUCGCUAGUAUAGAGUCAAGGGUGGAGGCCUUGGUUGCACGCAUGAAGACCUGAGACUAGGAGAUUCGACAAGAAAUGACCAUCUAUAAGAUUGCGAUAUCAAUAUGAGUCAUGGCUACUCAUGAGGCACCAAGAGUGGAGAUGCCCAAGCCACAUACGUUCAAUGGCAAGAGAGAUGCUAAGGAGCUGGAUAACUUCCUAUGGCACAUGGAGCAUUACUUUGAGGCUAUUGCACUGACGGAUGAAGCCACUAAGGUACGCACCGCAACCCUCUAUCUCACUGAUAAUGCUACUCUAUGGUAGCGUCGGAGGUUUGCCGAUAUAGAAAAAGAGAUGUGCACCAUAGACACAUGGGAUGUCUUUAAGUGAGAAAUCAAAAGACAAUUAUACCCUGAAGAUGUGGCUUACCUAGCGAGGAAGAAUAUGAAGCAUCUCAAGCACAUGUGCUUGAUCCAUGAGUAUGUCAAAGAGUUCUCUACGCUCAUACUUGAGAUACCUAACAUGUCCGAGGAGAAGCUACUGUUCAAUUUCAUGGACAACCUGCAAAGCUUGGCUAAGCAAGAGUUGAGGAGACGUGGUGUCCAAGACCUAGCCAUGACCAUGGCAGUAGUAGAGUCCUUGGUGGAAUAUAAAAGGGAAGACUCCUCCAAACCCAAGCCACAAUCCAAAAGUAAUCAUGCUAAAGGUGGGGAAGACAAGGGAUCACGAGGCUACCCUUCUAAAGAAGGAUCAAGCAGAGGCCCUAGUGGCAAUGAUGGAAAAGGCAAGGAUAAAUGGAAGGAGUUCAUGCCUAGGACCAAUUGCUUCUUAUGUGAUGGUCCACACUGGGUACGGGAUUGUCCCAAGAGGAAAGCCUUAAAUGCUAUGAUCGAGGAAAAAGAGAAGGAAGACAAUGCUCAUGUAGGAUCAUUACAACUCCUAAACACCCUCAAGGCCAAGUUGGUGCCUACGAUGCCUCAAAGCAGAGGAUUAAUGUAUGUAGAAGCCCUUGUAAAUGGGAAUGCCACCAAGGCCCUGGUGGACGCCGGUGCCAUUCAUAACUUUGUCUCGGAGGAUGAGACAAAGUGACUAGAGCUCCAAGCAUCCAAAGAAAGAGGUUGGCUUAAGACAAUUAAUUCCGCUGCCAAACCAUCACACGGAGUAGCUCACGGGGUGACUAUGCACAUCGACUCAUGGGAAGGAAAUAUCAACUUCACAGUGGCACCCAUGGAUGCCUUCAAGAUGGUACUAGGGAUGGACUUCCUAUAAAAGGUCAAGGUCGUGCCACUACUCUUCCUACGCUCAAUGGCUAUCUUAGAGGAGGAGAAUCCAUGCAUGGUCCCUAUGGUCACCGAAGGUUCAUCCAAGACCCCUAUGUUAUCAGCUAUGCAAGUAAAGAAGAGAUUAAAGAGAAAAGAGGUGACAUACCUUGCCACCCUUAAAGAAAAAAAGGAUGAUGGGUCGGGAGAACCCAUGCUUAAUGAAAUCAAGGAAAUCCUUGAUGAGUUCAAGGACAUGAUGCCGCUCGAGUUGCCCAAGAGACUUCUUCCUAGGAAUGAGGAAGACCAUAAGAUCGAGAUAGAGCCGAGAGCUAAGUCUCUAUGCUAUGAGACUAUACAGGAUGGCACUGCCCGAACUGGAAGAGCUAAAGAGACAACUUAAGGAGUUGUUGGACGCAGGGUUCAUCCAACCAUCCAAGGCUCCCUACGGCGCACCGGUCUUGUUUUAGAAGAAGCAUGAUGGGUCCCUACGGAUAUGUAUCAACUACCGGGCACUCAACAAGGUAAUGGUAAAGAACAAAUACCCUAUUCCGCUCAUCGUUGGCUUGUUCGAUCAACUUGGUAGGAUGAGAUACUUCACGAAGUUAGACUUGAGGUAAGACUACUACCAAGUAAGGAUUAUGGAAGGGGAUAAACCGAAGACCACAUGUGUGACCAAGUAUGGCUCAUAUGAGUUCUUAGUGAUGCCCUUCGGUUUCACCAAUGCCCCAACAAUGUUCUACACACUCAUGAAUAAGAUCUUCCAUCCAUAUCUAGACAAGUUCAUGGUGGUAUACUUGGAUGACAUAGUCAUCUAUAGUAACACCUUAAAGGAGCAUGUCGAGCAUUUAAGGAAGGUCUUUAAAAUCCUAAGGCAGAACGAGCUAUAUGUAAAGAAGGAGAAAUGCUCAUUUUCUAAGAAAAAAGUUAGCUUCCUAAGGCAUCGCAUCAAGGAUGGCAGACUAAUGAUGGCUAAUAGUAAGGUGAAAGCCAUCCAGGAAUGAGAUUUACCAACCUAGGUACCUUAGCUCAGAUAUUUCCUUAGUUUAGUUAAUUACUACUGGCGGUUCAUCAAGGGUUAUUCGGUAAGGGCAACUCCACUCAAUGAUCUUUUUAAGAAUAACAAGGCAUGAGAAUGGGAUGAAAGGUGCCAACAAGCCUUUAAAUAUCUAAAAAAAGUUGUGACUGAGGAGCCAGUGUUGGCACUACCCGACCACACCAAGGUUUUUUAGGUACACACAGAUGCCUCAGACUUCGCUAUUGGAGGAGUCCUUAUGUAAGAUAGGCAUCUAAUCGCCUUCGAGAGUCGCAACCUAAAUGACAUGGAGAGGCACUACACGGUGCAAGAGAAAGAAAUGACCACCAUCGUCCAUUGCUUGCGCACCUAGAGACACUAUCUUCUAGGGUUUCACUUCAUAGUGAAGACCAACAAUGUUGCCACUAGCUACUUCCAAACACAGAAGAAGUUAAGCCCUAAGCAAGCUAGGUGGCUAGACUUCCUGGCCGAGUUCGACAAUACGCUGGAGUAUAAGUCAGGAAACAUUAAUCAUGUGGACAACGCCCUAUGCUGUAAGACAGAACUAGCAUCUAUGAUGAGUCAGCCCCAAUGAGACAUAAUGAAUCUUCUAAGGGAGGGGCUACAACAUGAUCCAGUGGCUAAGAGCCUCAUAGCCCUGGCUGGUGAAGGGAAAACUAAGUAGUUUUGGGUAGAAGACAACUUACUCUACACUAAGGAGAGACGACUCUACGUGCCUAAGUGAAGGAACAUAAGAAGGAAUCUGAUUAAGGAGUGUCAUGACACCAAGUGGGCUGGGCACCCCGAGCAAUGACGCAUGAGGGUAGUACUUGAGUUGGCUUACUACUGGCCUCAAAUACGAGAUGAAGUUGAGGCCUAUGUGAGGACUUGUCUUGUGUGCUAGCAAAACAAGGUGGAGCAACGACAGUGUAGAGGCCUGUUAGAACCACUACCAAUAGCAGAGUGCCCAUGUGACAAUGUCACCAUGGACUUCAUCAUCGAGCUACCCAAUUCGGAGGACAACGACUAUAUCAUAGUAAUAGUGGACAUGUUCUCUAAGUAUGCGACCUUCAUCGCAUCCCCGAUUGACUGCACUGCGGAGGAGAUGUCGAGACUAUUCUUAAAGCACGUAGUCAAGUAUUGGGGGUUACCUAAGUAUAUUAUCAAUGAUUGCGAUCCGCAUUUCAUUGGGAAGUUUUAGAUGGAGCUUUUCAAGCUUAUGGGUUCGGAGCUUCACUUCUCCACAAGCUUUUGCCCAUAGACAGAUGGGUAGACUGAGAGAGUGAAUGCCUUAUUGGAGCUAUACUUGAGGCACUUCGUGAGUGCCAACUAGAAUGAUUGGGCUAAGUUGCUAGAUAUAGCCUAGUUCUCAUACAACUUGCAAAUGAAUGAGGCAACCAACAAGAGCCCGUUCGAGUUAGCCACAUGGCAGCAACCCUUAACUCUUCACACACUAACGAUAGGCUAUACAAGGAGAAGUCCAGCGGCUUUCAAGUUCGCAAAGGGAUAACACGAGCAAGUUGACAUAACACGCUCAUACUUGGACAAGGCCACUAAGAAAAUAAAGAAGUGGGCUGACAGGAAGCAACGUCACACGGAGUACAAGGUUGGAGACAUGGUGUUUGUCAAGCUCUUUCCUCAACAAUUCAAAUCCCUAAUGUUGGUGCAUAAGGGCCUUGUGAGGAGGUAUGAAAGACCCUUCCCCAUACUUGGGAAGGUCGGCAAGGUGUCUUAUAAAGUUGAGUUACCACCAAGGUUGAAGAUUCAUUCCGUCUUUCAUGUAAGUUACUUGAAACCAUAUCACGAAGACAAGGAUGAUCCAAGCCAAGGGUUUUCUAAAAGGGCACCUACAGCGGUCGUGACCUCUUAUGACAAGAAGGAAGAACACAUCAUCACAUAUCGAGUCAUUAUAAGACGAGGUGUGCCUCCUACUACAGAGUACUUAGUGAAAUGGAAGAGACUACCAGAGAGUAAGGCUACCUGGGAGCCAGCAGAUGCACUAUGGCAAUUCCAAGAGUAGAUUGAGCAGUUCCGGGAAAAAUGCACGACAAGGAUGUUUGCGACUUAAAUGGGAGAAAGUGUCACAAGAUGCUUCAAAUGAGCCUUCAUAUGGGCUUAUAUAGAGCCUAUGAAGCUUUUGGACACUCCUACACUUAGCCAUCAGUGGGAAGAGUGUGGAAGGUUCUAAAAAUGCCUAGAGAAGUCCACACAUCUCUACAUUAAGGUGGAAGACAUGAGAGGAGUCCAAGGCUUUUUAGAGACUUCUAGAGGUCUAUUGUAAAUAGACUUGUACAUAGAAUGGUGUAGGGUGUUCUAGAAUAUUCUUAAAUUGUAAGGAGCCCUCCAAGGUUCUAGAGAGUUCCAUUGGUGCCUAUAAAUAGGUGAGGGCCUUAUUUGGCCAAGGCACCAAGCAAGUGAAUUCCCAAAAGCACUUGUAAAGCUUCAUUUGAGCAAUAAAAACUUUCAUUCUUUAAGUGUUGCCUACUACGCCUUCUAAAACUUCGGAGUCGUGAGCAUCUUAGCCUAGCAAGCUAAGUAUUAGGAGUAAGGUUGACUUAGCAAGAUCAAGUGUCUUGACUUGUCUAAGUGCUGCACGAGCUUAGGAAAAGACUAAUUCUAUGACAUUUAGCUGUCUAGGACCACAUCAAUACAGCCCCCGUCAGCUACUCAUCCCUACAAUAAUUCAACAUGCAUCAUCGACUUUUGGGGCAAAAUAGCCAUUUCAUGUAAAAAAAGAUAUCAGUUUUAGCCCCCUUACAAAACUUAUGUUCAAAUUGGCCCCUUUAUUGCCACAUAGGAGUCAUGUCAUAAUUUUUUUAUUUUAUAAAAUUUAAGUUGAAGCCUUAGUUGCCAACUAAGGCUUCAUUUUUGAACUGAAGCCUCAAUUGCCAACUAAGGCUUCAUUUUUUAACUAAAGUCUCAGUUACCAUUUGAGGUUUCAGUUAUUUUAUUUUUUUAGUUUAAAAUUUAAUUAAAAAUAUUAAAUUUUAAAUUAUUAUUGAAAAUUUAAAAAAUAUACUUUAAUAAUAAAAAUUUAUAUAUUUAAACUUAAAUAUCUAAUAUUACUUCAAUGAAGAUAAUUUGAAAAAUAUAAUAAAUAAAUAUUUUAUUUAUCAAUUAAUUAAUAAUAUUAAAAUAAUACAAUUAUAUGACAUAUAAAUAAAAUAUAGAAUUAUAUCAUUUAUUAAUUUAAGUUAUAUCACAUGUAAUAUUAGGGAGGGAUUUUUUUUUUCCAUUAUAUAAAUGUUUAAUGGGUAUUUUUUUUUUUACUUUGAUGAAAUAACUAAAAAUUACAUUUUGUCGUAGAUUUUUUCUAAUUAAUUUCAAAAUGUAUUUUCAAGACAUAUAUAUUAUGUGUACAAAUAAUAGUAUUUUUUAUGUUAAAUUAUAAAUAUAUGCUUUAAAAUUAAAAAAAAAUCUAUAUAUGGAAACUUAAGAAUAUACAAUUAUUUCAAUAAAGAUAAAUUUUUCAAAUUAAAAAUAAAAUAAUAUAUUAAAAAUACAACAAAUUAAAUAUCUUAAAUUAAUAAAUAAUAUAAUUUUAUAUCUUAUUUAGAUUUCAUAUAAUUUUAUUAUUUUAAGAUUAUUAAUUUAUUGAUAAAUAAAAUAUUCAUUUAUUAUUAUAUUUAUUAAUUUAUCUUUAUUGAAGUAUUAUUAGAUCUUUAAGUUUAAAUAUAUAAAUUAUUAUUAUUAUAUAUUUUUAAUUUCAAUAAUAAUUUGUAAUUUAAUAUUUUUAAUUAAAUUUUAAAGUAAAAAAAAAAAAAUAAACGAAGCCUCAAUUGCCAAUUGAGGCUUUAGUUAAAAAAUGAAGCCUCGAUUGGCAAUUGAGACUUUAGUUCAAAAAUGAACUCUCAAUUGGCAGCUGAGGUUUCAAGUUAAAUUUUGAAAAAAAAUAAAAAUUUGUGACAUGGUUCUUAUAUGGCAAUAAAAGAACUAAUUUGAACAUAAGUUUUAUAAAGCGGCUAUGUGACAAUAAAAUGGCUAAUUUGAACAAAAGUUUUGUAAAAUAGAAGCUAAUAUUUCUUUACAUGAAAGGGUUAUUUUGGCCCAAAACUUUGCCUCGACCCUCCCUAGCAGCCCCUCAUACAAACCAUAACCCUAGUCGUCCAAGCUACAUUGCACGAAGCCAUCCACUAGCUGUCCUUCCCGCCAUUUCACUAUCAAAAGCUCUCAUCUAAUAUGUCAUGACUGCAACAACCAUCCACCGGUUAUCCACUCUUUCUUCCAUUUCUCAUACCCAUGUCUCAAACUUCAACUUCCUUUCUUCUGCCCUUAGCUUUCUUUCUCUUCUUUCCAGACCAUAUGAAUCCACAUUAUCCAUCUUCAUUUUCCUAUAUUUUCUCUUUCAAGCUCUCUUUCCCAACUUCACAUGGUAGUAACAAAAACUCUCAUUCCCAUCAACUCAUUUCUUUUCCCAUCGUUGUGGCAUCUCUCACCCGCACCUCCAUCUACCAUUUUCUAGAAUUCAUCUGCAACUACUGGACAACCUAGGCUAUGCCAGAAGCGAAAUAUGGAAGAAAGAGAAGAGUAGCCUAAGCCGAGCAAUAGUUUUCUUCCUUACAUACCUCGUCGGGGUUGUUUUCAGUUUCAUAGUUGUUGUUUCAAUCCCAAGCGCUUCUCUCUACACUACUGACGAUAACUAGCUCACCAUCCUCUUUGACCUUUCUUGCGAAGUGAUCGAUGACGCCAUUGAUGAGAACUCCAACUUGAUCAGCAGUUUUCUUCAAAAUGGCUUGAGCUAUGUUUGCGAGAAGUUUGGUUCAAAACUUGCAUUUCAGACCUUGAAAGCUCCAUUUCUGGUUCUGCAAUUCUCAGCAUAGCUGGAAAGAUGAAGUACUUUGGUGCUGGUUUUCUUCCCCGACGUGUUGACAUUGCUGGAAAGGUGAAGUUUGGUUCAUUGUAUCUGUUUUAUUAUGACCUCUAUUAGGGAUCUUUGGAUAGAGAAAAACUAGAAAGAGAGCAAAAAAAAAAGGUCGAUUAUUGUUAUUAUUAUUAUUAUGUUCUUUGGAGGUUUCCAGAGGGAAACUGCCUCUGUUAAGGAUCUCUGGAUCUCUUCGGUUGUCAAUUUUUUUUUGGUCUUUGUUGAGAGAAAAGCUAGAAAGAGAAUAGAGAAAAUGAUAGGGUUGAAAGAUCUCUGGGAAGAGUGUUGAUGGCAUAAACACAAACAAUGCACAACCAUAUUUUAUCCCCUCUUGUGAGAACCUAAUAGGAAUCAAUCAAAUAGAGUAACAAGAAUUCACCCAAUCAACAAGUAUAUGAACACCAAAAAAUUUUAGCGUGGAAAACCUUCUCCAAUGUGAGAAAUAAAAACCACGAGACCCUUAGGCCACUUAAAAACUCCAUUAAUAUAAUCAAUGGGUUACACAAUUCUCUCUAGAUAAAAUUAGAGGCAUACAUCAACCAUAUCUCAAGACAAGUUAAUCUUGGCAAUUUCAACAACUUUACAUAAAGACAAUGGAAAAAUCUUACCAAACACAACCACUGUUCUCGGAUUGAAAUAUAACUGUUCCAAACUCCAAAUCCAAUCUCCACCGUUCAGAAUGAAGAUCAAUGAGUUAUGAACGUGCUCACCAAAAAUUAGCUCAAUUGAACCACAGAUUAACCUUGAUUGGAGCUCAUGAUCAAAACUGUCAGGAUAGAAAACUCACCAAAAUAGAGGCUCUAUUCUCGGACUGAAAGAAUCGCCCAAAACUCUAAAUCUAAUCUCCACCGUUCAGAUUGAAGAUCAAUGAGUCACAAACCUCUCAUCCAAAUUUUAGGUUGAUUGGCCCACAGGCGAAGCGACAUCGGACCUUUGAUGAAAUCUGGACAGUGAAGAAAAACUGAGUUUUUCUCUCUAACUUCAAAAAUGGUGGUUCUCCAUUUCUCUUUCUUUUCUCCUUCUACUCUCUUUUCUUCUACCUUCGGUGGCUGUAAAAAAAAUUGGAAGAAGAAGAAGAAGAGGGAUUCUUCUUUUAACCCUUUUAUAUAAAGACCUAAGAGGCCUUAAAUUUUUUGCUCUUAAUUUAGGCCUUUUACAUGAGGAAAAACCCAACAAAUAUCACUCUUUCCAAUUAUGUGGAGGGACUCAUCAUCCUAGCGAUUGAACAACAAACUUCAAGUUUCUCCCUUGAUAAGGACUUCGUUAACAUAUCUGAGUCAUUGUGAUUGGUAUGUAUCUUCUCAAGUUCAAACAAGUUGUCAUUGAGAGCAUCUCUCAUCCAAUGAUACUUUACACCAUUGUGCUUCGAUCUUGCAUGAAAGUUAGAAUUCUUACUAAGGUGAAUGGUGCUCUAGUUAUCACAGUAUACCACAUAGUGAUGCUGCUUAAACUCGAGCUCAUGUAUGAAACGCUUCAUCCACAAUAACUCUUUACAUACUUCUACUGCUACAAUGUACUAUACUUCUAUUGUAGAAAGUGCAACACAUUUUUGUAGUCUUGAUUGCCAAGACACAACACCUCCUAAGAAUGUUAUCAAAUAGUCUGAAGUUGACCUUCUAUUAUCUACAUCCCCUACCCUGUUUGAAUUAGUGUAGCCAAUAAGUACCGGUUUCCCACUUCCAAAAGUGAGUUUCAACUUGAAAGUGUCUCGCAAAUAUCUCAUAAUCUACUUGACUGCCUCCCAAUGUAGUCUUCCUGGAUUAGAUACAAAGUGACUAACAACACCAAUUGCAUAAGCUAUGUCUGGUCUAGUACAUACCAUGACAUACAUCAAACUUCCUACUAUUGAGGCAUACGUAACUCUUCUCAUGUCUUUCUUCUCCUUAUAUAUAGAAGGGUUAUGUCUACUGCUUAGCUUAAAGUGACUAGCUAGAGGAGAACUAACCACUUUAGCUUUGCUCAUGUUAAAUCUUUCAAGCACAUUUUCAAUAUAUUGCUCCUAUGACACAUACAGCUUCUUGGAUGCUCUAUCUUUCUCAAUUCUAAUACCAAGAAUUUUCUUUGUUGGCCCUAAAUCCUUCAUGGAAAAUGAUUUGCUUAACUGCUUCUUCAGCUUAUCAAUUCUUGAAACAUUUCUGCCAACAAUCAAGAUAUCAUCAACAUAGAGCAACAAUAUAACAAAAUCAUCAUCAGAAAAUUUAUGCACGAAUACACAAUGGUCAGAAGUAGUUUUUCGAUAGCUUUACUUCCCCAUAACUGAUUCAAACUUCUUAUACCAUUGUCUCGGUGCCUGCUUCAAGCCAUAAAGACUUUUCUUCAACUUACACACAUAAUCCUCUUUUUCUUUUAUUGUGAAAUCCUUUGGUUGUUCCAUAUAAAUUUCUUUGUCUAAAUCACCAUGGAGAAAUGCAGUCUUAACAUCCAUCUGCUUAAUCUCCAAAUCAAGACUAGCUACCAAGCCCAAAACUACACGAAUAGACGACAUCUUAACAACAUGAGAAAAAAUCUCAUCAAAAUCAAUACCUUUUUUUUUACUGAACCCUUUGACAACCAAUCUAGCUUUGUAAUGUGGCUAUGAAGUGUGUUCUUCUUGCUUCACUCUAUAAACCCACCUAUUCUUCAAAGUUUUUUUUUCCAUUUGGCAACUUGACAAGCUCAAAAGAAUGAUUCUCAUGCAAUGACUUCAUCUCAUCUUGCAUAGGAUCAACCCACUUCAUCUUAUUUUCAUCUCACAUGGCUUCCUCAUAACUUUCAGGUUCUCCCCCGUUAGUUAGUGAUACAUAAUCAUCAAUAGAAUACCGUGUGGAAGGAUGUUGGUCUCUAGUAGACCUCCUGAGUGGAAUAUCUGGUGGAACCUCUACUACUGGUGACUGUUCAUGAACAUCAUCAUCCAUCUCAACCUAUGUGGGAGUUUCAACAUCACCAAUGCCAUGUUGGUCAUCAUGUGCUUCAUCUUCAACCUGUGUAGGAAGAUGUGUCAAAGGAACUGGAUCUAAGUCAAUCAUAUUAUCACUAUACUGAAACUCUGUUGCAUCAAUCUUCUCAAUGUCCUAUAUGGUAUGAUCUUCCAUAAACAUAACAUCUCGGCUUCUUACAAGCUUUUUCUGUACCAGAUUAUAAAACCUAUAACCAAGCUCAUCUUAACCAUAGCCAAUGAAUACAUAAGGUCUUGUCUUAGCAUCAAGCUUAGACCUCUCAUCUUUCAGAAUGUGCACAAAAGCCUUGCAUCCAAAGACAUGCAAAUGAUCAUAAGAAAUUUCAUUAUCUGACCAAAUUCUAUCCGGAACAUCAAAUUCUAAAGAAACACAUGGUGUAAGAUUGAGAACAUGUACAACAGUAUUCAAAGCCUCACCCCAAAAAGAUCUUGGCAACUGUGACUGCGAAAGUAAACAUCUCACCCUUUCAACCAGUGUCCUAUUCAUUCUCUCAACCAACCCAUUCAACCAAGGAGUCUUAGGAGAUGUCUUUUGAUGUUGAAUACCAUGUUGUCUACAAUACUUAUCAAAAGGACCAAAAUACUCACCCCCACUAUCAGUCCGGAUGAAUUUCAAUUUUUCAUCAAAUUGUCUCUCAACAAGAGCAUGAAACUGCUUAAACACCUCUAACACUUGGUCUUUUGUUCUCAAGGUAUACACCCAAAUCUUUCUUGAAUGAUCAUUUAUAAAAGUUACAAAAUAUAGAGAUCCACCAAGUGUUUUUGUUUUCAUAGGACCACACACAUCAGAAUACACUAAAUCAAGCAUACUUGGCUUCCUUGUAUGACGGUGUGUUUUGAAUGCAACUUUAGUCUGCUUUCCUACUAAGCAAUCAGCACACAUUUUCAGAGAUCCCUUCUUCAUACCAGAAAUAAGAUUCUUCUUAGCCAAAAUCAUCAAGCCCUUCUCACUCAUGUGACCAAGUCUAUUAUGCCAAAGCUCAAUUGUGCUAUCAUCAUCCACUGCAUUGAUACUAGAAUCAAUUAUGCUUGCCUGCAUCAAAUACAAUGAGGAACACUUCUUUCCUUUUGCUACCACCAUAGAACCUCUGGUGAGCUUCCACUGACUAUCACGAAAGGUGUUGCAGAACCCUUCAUCAUCAAGCUUCCUUGUGGAGAUUAAAUUCAUGCGGAUAUCCGGAAUGUGUUUGACAUUCUUCAAAAUCAACGCAGUACCAUUACUAGUCUCCAAAAUCACAUCUCACAUACCAAUGGCAUUAGCUGAGCCAUCAGUACCCAUCAUAACACUUCCAAAAUCACCAGAUGUGUAGGAUGUAAAGAAAUCUUUCUAAGGUAUAUCAUAAAUUGAGGCACCACUAUCAAUCACCUAACUGGUCUCCUGGUAAGCAAAAUUAACAACAUCACUAUCAUAAAACAAUAAGGAAAUCUAAAGUGGUUGUGGCAACUCAAUCAUCUUCACCACCAUUGUCAUUCUUUUUGUCCUUCACUUUCCCUUGUUUCAUAUCUCUCUUCAAUUGGCGACAAUACUUCCUUAUAUGCCCUUUCAAAUAGCAAUAGUGACACCCAACAUUGGCAAACUUGUUAGUCUUACUUUUGCUUCUAUCUCUGUUUUUCGAACCUCUACUCUUACUCCUCGUUUUUUUUUUUUCAGUAACUAGGACAUCUGACUGUGAAGAAGAACCCUAUGACAUUCUUUUCAUCUUUUCAUUCAAAACACAACUCUUAACCAAAUCCAUAUUCAUAGUACCAUCUGGGGCUGAGUUAGACAAAGAAGUUCUAAACGUCUCCCACGAAUCUGGCAAUGUACCAAGAAGCCACAACCCUUGCAUCUCUUCCUCAAACUUGAUAUUCAUUCUAGCCAACUGGUUAAUAAUACCUUGGAAUGUAUUCAAGUGAUCUGUCAUAGGAGUUCUAUCUUGAUACUUCAAGCUAAUCAUCUUCUUGAUCAGAAACAAUUUAUUGUUACUAGACUUUCGAGUAUAUAACUGUUCGAGCUUGUUCCAUAGACUCCGUGCAUGUUUCUCUUCGCUAACAUGAUUGAGAACAUUAUCAUCUACCCACUGUCUGAUAUAAUCACAAAUUUGCCGAUGAAGUAAAUUUCAUUAUGCAUCAGUUUUAUUUUCUGGCUUUUCAGAAGCAAACACAGGCAAAUAAUAAUCCUUCACAUACAAUAAGUCUUCUAUCUUUAUUUUCCAAACAUGAUAAUUUGAUCCAUUCAGAUUAAUAAUUCUACUUGUAUUGUUUUCCGUUGUUCUACACAAGACACAAAUUAUCUUGAACCAAUGCUCUGAUACCACUUUGAUGGGAUAAACAUAAACAAUGUACAACCAGAUUUUAUCACCUCUUGUGAGAACCUAAUAGGAAUCAAUCAAAUAGAGUAACAAGAAUUCACCCAAUCAACAAGUAUAUGAACACUAACAAUUUUUAGUGUGGAAAACCUUCUCUAAUGUGAGAAGUAAAAACCACGGGACCCUUAGGCCACUUAAAAACUCCACUAAUAUAAUCAAUGGGUUACACAAUUCUCUCUAGAUAAAACUAGAGGCAUACAUCAACCAUAUCUCAAGACAAGUUAAUCUUGACAAUUUCAACAACUUUGCAUAAACACAAUAGAGAAAUCUUACCAAACACAGCCACUGUUCUCAGACUGAAAUAUAACUGUUCCGAACUCCAAAUCCAAUCUCCACCGUUCAUAAGGAAAAUCAAUGAGUUAUGAACAUGCUCACCAAAAAUCAGCUCAAUUAAACCACAGAUUAACCUUGAUCGGAGCUCAUGAUCAAAACUGUCUAGAUAGAAAACUCACCAAAACAGAGGUUUUGUUCUCUAACUAAAAGAACCGUCUAGAACUCCAAAUUUGAUCUCUACCGUUCAGAUUGAAGAUCAAUGAGUCAUGAAUCUCUUUUCCAAAUUUCAAGUCGAUUAGCCCACAGACGAAGUGGGAUUAGACCUUUGAUGAAAUCUGGUUUUGCUUUUUUUUUUUUUUUUUUGGUUUGGAUCAAAUCAUUUUAGAUAUGACGAUUAUAUUUUGUUCUCCUAUUGUUGAUCUGUGUUUGGUUAUCUUGAAAUUCUGAAAUGAAUUUUUUAUAGUCAUUGCAUUUUCUACCUUGAUUUGGAUUUUUUUAAAAAAAAAAAAAACCUAAGAUCAUGACUUCUAGUAAUUCCUUGUUGAUUUAUAUCAGAUUUGUUUGAAGGCUUUUUUAUAAUAGUUUGUUCAUCUGUUUUUUUUUAGUCCUAUGGAUUCAGUUGUCUUGAAAAAUUAAGCUGUUUUUUUUUUGCCUUAAAUUGAUGUUCUUUUGUAGAUUUUUGUUUAGGAAAGUCUAAAUAGGUUAUCACAUGAUUAGAGAUUCAUUGUUUUAAGUGCCAAUUAUUAAAAUUUGAUAUAAUCGUCUUCAAAACUUUGGAUCUAGACUUUUUCCCCUUUUUCUUUGUGGGUAUUUGGUUUGUUUUGUUGCAAUCAUAAAUUGAUGUUUCUUGUAGAUCUCUAUUUAGUAACUUUUGACUAGGUUAUCACAUGAUCACAUUCAUUAUUUAAGGCAUCAAUUAUUAAAAGUUGAUGUGAUUGUUUUCAAAAUUUUUAGAUCUAGGCUUUUUCAUUUAAGAACUGUUCAUUUUAGUUUUUCUCGUUCUGCGUGGUUGAUUGGUGAUUACUUGGAAUUUCCAUGAAUCUAAUUUAAUUUAAUAUACUUAGAAUUUUAACUUUAUGAAUUUAAAUCAACUCGAUUGAUCGAAGUCCUUAUUUUGCAAUUUUUCUCAAAUCCUUGUUAAUUAUAAUGGUUAUAAAGGAAAAUUUUCAGAAUUUUGCUCAAAUGGCACCUUGAGUUUUUGCAUAAGUAGAAGUUCAUCUUAUCUUUUAGUCUUAAUUGUUAUAGGUUGAUCCAAAAAUUGUAAAGAAUUUAGAAUCUAGAUUUCUCAGUUUUAUUGUGUUAUGUUAAUCUGAUUAUUAUAUGUGGUUAAUUAGUAUCUCACUUGAAAUUUCUAUGUUGAUUCAAAAUAUUUAGAUUAUAGUUCAUGUUGACUAAAUAUAAUCAAGUUGUAUUUUUUGUAAUUUUAAAUGAGUUUUAAUUACUUUUAAACUUGGAUUCUUAAUCAUUCUUUAUUUUCCACCAAUUUAUAAUAGCUUGAUGCCAUUUAGAAGCAUGAUGGGAUCUAUUGACUAGUUGGUUUAGCUUUGUUAAUUUGUAAUUUUUUUUUUUAAUUUUGAUAAUUUAAUUAACAGUCAAGUAAUAGACAAUGUUAAUAUAUAUUGCUUUGUUGGAAUUUGCUUAUUUUAAGAGUUUGUACAAGGGGAAAUCAAAUCUACACCUAGUAAUUGGAUUUAAUUGAAGACUUGGAAUAACCUCUUCUUGAUUUACAUUGAUUUUAAGUUAACAUAAUGAGAUUUAAUUUGAUAGUGAUCAAAUAUUAUACUUGGAAUUCUUGUCCAUUGGUAAGUCUUUCCUUUUCUUUUUUUUAAUUGUAUCUUGGGAUGUCAAUAAAGAUGGAAUUCCAUUUGUUUUUAAUGUUUGUAUGGUUAUUAUGUGAUAAUGAGAGACUUUUGGACUAAUACAGAAAUGGUUGAAUAGAUGAGAAACAAAUGAACAACCAAUAAUUCUAGGAAGUGAGGAUGGAUGUUGAAAGGGUUGUGGAAUGUUAGGGUAUUAAAAUUUUAUAAAUUAAAUAUUGUCUUGCUAAGAAACGCUAUGCCUUGCUAAGCAAGGUACUCAAACUUUCCCCUCACCUUUCUAUUUAAAAUAAGGUCUAUGGGAGAACUUUGUUUGCAAUUGUUAGAUGUGAUGAAAAGCUAUAAUAUGUAACGGUUAUAGUGCAAUUUGUUAUUUAUUACCUGCUACUUAACUUUUACAAAAGCGCAUUUAAAUGCUACCAAUGUAUGGUUUCUUUGCCUUAUUUUUUUUUGUAUAUAUUAGUAUCUAUGCUUAAUUCCUAUGAUUGGUUGACUUUGCUUUGUUUGAUCUUUGUGUUGAUAUGUCCUUAUUGAUAUUGAGUGGAAUGCAUAAUGUAUACACAAUGAUAUUAUUGUCGGUGAACUAAUUCUUUUGUUUUAUGAAAGCACUUAAUGGACUAUGAAGGUCACUUAAUGGACUAUGAAGGUUUCUUAUCCACCUUUUGUGAUUAUUGCUCAUUGAGUGUGCAUGUUUUGAUAUAUUCUUUGAUCCAUGAUAUCCAUUGUUUUACCCAUUCAUUAUCAUAAUUACUCCAACUUACUUAGUAGAGACCAAUUUUAGGGCUUAGAGGGGUGUUACUAUUAUGGUACCUUCUCGACUAGUAAUGGGACCCUCGGGUUUUCAAAGAGAAGCUUUUCCAAAACAAGGAGUUGUGUUUUUUAGGGUUUUGUUUCUUAUUUUAUUUUUUCUUCAAAAAAUAAAAAUAAAUAAAUAUUGACUCCAAUAUUGAUAAAUUAGUUUUUCACAAAUAAAAAAAAAAAAAAAGCCAAUCAAGCCAUCAAAUAGGAAUGCAUGCGAAAAAUGCAAAUCCAUACAAAUAUACAAAAGUUCAUUUAUUUAGACACUAGACCUGGCUUAUCAACCACUCAACUAAAGAAAAGGGACAUGUUUUCCAAUGAAAUAAAAGAGCAGCUCUCGGUAAUAGGAGUUCAAGUAGAGGAAAGCAAUGAUGCCUAAGAAUGUCACUCCAUAUGAUCCUCCAAAACUCCAUAAGAAUAUGGCUUCCCAAGAGCUAUUUUCUCUGUUGUUUGAAACUGGUGGUUUGAGUGCAGGUGGGGCACUGGUCGGAGUGCUACAUCGCUCUAAUGGCAGCCCACAUAGAAGAGGGUUGCCCUCAUAACUGCUUUGUUCAAAUGUUGCAAAUUGAAACUUCCUCUCUGGAGUCUUACCUGAUAAAUUGUUGUGAGCGACUGUGAAGACCGUCAAGAAGUUUAACUCUACCAUCUGUGGUGGAAUUUGACUUGUCAAUCUAUUGUGGGAUAGGUCCAAGCUUUCUAUUUCCUGUAGGUUGGAAAAUGUCUCUGGAAUUGUUCCUAUCAACUGGUUGUAUGAUAAGUUUAGACUAUGAAUCCCACUUAGAUUUCCAAUUUCCGGAGGAAUUGGACCUGUCAAUUUGUUCCCUGAAAGAUCCAAUCCAGACAUGAGGUACAAGAUGUUUCCCAUAUAAGAUUCAGACCAACUCUUCGUUAUGAACUCUAUUUCUUCACUUUCAGCCGAAAUGCCAAAACUGAUGUGAAUAAACUGGACCUUAGCAAAUUGAUUUUUAUAUGAAGAUGGAUCUGGGAAAACAUGAGUCCCACCAAAUGCACUGGUAAAAAAUGUGCCAUCCAUUAAUGGAGCUUUCCUUCCAAAAGUGAUAUUAUCUAGGCAAGAAGGUAUAGUUCCGGAAAGAUGAUUAUGAGAAAGAUCCAGUAUGCUGACUGAUUUGAGCUGACACAAUUGAAGAGGAAUUGAGUCUUCAAGUUCAUUUCCUUUCAAGAGAAGAACCCUCAAUUUUGAAAGCAAACUAAUCCAAUGGGGAAUUGGGCCUGAUAGUUUGUUAUCCCUCAAAUUCAAUGUCACAAGAGAGGUAGCUUCAGACAGAACAUGGGGUAUAGGUCCUGAUAGUUCAUUGUUUUCCAAAUGUAAAAACUUCAUUUUUUUUAGAUUGGCACAAGGCGGAAGGGUCGGGCCAAUUUUGUUGUGAGAAAGGUCUAAAAAGCGUAGUUCAUUGAGUUUGCAAAGGCUUGUUGGCACAACACCAUCCAAAUGAUUUCUAGACAAGCUAAGUGUGCUCAAGACUGAGAAGUCUCCAAUCCAAUUUGGAAUUUGACCCCACAACGAGUUAGAGCUGAUAUCCAAUGCUUGUAGUGAAGAACUAUUCAAAAAUCCACGAGAAAUCUCUCCUGAGAAGUUAUUGUUAUCCAAAGACAAAAAGAAUAAAUCUGUCAAGUUCGAUUUUGUAGGAAGAGUGCCAUGUAAACUGUUGUUGGAUAGCUUUAAAACCAAUAAUGAGAUGCAACCCAUCAUCAUGUGCUCAGGUAGUUGUCCCGAGAGAUUGUUAUUUGACAAGUCUAAAGAUACCAACUGUUCCAUGUCUCCCAUUGAGGAAGGAAUAUUACCUUGUAAUGCAUUUCUAGACAAGUUUAAGACCUCCAACCCUGGAAAAAUUGAGCCGAUGAAAGGUGGAAGCUCUCCGUGAAUGCAAUUCGAGGAGAAAUCAAGCAAAAGCAUGUGGGAAUGUUUUGAAUUUGAGGGCAAAUCUAGAACACCCGUCAAGCUGUUACUUCCAAAGCUUAGGUAUUCUAGUUUCGUAUUAUUGUCUAAUAACCAGGUCGGGAUAUCUCCUGUUAUAUUGUUGUGGCUAAGGUCGACCAUUCUCAAAUCGUAUUGACUCGGAAGAAAGCUGGGUAACACCCAGCUUGGCCAAUUGAGGGUGCAGUUGGAUAAUCGGAGGAUUUUCAAUUGAAAUAGAGGAAAUGACCAUAUUGGAUUUUCAGUCUCAACCUUCAAAUACUUGUUAUUGCUUGCAAGGUCGAAAACCACGAGCCUGGAGUGGUUAAACAGUGAACCAAAAUGGAUUGAACCCUCGAAAUGAUUAUCAGAAAGAGAAAUGUACUCGAGCGACUUCAGAUUGGAGAAGAGAGAUGAAGGAAUAGUUCCACUGAAAUCAUUUUCGGAUAGGUCAAGCAAACGUAGGGAUGUCAGAUUGUUGAGACACGCAGGAAGACUACCCUCAAAUCCAUUACGACUAAGAUCCAACGCUUCAAGGUUGAGUUUGCACAGGCCUGUAAAGGUGAAACAUGUAAUUUAUAAUUACAAUUAAAAGCAGUGGCAAUAACUAAAAGGAAAAAUUAUAUUCUGGAUUAUCUUGUCUGUAGAUAAUUUUAAAUAUUUUUAUUAAUAAUAAAUAUGUUUACACUCUCAAUCUUUUUAUUUCUUGUUUUAGAAAAUAAAAUUCCCUAGCAUUUUUAAGAAGCCAAACAUGUAUAUGUUAAUAUCUAAAAUGCCAAAGAAAAUUUCAUCAUUCAAAUCUGCAUUUAUAAUUACUACACAUCACUACUAUUUUAUUUAAAUUUUUUUAAAGUUGUGUGACAGUUAACUAGGAAAUUUUAGUGGUAAAAAGCAAAUUAAGGAGAUGCAGAUGGAAGACUAUAAUGGAAAAAAAUGUGACCAAAAAAUAAAAAAUAAAACACUAGGAAAAUAAGAUAGGGAGGAAAAAUAUGAGAGAAAAAAGCAUAGAAAAAACAAAAAUAGAUUUGUGCUGGUUGCUAGAAAGUUUGAUUAAAAAUGGUAAGGCAAAAAAAUUGAGUGUAGGUAAAAAGAAAGAAAAAAUGGAGCAAAAUAAAAAAUGACUUUAAAGUCUAUAAAACUUCAAACUUUUUCCACUUACUUAACUCUUAUAUAUAAAAAUUAAAUAAUUAAAAAAUAUAUACUUUUCUUUCACAAUAAAACCAAAUAUUAAAAAAUCAUUUUUCUUAAUAUUUUAUUUUUCUUUUCCUAAUAGUGUCCAAUAACCAAAUAUAACAUUAAAGUUAAUAAAUUAUUUUUAUAUAAUACUUCAAAUUCAAUUAACUUAUUAUAACUUUUUUAUAUAAAGAUUAAAUAUUUUGAAAAUGUAUAAUUUUUUUACUAAUUUUAAUUAUAUUUUAUUUUAUUUAUUUUUUUAUAUUUUCACAUUACAAACAAAUAUGAAAAAAUUAUUCUUCUUAUUGUUUUUAUUUUUUAGAACUUUCUAGAAACCAAACAUAGCUUAAGAUUUACUAUAGUACAAUCUUGAACAUGAUUAAAUUGACCACAAAGUGGACUUUACGAACUGAUUCUAUGUAACUUCAUGUAAGAAGGGACAAGUUUUGGGAGUUAAAAUUGACAUGCAAAUCAAGUAGCUAAAACCAUUCAAGGGACUCAAAUUUAGCCGAACUCCAUAUUAUUUAUGUAUAUACGUAUAUUGUUUAUCAAACUUAAAGUAUUAAAAACUUGUUUGAUAAUGAUUUUAGAAAACAUUUUAAACUUUUUUACCACUUGAAAAUAACUUUUUUGAUGAAAAAAUUGAAGUAUUAAAAAAGUUAUAAAUGCUUCAUAGAAUUACUAUCAAAUAGAUUCGAAAUAUCCAACAUAGAACUACAAACAAAUCACAUUUGUGUUCUUGAGUUCCUUGUAUCAAACUCAAAAUCGCCAACCAAUCAAACUUAGAAUUUUCAUAAACCAUACUUGUUUGUGAUACUCAACAUGAUGUAUGUACAUGUGUAUGCAUUAUCAAACUUAAAAUUAUCAAUCAAAUUUAGAAUUGUGAAUAAGUCAUACUUUUGUAUAUAGGUGUUACUCAAUGUGAUGUGUGAUCAAAAGUUCAAUUUAGAUCAAAAGUUGAUGAAUCAUAAAAGAAGUACAAGGUAAAAAUUAAAUGAUUAAAAAUAUAAUUUUAAAUCAAAAUAUGAUAAAUCAUAAAAAGUACAAUGUGAAAUGUAAUUAAAGAAAAUUUAGUUGUUUCAAUUUUAUUUGCUAUCUCUAAUAAAGCUUGUUCUACAAAUUGGAAUAAAUAUAUUUGCAACUUAUAAUAACACUCACAUUGGAACUAGUUAACAAAUCUAUGUUUGGAAUCCAUAAAAAAUUCAAAAUCCUAGCCACUUACCUUCCAUGGACAAAGAACCAUUUAAAUUAUUGUAGCGAAGAGUUAAGGAUUUAAGAUGGCUCAAAGUGCUAAUAAUUGGUGGAAUACCACCCAUUAAACUAUUCCACUUUAGAUUCAACACCUCUAGCCUGCUCAAAUAUUUUAGUCCUAUCAGAGAAUGGACAAAUAGGUUAGUAUUAGGAGCAAAUCAAAGGUAUACCAAAUGUUUUUUAUUAGAGUUAAGAUGCACACACCUUCCAACUGGGAAGAAUUUAUAUGAUUGUCGCUAAGAUCCAGAACCUUGAGUGAAGGUAGGGCACUUAAAAUUGGAAUUGUUGUCAAAAUAUUCCCUUCAACAUUUAGAACUCGUAAUCUUUUCAAUCUUAGUAAGCCUUGAAUGCCUACAUUAAUAAAUGAAUAAUAUUUAUACUUAUUGCUAUGUAUUUGAAAGUUCCAAUUAAGUUUUAGUUAGUGGGUAUAAUAGAAACAUUGAUAAGAAUAUCCAAGACAAU